Molecule: long non-coding RNA, 150364 nt
Filed under: Xyrichtys novacula (pearly razorfish)
Lineage: Eukaryota; Metazoa; Chordata; Actinopteri; Labriformes; Labridae
Source: RNAcentral
UGUAAAUGUAUGUUUAAGUUAGCCGCUAGAGCCCAAGUGUGCACCCUUGGUUACCCCAUGGAGAAGAUAGAGGGAGAAGAGAGGCUGUUUAGAAGGUAAUUGGCGACGCUGUCGGGGAGGGAAAUGUUUAACGUGUAAGCAUGUGUGCGUGCGCGCGCGGCUCCGUGCGCUGCCCGCAGUCAUUGACGACGCCGUCCGUCACAGAUAGGCUAAAGAAAGAAAUAAGAUAAACAUGCAGCAACCGACAGGGGGAAGAUGUGAUAUCAUGAAUAAGAGAGGACAAGUCAAGACAGAUUUUCCUAUAAGGCAUCCAUGGUGUUUCACACUGCAAGAAGUGAUAGACAUGAUAGACUUUUUUGACAUUCACAGAAAAUAAGAAGAGCCAGACAAGACUUUCCACUGGAAAACAAGGAAAAGUUAAUCAGAGCGGGAAAAAAGUUAUUGGCACCUUUUAUUAUGGCUGAAAGACAUGGUGGAAAAUGGUUUAUCCUUUUACCAGAAACACUAAUACACAAUUCAAUCAAUGGAAAAAUUGAAGCCUUCUUAUCUAGACUACAUUUGUGUGUGGAUUAUUGUUUUUGUGGAGCUGAAAUGUUUAUUUCACUUACUACUGAAAAACAAAAAAAGAAAAUGUCCUUUAAAUUUAACAAAUGUAUUUAUUUAUCUUAUUUGAUACAUUAGAUGUUUAACUGAUAAACCACAAGAGGACAUUUUUACCAUUUAUCGGACUGUAUUCAGGUGUUUAUUAGUGAUUUGCUGAUCAUAUUGAUUUGAUAGAAGUAUCAUAAAAGUAUGUAUCAAAUAUGAUACAAAUGGCAAUAAAGGGUUAAAACUGAGGUUUAAAUAGACAUAAUAUGGAAGUCUGGAUGUUUGCUGUCUUGUGGUCAGACAGUGCUUGCUAACUCAGUCUUGAGAAAGUUCACAUCGCCUUAUUUCUGAGAACAGAUACUCAGAUGUUGAUCACAUUGUUGUCGCUGGAGCUACUUGUAGAUUCCUUUUUUCAGACGAGCCACUUUGAACAGCUUGGUGUUGUACCUCCUGUUUGCUGUGAGGUGUUUUCUACAUGUUGCUUAUCUGCCACCUGCACAUACUUCAUGCAUUAUUGAAUCUAAAACUGUUAAAUUACCCUUUUUAUUAUUUUUUGACAACGUACUUGGCUGUAACUGUAUUCAUGUUCAUUAUCAAUAUCAAAUAUUUGAUUGAUGUCACAGUCAUUAUGAAUGACACAUUGUAAGAAGUUUUAUACAGUGGUGAAAAACUUUAAACUUCAGAGAUGAACCAUUUGAGAAGGUUGUUGUCAUGAUUAGAAUAUACUUUAGGAAAGUUCUCGACACUUUUCCAUCAGUGAGAACUGCAUUAAGCUCAACGUUUCCCUUUCCUUUUAUACCCCCUUUAAUCACAUGGCGCCCUUAUCAAGUGGGCUGCACCUUAAAAGCAGUCUCCCCUUUUCUUCUUUGACUAUCUCGGCUUCAACAAAACCAUUUAUUUUGCUGUGAAGACAAGCCAAUCUUGUUUUGUGUGUGUGUUCCUUUCCUCAAAAGCUGCCUGGCUUACCUGUAUCUCCAGCUUCAUCAACCUCCAGAUGAAACCCAUACCGGCCCUUCUGCUGAUAAGGUAAGCCAGGCAACGAGAUAUAUCCAUCAUUCACCUCCUAAUGCACAUGGAGGCAGAAGCGCGCACACACACACACACAUACACAUACACUCACAUGUGAGUGUGUGUAUUUGAGGGUGGAUUUGCGGAGGGGGGUAUGCCAUAACAAGAUUAGGAUUAGAACUGUGAAUGAAAUCACACCCUCUACUGCUACCCAAGUAAUCAAACGGGCCUCAGACAAAAGAGCAGUUCAUUUAGUGCCACUAAUUCUGCUUGGUGGCUUCACAGCAUUGCGGUCUCAUUAUUCUGUUAACCCCCGCAUACACACACACACACACACACACACACACAAAUGCGCAAGACCUCAUAAAUUGUGUUGUGGGACUGCUGCCAAAGCGGAGACUGGGUUCAGCUGGGUAGUUAAUCAUCUCCUAUAGCAUGUAAUUCGUGUAAACAAUGUUGUUUGCGCACCAAGAGAGCGUGGGCCCCCCUAGGCUCUAGUUAGUUGUGAUGUGGCAGCGUACCUGGGAAUAGUAGUUCAUGUGCAAUGGGGCCAAAGGUCGCAAGGUGUUCAUAAUUGACUCUGUGUGCCAAGUCGGAAUGGGAGCAUGUAAAGUAAUUCGCUGGUUUGGAGUCAGUCGUCAUGACAGUGCUCUUGGGGAGUGAAGUGCUGUGGAGUUUGAAUAAAAACAGAAAGAUUAAUUACAUGCAGUAGGAGAGAGUUGAUGCUUGUGUGGGCAGGUGUAGAGUGUUACUCAUUUGUAUGUGUGUUGUUCCGUGAACUAGCGUUGCUCCAUCUGUGCUUACAAACUGUGUAGAGCAGCAGACCUUUUGACCGUGUAUCACCCGCCUCAUCUCUACAUCGCCACAUUAAACCCGCCACCUCUGAAUGAUGUAACUUCUUCCGGACCUCUUGGUUGGUUUCCACGGUCACUGUGUACACAAGGUCAUUUGGUUUCUGAUCAAUAGCUUGUAUCGAGCCUACACUCCCCCCCCGCCACCCCCUGUUUCUGAAACGGCCGUUAAAUCGAUGGGAACAAAUGAAAUUAAGCUCCUGGGCGGCUCGGAGGAGCAAAUGAUCUUUCUGUGAUUAAUAACACACUGUAAACGCAUCUGUGCUGGGCAUAUCACAUCAGAGAGUAUUUCCUUGCCUUGGCUUGUUUCCUCGGGGUAAGACUAAGAGAAUAAAGCUGUGGUAAUGAUGCUUAUCUGGGGAAGCACCAUUUGGUAGAACAUCGAAACAAGAACAAAUGGUUCUGUUUGUACAGAUGUAAGUAUGUUACUUUGAGAGACCACGAUUAUGAAGUUUGCCAAGCACAGAGAGUCUUGUCAUGUCAGAGGACUUUGUUGGUCGGUGGACGGCUUUUUCCUGUGUGUGUUAUUACUGGAUAAAAGAAGAAACAAAUCAGAAGACACGUUUUUUUUUUUUUUCUUUUUUUUUUUUUUAAACAAAGAAUAAAAAGUUUGUAUACAGUUGUGUGUCAGGAUUAGGAUUGCAAAGGGGUUAACAUUUUCCAGUUAAUUUCCGGAAAAUUACCAGAAACUUUCCGUGGGAAGUUAAGCUGGGAAAUUUUGGAAAUAUUCCAAAUUGAAAACUUUCCAUGAGAAUUAUGGAAAUUAUGGGAAAUGAUGGGAAUUAUUGGGAAUUAACUGGAAAUUUGGGGUUAAUUUAUACAAACUGAAUCAUAUCUAAACAUAAAUGUAAUUUUUUUGUUUUGUCAUAAGCAGACACCCAUGCAAAAUAAUACAAUUAAAAAACAUUUCAACAGAUUUAUUUAAGUGGCAACUGCGAAUGUGGCAAAUAACAAAAAAAACUUGUAAAAAAACUAAUGCAAUGGCAUGAACAGAAAUAUAGUUGGCUAAACAACUGGAAUGGUCUUCAAAAUAUUUGACAAUUGGUGUAUAAAUCAUUGUUUGGUUUCAGAAAACUGUCUUGCAGGAGUCAGAAGAAGCAGCAUCACAUUUUAGGUUGCUACUACCACCAUAAUAAGCCAUCCCCCUUAAAUGGUCAAUAGCUUACAUUGAGCACCUAUUUUUAUUUAAUUUUUGCAAGUUAAAUAUUAAUGUUAUUAUGGAUCAAAUAUAUUUACCCUACAGUAUUAUCAAAACUUACUUGACUUAUAUAGUCAGUGGGCUCAAAUGUCUUGUAGUCUGGGCUCAAAAGUGUGAUGGAGGUGUCUGUGCGUGUGAUGGAGGAAUGCACAGUGCAUGUAGGGGGUGUGACCUUUAAUAGCCCUGCAGUAAGCAGUGUGCUGUGUGUAUGUGAUUGAGGAGUGUACUUGCAUUAAAUCUGGUUGUUUUAGCCAAGAUUAUGUUACAAUAUAUUUUCCCCAACUAUAUUUAAGUUCCCCGAUGAGCUUAAUUUUGUAAAUUUCAGAUUUAUUCCCGUAAAUUCCCAUAGAAAGUUUGAAAAUUCCCAGAAUUUUGCAACCCUAGUGAGGAUAUUUAACACAGAACAGGCUAAAUUGUAUUGUACUGUUCCUCAUUAUGGUCACUUGAACAUGGCUGAAUAAUGUUUGACUUUAAUGCAGCUUUUAUAAUUAUUACCAAAAUGAAAGGCAGAGUUCUCAGAGUCAGACACUUUUUUAUGAGAUAUUAUAGAGGUGUAGUAUUAAAGGUGUAUUUAAAAACAGAAAGACUGAGAUUUGGUGUUCGUUCUUGACUGCAGAGAUAUUUUACAUGACUCUGUUGCAACAUCCUGUAACUAUUUUACCCUGACAUGAUAGCUUCUGAGUCAUUUUGAAGGCCAAUUGAACAGUGCCCCUUUCAUCCCCACUGUAACUUGGUUCUGCAGGUAUGAUCUCCUGGGAGAAGUUCUGCACAGCUCUCUGGCAGAAAGCUCUGAAGGCAAAUUUCAUGAGUAAUAGAUCUUACCUUAUAUCCCUGACGCUUAUGGCAGGGAUGAAGGAACCCAAAAGGGCUUGAAAAAGAUGAAGUAACAGAGCAAGAGGCCCCUCAAAAAAGAGCCAAUCUAAGAGUAGAUUUUAACGUAGUAAGAGAGGGAAAUGCUGUGCAAAACUUUGGUGUUGUUGAGUAACUUAUGUAAUAAGACACUUUUCUGUUCUGUGACAAAUAUAAUGAAACACAACAUGCUCCUUAUGUCUCUAAAUUCCCUGAUGUCCAUACUGUGAGUGAGGAACUCAUUCCAUAAAACAGGAGGGCAAUUGAGCUUCUGGCAAACAAUGCUGGCGUAGGAGUUAAUAGUGCAUUUGUCAGGCACUAUUUUCAGAUAUGGAUUCUUUAGAUUCACAUUUCAUAAUCUGGAGGGUUCAGCAACAAGACAAACACUCUGGCUUCGGCCUGAAUGAACAUUAAACAAUAUUUUGUAGAUAUUUCUGCAACACAAAGACAUAAACCGAGACAAUUUUAUUCUCAUGGAGAGAUAGGUGAUAGAGAUAAUUUUAUACUUUAACUGUGUUUACUUUAGAGUUUACUUUUCUUAUUCUUAAGUAUCCUUCACACAACUUCUCCUUUGCAUUGAUUAUACCUCUUUGAUGCCACGGCUCCUCAGAAACCAGCUAUGGGGAUCCACUGCCAAGCCUGAAUCAGACAGAGGCUGGAGCAGCAGCUAUGUUGUUAUGCUUUGUGAAGACACUUGCCUGGGGUGGGAUUUGUAUUUUAACCAUUAUAAACCAUUCUCCUCUGUACUUUUGGUAUAAUGCUAUGGAACCAAAAACUGAGCACAACAAUAGCAGACUCUUUUCUGGGUUCCUACAACGAGACAGGCUUUGAAGGCUUUGAAUAAAUAAGGACUAGAGGGAGAGGAAAAAGUAAAUACAGCAUCUUUUAUUUGGACAACAACUCAUACAGACGCAACCUUGACUGUGACCUCUCAAUGUGCAUGAUAAAAUGAAGAUCUUCCCACGGCUGCCACAGUGGGAAGUGUAGGUGGCUACCAGAGACAGUGUGAAAAAAAGGGUCAAUUUGACAGCCGCUCAAAAGUGAAGCAGAAACAGUAAAAAGCUUCUCCUACUGACAUGCUGCAGUCGAGUUCACAAAGCCUCCAGAUAUGACUUUGGGGAGACAAACACGGUUUCUGCCAUUUAGUUGGCACUUAUAAAAGAGCUGGACAUCAAUACUGUGACUCCACAUGACCAGAGCUAGAUAUAGUAGAAGUGCAGCAGAUUGUAUGCAGUAUGUGAUCCAUUCACACCUCCUUGUAGACGUUAAAGUUGGAGUAAUAAAAUGGACAGCAUCACUAUUCACUGGUAUAGAUGUACUUUGCACUGCGUUUGUCUUAUCCACUGGUCAGAGACAUCAAGCAUCACUCCAGCCAGGCAAACACUGCACAGUGUCACUGACUAAAAAGAGAAGAUGACUGAAAAUGGUGUUGAUUCCUGAUUUGAGUCAAGUGAUUCACCUGCUAUUGAAAGUUUAAGUGUCUAGUGGUCCAAGUGUCCCAGGUACAGAGUAGAGAUGCACCGAUCCAUUUUUUCAGAUCCAAUCCGAUAACAAUACCUGGGCUGAGUGUAUUGGCAGAUAUCCGUUGAAUGAGUGAACCGAAUACCUUGCCCUGUGAGUGAAGGCAUCAGGCUUGAAAUUAGCCUUGUAAAAAAAGAUACCAAAUUAACACAUAUAUAUAAAUUUACUUCAUAUUAUUUAUUAACAAAUUGCACAUUAGCACACAGCAAAAAGAAGUAAGACUUCUGUGUAAAGUGCAAAAGGAUGGACAGACGGUGAAUCGGUGUUAUUCAUCAGCUAUCCGAUCUAAUUAAUUUGUCAAUAUCUGAGCCGAUAUUCGAUCCAACUAUCGGAUCGGUGCAUCCCUAGUACAGAGACCCCUUGCUGCAGGUUCUGUGUCUCUCUUCAGUGUUUCUAUCUAAUGAAGGCAAAAAAAAGCUCUCCAAAAAAAGCAUGUUUCUUAAUCUUUUAAUGUAAAAGUAACAUUGACAGAGUCCCCAUAAAAUACCUGUAUUUUUGUUAAAGUGGGCAUUUGUUGAAAUAUGUUAGCGAGCGCUCUUAUUGAGCUGCAUGGAGGCACAUUGUGAUUCAUUGUGCCAUAGGAUGCGCAUUUUAGAGUCAUAACUCAGCAAGGAGUAGAAAAGUUACAUACAUAUCUCCCACUGUGUGGAUUUUUUGGAAGAUCCAUAAACCAAACUGAACAUGACCUCUGAUCUUGUGAACCCAACUGGAGUGUAAGAUCACCCCCUAGCUUGUUGUGGGUUGCUGAUUUGCACUUAUUGUUUUUUUUUUUUUUUUGUUUUUUUCACUAAAAAAUAAAUAAUACUAGUUGUACAACUUUUACAAAACAAAUCACUAAAUGACGAACAAAACACUAAUUUAGUGGCUCUCCAAAAAGCUCUACAGAAUGACCUCAGGCCAUUGUGCUCAUGUUUUGCUCAAGAUCAGGUAGUGAUCCGUCAGUCAUCUUUAUUUACAAAGGUUGUUACUUGAAGAGCUGCUUAAAAAAGGCCUCAGCAUACAGAGUUUAACCGACACUCAGUCUACUUCAUCUACCACAUUCUUUCUUCUUCCUCUUUAAACAUCAUCAUCAUUAUCACAUCAUUAAAAAAGUAUUAUCUUGUUCAUGUGUUUUCACAAGAAAUCAAUUCUGCUGUUGGUUGCCAAGUGUAGUGCCGGGGGCUUACUGGUUGGCUCCCACUUGGUUCAUGGUGCUGCUGUAGCUGUCCUACCACCUGGUGUGGAGUUUGCUUUGCUUUUUCUUUCAGACAUACCGUAGAACCUCUCUUUCUGUAGCUGCACAGAUGGGUUGUACUCUUUUAUUCAUAAGGGCUACACCAACUUUGAUCUGGCUUUGCAUUUGCAGCAUGUGUCAGAUUGAGAUGGGGGAGAGUGGGUGGAAGGGUAAGGGUGGGGAGGUGGAAGCAAUGUGGGAGGCUGUUCUGCUGGCCAGACACCCCAACUGCUCCCUGCGCCUCUUUUCUAUGUUCCUUCGGGCCCUGUGUGCUUUCUAUUAUGCAUGAGUGUCAUAACCAGUACAGUAGAUCUGCUGGCCACAGACACAGAGCAGAUAUCCACACAGCUGUACCAAACUUGACUUUGUUUGAUAUUCAAAAGAGAAAGACAUCAUAAAGCAUGGAGUUUGAAACCUUUUACAGAAGUGUCAAGCUCGAAUGUUUAAUUGGGAAAUGUUGAGUAUGUUAGAUAUUAUGAUAUCUGUGCUAAAAUUUGCUCCCUGUAUUUGCUGUACUUGUUGGGUAAAGAUGUAUGGCUGCAGUUAUGCAGUUUACAAUGACAGCGGUGGCAGAUUUAUCACCUGAAAUUCAUGGUGGCAUUUCAAUUAGUGAUUGAAGUACUUUUUUUUUCUGGUUUUAGAAAUAAGUCCUUGAUGGCAGACUUCUUAACUUGUGGUGGAGCCUUCAAUUUUGCUGUCUGAAAUGACAACCUUGGGAGAUAUUUUUUGCUUGCUGUCUAACAGUUUUGUGCUGAAUCCACGAGUUAGCCCUGAACAACUCUGUCUGGAGUUAAAUGUGUCAGGAUAUAGUGUGUUCUUUGAAUAUACGUAUAUGACAUAAACUUCUCUGGAAUGAUGUAUUAUAUGGCAACAACUAGAAAAUGUUAAUAAUAGUAGAUAGUCCCUUAAAAUGAAUAAAUUACUUUUAUUGUUUUGUUUUCAAUCUAUAAGUUUAAGCCAUCGAAUUAAAGACACAGUUUAGAUGUUAUAAUUCAGGUUUGCUUAUGCAUAUUAAAAAAUGAUUAAAAUAAUGGUAACACUGAACUUGAUGCCCAUCUCUAUAACGCAUUAUGAAUAUAUGUAUAAUGUGUUAUAAUCAUGUUAUAGCACUGUAUAACUAUCAGUAUAAACACUCAUCAAUUAUGCUUAGGCUUUAUAACAAUAAGUGUAACACAUUAUAAUACCUGACCUUGUAAGUCAUGAUAAAAUGCUUUAUAAUGUGUUUGUAAUGAUUAUUGCUAUAAAGCAUUAUGAUCAUUUAUGAGUGUUUAUAACUAUAGUUAUACAGUGCUAUAACAUGAUUAUAAUGCAUCAUACAUAUAUUUAUAAUGCGUUAUAGAGAUAGGUGUCAAGUAAAGUGUCACAAAAAAACCUUAUACUGGCUCGUUAUAGACAUAAAGAAGCACCUCUAUCACAUAUUUAGCAGACUUCUUUUCCCCGACUGGUAUUAAAUCUAUGUGAGGAAGGGAAAAAAAACACAUAAAUGUCAGUAAUGUGUUUUGUACUAUCCUGUUGCCUCCCUGCUGUGCUCUGCUCAGGAUGGUCACUCUAUCAUUUUUGCCUUUUUUUUUUUUUUUUUGUUGGCACGGACACAUCCUCCAAUACUGCUACUGUUGGCCACUGGGUUCACACAGCAGUGCCACAAUUACUAGACCGGUAAUUACUGUGCCUGUGCCAAGUUUGCAGAGUGUGCACACCAUUAAACAGUUCUCCCAGCCUGCAGAAAAAAACCCGAUUAGCCAUUAGAUUUUGGUGAAAGAGCGGUGCUUUCAUCACGUCAAAUCCAUAUAAAGGUAGAGUCAGAGGAGAUUAAUACAGCAGAGAUCUGAUGUAUGUCAUUCUGCCUCCUAUUAAAUCAUACAGUGAGCGUUAUCGCCCUGUCUGGCUGUUAUUUGUCAGCGUGGACAUCUUCAGUGGCUUCUGACCCUUGGGCAGACAUAGUUUGUUUUGUCAACUGACAGUUGCGUGGUUGUUGCCACUGGCUGACAGAUUACACAAAACAGGUUUCCUAGAAGUAGCUGUAGAGUUAGUGUCGCAAUGUUGAACUGCAAUGAAGCAGACCCAGUUGACUCUACACUUAUCACAUCCUUUGCAGCAUCUGUCCUUGUUAUUCUACCCAUCCAAGCAUCAGAGUGUUAUCAGUAUGGUGUCAGCGUGGGGACGUGUUGUAACCUGGAGCUCUAUUAGCUUUGCAAGCACCUAAGCUAUUGAUUCAAGGUCACAACUGGUCCAGUAUGGAAGCAAACCAAGCAUGCUAACAUUAACAGCUUGUGUCAAAAGAUUCACACCUCCUUGUUGUCCACAUUGACUCACUAUCAUGGUAAGAAGUAGGGCUGGGUGAUAAAUCGAAAAUUUACAGAUACCAAAAUUUACAACAACAACCAACGUCAUUUUGCCCGUGUCAAUAUAUUUGGUGUCAAUAAAUAAAUAAAUAUAGGUUGGUUUGGAUGUGUGUAGGUAGGCUAUGGAUUCAUGCCCCUUUAAGACGCUGUCCUACGUCAGAGAUGUGACUCCACCCCAUCCAGUCUGUAACAAAGAGGGAAAGACAGGUGAGGAGAUGGAGGACGGUUCAAAAGUUGUAGCAGCUGGAGCAGCAGCUGAAGUAGACAGUUAAUGUGGGAGGGGGUGAGCUGCUUGUAGAAUAGUUAUCGUCCAUUUAUCAUUAUUGGGGUGAACUGCUCAAUAUAUUAUGAUAUUGAUUUGAGGCCAUAUCGCCCAGCCCCAGUAAGAAGACUUUAAUAAGACUAGACCAAUGCUGAUAUUAUUGCUAAAAACUGAAGAUUAUGAAAACAUGGUUUCUGAAGCCCAAAGAUGGCAUUGCCAUAAUGUAACCGAUGAGUCCAGCUAACUUUAGCUCACCCAGAAGCAGUCAAAGUGGUGGAGUCCAGGCCAUAGCUUUGCUACCCAACACACAGCUACAAUGUGCUUACCAUAGACUUUAUUGAAAAAAAAGAAAAAAAGCAUUGCCUCAGCGGCAUCACUCAUUUACUUCUGAAGUUAAGCUUUAAUGUCUACGGAUGGUGGAUGCCAUGCCAUGUCUCAACUCAGACAAAGAGGUGGAGUCCAGGCAGAGCUUUAGCUUCCUCCUUUUGGUCAACUGUGCCUCUAAUAACUUAAGAGUUCAAAACUGUUAUGUCUUCAUGAUGAAUGAUUUAUGAAACAAGUUACCCCUUGUGCAGUGUGUGGAUAGAGAAAUAAAUUAAAAUCCUUAAUUCUGACAGGCUGUAAACAUCUUUGUUUUUGUGGUAAAGAUUGGUUUUUGAAUGUGUGUGUAUGUGGAACACGCAUUAAGUGGAUACUUGAUGUUUUUAGUGCAUCUGUCUCGGCUUUAUUCCUCACGUCAAGUUAACUGUGCCUGAUAUAUGCAGAACUAUUGUUAAAUAUAGACUUAGAAUAAAGAAAUUCAGUAAAAAUCCUUUUAUUUUUUCUAUGUACUGAGCUGUCCUCUGGUUUGGUUAAGAUUGACCUUGGUCUCUCUCUCUAUCUCUCUAUCUCUCUCUCUCUCUUUUUAAAAAUGUGUUUUUUUAGUUAGAAAAAUGCACUUUAAUUGACAUGUCAGCGAAGACACCAAUGUAAAUAUGCCAUAGUUAGCGUAAAUGCUCAUUUUAAUCUCUUGUCCUAAGGCAGAUAUUUAAAAACAAUACAUUAUUCACACAAAAUACAAUACACUAUGACAAAUGGAUAAAAUAUGCAAGAUCUUACACAGUUAGUUCCAAUUCACAUAGAAAAGAUAAAAAUAAACACUGAACUUCAGGCACUGGCUUUUGUUUACACUGAAUCUUUCUUCUUUUUUGUAAGAAAGUAAGGAAGCGUAUGCUAGCUAGCUAGGGGGGAAAAAAGCUUCUUGUGUCCAAACUUACAGACCUCUGCACAGUCCUUGAGCGGUACUUUUUAUCAUUGAUGCUGACUUACCGUGACACCUGAGCAGAGCUGAGCCACUGUUAAUGUUGUCAGAAAAACCUUUGCUUUUCCAAGUUUGACAAGUCAAAUUUCUGCAGUGAAAAAAGCUCGACAGGCCUGCUGUGCUUUGUUUGCUAAACUAUGUUUGAAGAUCUUUGUUUACGAGCGGAGUGAACAGUUAAUCUCAAACUGGCAGAUAGCUUCCAAAAACAAAGGAGUGCUGCAAAAAGCCAGAGCAUUGUUUCAUUUGUUUUCAUUUAAUUUCACUCCCCUCUAAAAUUGCAAGAGGAUAAUGUUCUUUUAAAAAUACUAAUUAUCACUGUGAUCAUUUGAAUGUCCCCUUGUGUAUUUCCCUACCUGUGCUGUGGUGUGGCCUGAGCAGAGAAAUGGUUUCCUUCUCUGCUCUUAGCCUAUGCCCAUUGAUUUAGAUGUGUUUAUCAUUUAUAGUGACCUGGGUUAACUGUCCUGAGAAUUAUAUUUAAGGCUUCGGGUCCCAGUUGGCAAUUAAGUACAAUUCAUUACAGUAGACACACAGCCCUACAGGGAAAUAUGUGAGAGCUGUGGCCAAACACUGGAACAAGCUGGGAGGAGAAAAACAGAUCAGGAGAGGAGGAGAGGAAGUGUGAGAUUCAUGUAAAAAACGAGAGUAGGUAAAUGUGUAGGAGGUGAUAAAUGUGUUGAAGAAGGCAGUUUGUUAGUGGAGAAAAAGUGUAUUUUGAGGACCGGAAGGGUAUUAAAAUGAAGAAAAACAAGAUUCUUUGUAGAAAGAGUUGGAGGAGGCUGGGGCUUUUUCCCCAGUGAUAGAUGAAGCCCCACCUGAUGGUGUGGUCGGUCCUUCAGCGAUGGUACUUCUCUCACAGAGAAUCCCAUUCCUUUCAUUUCGUUGCAUUUGGAUCCUUUGAGUGUGAGAUGCUGUGUUUUUUUCUCCCUGUGCAGUGUGUGCUAAUACUUCAGAUUUUGUAACCUCCCGCUGGUACGGGUGGAUUAUUCAACAAGAGUUUUUGUUUGCAAUAUGAAGUACAACUAAAGAACUUAAAAAAGACCAAAUCACCCAUUGAUACACUCAGUUCAAGUUCGGAGUAAACAGUCAAAACCCAGAUCCUGCUGUAGCUCAAGUCAGUGCUUUGUAUUGAUUUCCUUCAGCUUUAAAGUAACAGCCUCUGAGUUUUCUGUUUCAUGUUUUUUAAGUACUAAUCUUAAAACAAUUUGAUCUGAAAAGCAUCAAGGAUUCUACUCUAUGGGUGCAUGAUGGGACACAAAGUAGGUUUUAUAUUUGCUGUUCCUGCUAAAUUGACCUCUCACAUUAAAGCUGUAGAGCACUUUGAAUGUAUAUUUAUCUAUCCACUCUGUGCUUGCUCUGACAUCAAACCAGUGCAGCAGCUUGGGGGUGCGCUCCCUGCCAUGUGAUGGAAACUUUGACUGUUGAUAGGUGUAGUAUUGAAGAAAAUACACUGAUUACUGUUGAAGCUUUAUUAAUGUAUUAAAGUGACAACUUUUAUCCCUUUGUACUUGAGAAGAUUAUAAAGUUUGCUGAAACUAAGAGUGUGCUUUUCUGAAGCGUUAUGCCUCUGUUUACUCUGACCACAUCAGACAUUUUCCGUUGGAUCUAUAGGGAAGGGCCAUUGAUGAGAAAUACAAACCUUUUCAUAGACUCAAAGAUAGCCCGUUUUAGCGUUAGCCAAAAUGUUCCCAUCUUCCUAUAUAACAGCAGGCGUCAAAAUCACCUGUGACAACCCCAAGUUCUGUUUCUGAAGAAAGCUGCCUGACGUUAACAACAAAAACAGUAAAGUGCUCUACAGUUGUGCAACCAAGCUUGAUGCACAUUAUGCUAGAAGUAACUAGAGAUACACCGAUCCAUUUUUUUCCGGUCCAAUCCGAUACAGAUACCUGGGCUGAGCAUAUCUGCCAAUAUCCGAUACCGAUCCGAUACUACUGUUGAAUAAUUGAACUGUAUACCUUGCCAUGUGAGUGAAGGCAUCAGGCUUGACAUUAGCCUUGUUAAAAACGAAAAGGUAACAAAUUAACACAGAUGUAAAUUUACUUAAUAUUAUUUAUUAACAAAUAAACAACUGCACAAAUUGCACAUCAGCGCACAGUAAAAAGAAGUAAGGCUUCCAUGUAAACAUUAAGUGCAAAAGGACAGACAUAGAAUAUAGAGCAAACAGAAUCGCUACAUCACAGGAUCGGCAUCAUUUAUCAGAUUUUCGAUCCAGUUAAUUUGUCAAUAUCUGAACCGAUAUCCGAUCUUGAUAUCGGAUCGGUGCAUCCCUAGCAGUAACUCCAUUGUCCAACUGAGUCACACUAUCCAGAUCGGUGCUUUUAAGGGUUUGUUCAGUGAAUCUCUUGCACUAUUUAUCCAAGCAGCACCCCUCUGAACAGGCAACACAGAUUGAUGUAACACCCUCAGGAAUAUGUAACAAAACAAAACUUCGUUAACUCUGCACAUAAGGCACCUCUAUGGCUCUAUAUGAGUUGCUUUAUUGAAUAUGUAUACAUCAGGUGUUAAAUUUGAUAUUUCAAAUUAUGGAACCAUUGAAGUUGUCCUCUAAGUCAGUCCCCACAGGCUGGUACUGGCAGUCCUCUAGCACACAGCAAUCCAAAACAGAGUUAUAUUCAACAUAAUGCUGAACGGCACCAUGGCUGUAAGGAGCUAUUCAUUUUACUCAGAAAGUAAUCAAUAAAAUCGAGCGUCUGAUGAAAACUGAAUUGCAUUGUAUGAGAGGCAACUUAUUUUUGCAAUUUUGCCUCAAAAGUAAACAAAUAUCAAAAUAAAGAAAAAUCUUAAUCCAAUAGCCACCUUGCUCAUCCAUUCAUUUCACAAGUGUUUUCUGAAUUCUUUGAACACUCUAUUGAUCUCAUUGUAAAUAGGCUUCAUUGUACCAUUGAGCCCUCUUUGUGGUAAAAAAAAAAAAGGUAUUUUUCCAGAGGCUUUCUUCUCGCUAAACUUACUAACUGAGCCCUCCUCCUCUCCUCACACUCUUCAAAGGCCUUUUGGUGGCUAUGAAGGGGAUGAGCACUGAUUGCCGAGUUCAUUAUUUUGAGAGAAAAUCAUAUCUAAGCGCACGGUUCAUGAAUACGACACUGUUUAAUAUCAGACUUAAAAUACCUGUUUUGCAAACCUACCUCCCCUUCCAUCUCCUCAUUUUCCUUCCUCUCUCUAACCUUCCUCCUGGCGUAUCCUCGCCAUAAUUAUUCAUUCAUUCAGCUUUCUCUUUGCAUGCACAUUGGCUAAGAGGUGCUGUAAUCAUUUUUUUGAUGGAAGGCAUUUUUCUCUGUAAUCCAACAGAGCGUAUGCCAGGUCUCACUCUGGGUCUUUUCAUAUGGAGGCAGAAGAGGCUGUGCCUCUGGAGGCUUAGCAUUCUUAAUCUGAAUAGCUUUUUUGCAUUUCCUGCAGUCACUGUCAACACAGUGUGCCCUCUUAACAAAAUGCCACACAAAGCUGACAGUGUUUGAACCACAUCCCAAAGCUUCUCUUUAGCCCAAAAGCUAAUGCCCUGAGUAAUCUUUCUAAAGCAUAAAGAUGAUACUAUAAUAUACCAUUAAUAACUGACUUUUUCUUGUGUUGUUAAGUAAUGAUUCACUGAACAAGCUGAGAGUUUACAGUAAAGCCAGCUUGUCUGUUUGGCUGGCUCAUGGCUGCUUUAAUGCAAAUGCUAAUUUUGAUAUGCUAAUACGCUAAAAAAAAAAAAAAAAAGACAGUGUUAACACAGGGGCAUGUAGACGUUGUAAUAUUUUUGGUUCUUCUUCUUUUGGAGGAAGAAACCCUCAGUUUUACAGACUAUGCAGCAGAUUUCUUCAGCACAGUUUAACAUAUCAGAAAGUGGUUUGUGUGCAAAAUUCCCCCCUCCAACAAUAUGUGUUAAAGGCAUGGUUGACGAUUGGAGAGAUUGGUAAUUAUAAUGAACGAUGUUUAUAUGGCGAUCAUGGUCCUAUAGUGCGAACACCGCAAAGUGAAGAGAAAAAAGGAUGGAAAAAAAUCUGUUCAUCCUUGCAGGUGCAGGGCUGCAAAAACAUUGACCAAUGGGAGCCAUCCGUCCUGGAUACAAUUUUAUUUUGGAGGAUCGUAAGGGAAGGUCCUGCCCUCCUUUGCCUCUGAUUGGCUAUAAGUGCUGAGCUCUGAUUGGUUAUUCCUUAUGACUGCGAAACGUCAUCGUUUGUCAGGUUAGGGUUAGGAGAUUCAGAAGUGCGAUAAUGUUCUGUGAUGUCCUGUCCUAUGUACAGAGCUGACAGCCUGCAUUUGGCUUGAGCGUGUGAUAAAGUUUUAACCUUUUCUAGCCAAUCAGUGGCGAAGGAGGCGGGACUUUCCCCUACCAUCCUACAAAAAAAAAAAAAAAAAAAAUCGUGUCCCGGACAGCUCCUAUUGGUUAAUCUCCUGCUCUGCCUCUCCAUCCAAUCACCUCGCUAUAUUUGACACACCCCUCUCCCGGCCCUCCUCGGCGCUCUGAGCGGCUAAAAGUAGCGUAGCAGCUGAGCGACAGAAGCUGUGAUGGAGAAGGACGCAAAAAUACACUUCUGCUUGUCCCACUGCCAAAGUGGAAGAAGAGCAAGCCGACAGAAAAAAGGACAGGGUCGAAGAGGAUAUGUGACUAAGCGAGGAAUCUAACUCAGUCAUCCUUUGAGCGGUGGAGAAAGCUCUGCCAGGACUUUGCCUAAAAACAGACGCCGAGACAACUGAGUUUUUGCUGAACAGGUCAUUUUUGCCUUUUAUCGUGGCACAUGUUGCAUAAAUUACUCUUAUUAGUCUCUGCAAUGUCAACACGGUAGCUGUCCUGGCAGCUGUAGACGGUGCUCGCUAGCAGUGCUAGUGUUUACUGCCGCUAGUCACUAGCAAUCCGACAUGGUAAAUCCUAUUUGAAGCUAGCGUAGGGUCUUCUGUCGGCCGGCGUCUUGCUCUGUCAGAGGGGGUGUGUCAUGGAGGGCGAUACAGGUUCGGGGUGGAGUUAUUAUGGAGCACAAAGGGGAGUGGUUUGUGUGUGUGUGUGUGUGUGGGGGGGACGCUUUUCAACUGCUUCUCAGAUCGUCAACCAUGCCUUUAAUUCCUGUUAACUUCCACAAGUCUCCUAAAGUCUGGAGUUGCACAGGUCUGCAUGAGUCUGGUUUGAUAUGUUUGUUUUGGCGACUUUUGACAGGUUAUCUAUCCAUCUGGAAAAACCUGGUCAAAGAUGAAGAUAUUUUUAUAUUUUUGGAAAAAGCAGAGCCAGAGUUGACUUGCUGUCUUUUUGGAGUGAUGGUUUGAAAUGGAGGCGCCCCAGUACAGUCUUUACCUCUCUCUUUCUGAACCACACACUGCACUUUAAAAAAGCCGAUUCACAGAGAAAUCUUUUGAAAUCUGUCAGGUUGAUUGCAUUUUACUCUUCUCUUUGCCUUUUCUUUGUCUUUCUUCACCUGAUGACUGUUGUUUCAUAAACCAAACACACUGUUUGCUCAAACCCUCCGGGCUGCAGUUUCUGAAGGAAAACACACAUAAAGAAUAAACAGAGCUCCAUGUUGUUUAUUACAGUCUAUAAAUUGGAGACUGUCAUUACUGGUCGGCAUGCAUGACGGUGGAAUCAUUAAUAUUGCUUUCCUGCCAUGUUCUUAUUUGCAAGAGGAUGAGACAGCAGCGAAGAUAAUGCAAGCAGGUGUUUGUUUUUUGCUUUUAAAUGGAAAAAAGGAGCUGGUACAAUAUUAAUGAUGUCUCCAACUGUCAGAAAUGUCUCAUGCUUUUUCUUACCUUUCAGCAAAGCGUGGAUAGCUACUAUUAGUCUGUGCUGUUGGUGCUGCAGCUCUACACUCAGCUCUCCAGGCUCUACCUGCCUGCUCCUGCUGCUGCCACACAUCACUUCAGGAAUCUGAUGAACUGUACCAACCUCAGAUUAACCUCCAACCCCAUCUUUCUCUUUCUUCAAUCCCAGACCAUCACUGGGGGUGAGUCAUGCACUCUCACGCUUGGCACAUAGGAACUAGCGCUUACACACACACAUACCCAGACACACACACACACGCACGCACACACGGUGAAGUGAAGUUGCUCAUUGACAGGGUUAUAGAGAGGUUUCAAAUCCACCUGCCCUCCACUGUCAGGCUGGCCCGGCUAUGUCUGGAGUUUAAUGGACUCGGGCAGUGUCAGCUUUUGGAGCAGCCGACGGAUAUUUCUGGAAAUUCAAGUCAAAGCACUCCAAAUUCUCAGCCACAGAAAAAAAUAAUUUGAAACUUCUUCUCCUUGAAACUAUUCACUGUUAUGGAAAAUAAUAAGAGGCUUUCAAAUAACAUUAUUCAGCUUCGGAGUCAUUUUUUUAAUUAAAGAAAGCAAAACCGUCAAAACUGCCUCUCUGCGUAUCUGAAUGACCGUUCUGUCACAGUUAGAAACAAGAAAACAAUUACACAAAGAGAGAAAGUUUAGAUGUGGAAACCAGGUCUAACUGGGUAAUAGUAGAUAUUUUAUAACUAAUAGUAUCACUGCCAACAUUUCCUGUAGGAGUAAAGAUCAGUGAAGAAUCAGUGCCGGCAGAAACGCACUCUGAGGUCUGUGUGUUAGCGGAGAUCAUUAACGCUUUACCCCGAGGGAUCAACAAAAUAUCACAUUUUCACGAUUACAUGCACAGCAAUCAGACUAAUGUAUUCACCAUAUGUGCCUACAUAUGUUUAAAGAAGACAGUAUAAGUUUCUGCUGGGUUGGACUGAACCGUCUUCAUGUCAUUUAAUGCAGCUGUGUUGGUGAGAACGCUGAGCUGACUAACAGGAGACACGCUGCCACAUUUUGGCACCUCACUAAAGCUUUCAGCAGCCAUUAACGUCCAGGUUUUCUAUUUUUAGACCACACGUCAGUGAUCUGGAGUUGUUUAUCUCAAAAACGCAUGACGUAUAAAAGAAAAAUGUUGAAGUUGUUGCAUGCCAAUUUUGAAGCACUUUAGCACAAUUGGAUUAUCAAGUCAAGACCUUUGCUUCAUUUGAUCUUAUUCAUCCAGAGAUAUGCGCACACACACUCUCGCACACAAACACACACUAAAGCUAAAAGGCUUUGGUAUUUUCAGGUGAUACACUUGUACAGAUGUUGCACAGUAGUAGCAUACACACACGGUUGGUAUAAAGGUAAACCCCAGCUUAAGGCUGCUAUACUUGUACAAUAGUUCAGCGAAAUAAUCCCAAAAUUCAAUGUCAGUUUAUGUUCAAACUGUUUUAAGGGGUGUUGCUUCAUUUCGGUUUUAGUUUGAUAUCGUGAAGAAGUGUUACUGUCAAGCUUUCUUUACAUUAAGUCCUGAUAUCCUCUAGUAAAGCCUUUCCCCAGCACAGUGGGAGAUUGUCAGUACUCUGACUUUUGAUAUGCAGGGCAAUACCUUAAAAUCUGGACUGUAAAUCCAGCGGGAAAGUCUGUGUGUGAGGGGCUUCCAGAGAGAAAAAGGCAUUAAUGGUAGACAUCGCAAACACUUCAUGUCAUAAUAUCAUAGCAUAUGCAUGUGUGUUUGACAGAUGUGGAUGAUUGAAUGAUUAAUUUUGCAUGUGAAGCUCAAACUACGGAAGAAGGAAAGAUCACGCAGACGUGUUUGACGAUUUCACUCAGACUCCACGAAUAAUUGAUUUGAAGCAGAUUUGUUGAGAUCGCUCUUUUGCACACACAAGUACCAAAGCACUGUGAAUUGCUUUAAUGAAUAAGAAAGUGUAACCAUUUGUGAAACUUCCUUCAUAAAAAAUGCUUUGACCUUCAAGAAUUUAGCCUAACAAAUAAGAAAAACUGCACACACUUAGGGAUCAAGCAUGCAUUGUGCGUCUUUAAACUAGGGUGACCAUACAGCCUCUUUUACCCGGACAUGUCCUCUCUUUUUGGGGCUGUCCGGCCUGUCCAGCCUUGUCUGGGGAGUUUUUAAAAUCAUUCAAAUGUCCGGGGUUUUGAGUUUGUGUCGUGUGGACUUACUGAGUUAGAAGCGCGUAAAAAACACUUGACCUGAUCCGAAAAACUCCCAAAAUUUACUAUGCCUGACUCUGACUCUGCAUAGUCAUGUCCUCUUUUUCGGGAAGUCAGAAUAUGGUCACCCUAUUUAAACACCAUCUUUGGUCUUACUACAACAUGGUUCAAUACCUCUCUCUGCACUGUAGGACACAGCACCUAUUUUGGAUGACAGAAAAGGUAUCAAACGUGCGUCUAAUACACUUAGUUUGACAUAAUUUCUCGUAUCUAAACCACUGUGUUUUUUUUCCUUUAAUACACAUGAUAGUUAUGUGGACAGGAUGGUUAAGAGUCAAACUCCCAGCCUGGACUAUUUGCUCAGUCUGCCCCUGGUGUAAAUGAUUGUGCUUAAUAAUGUGCGAACAAUGAGAAGAGUCUGUCUGAUUUUUUCUCAUAAAUAUUCUCUUUAUCCACUUUAUUUUCCACUCUCACCUUUGCUGGUUUUCAUCUGAACCCGAUCUCAGCGUCUUUGUAGAAGUUCAGUAGUUACAAGCUGACACCUCUGCCAGAGGAAUAAUGGGAUAGACACUUAUUUUCAGCCUGAAGAACAGCCACCUCCACAGAUGAGUAGAUAACCUUCAAACAACAAAGGUGAUUCUCAAUAGUUGAAAAUUCAAAGCUCUGUGCUGACUGUUAGCUUUCACACACAUGAGGCAGGUAUUUCCAGGCAGAGAGUAAUUCCUGUGGUUUGAAUUGUACUUGUUUCCCACUGAAAAGAUAAACGCUAAAAAUAUUCAUCAAAGACAUGGAGCGGAGGUUUAACAUGUUAAACGCAUGUACCAUACAGAACCUUCUUAUUGUCUCCAUGGCGACAUCAGGAGAGAGACUAUGGAUGAACAAUGGUCUGCUCAUCCUCUCACACACAAUUAUCUCAUACACAGUCGCAUCUUAAGUAGAUAUUAACCUGUCUCCAAGCAUUUCAUUACAUUUUGUAUUGUGAGCUUAGAAACUCAACCACACUCGACUUGAUGCUUUUAUCUACUUGCUCUAUUUUCAUUUGUUUUCCAAGGGGACAGAUACUGUAUACAAAAUGGUAAUGUCCUAUUUAAUCCACAAAGAUUAAACCAUUUGCAAACAAAUCCAGGGCAUGUUCAAAGAACUGCUCUUACAAGAACCCCUGUGGGAUAAAACAGAUGUAAGAUCAGAAGUAGGUCCGCGCAUGAUAACAUUAUCAAUCUUCUGUUUAACAAAUGAAAAUGAUUUUUUUAUUGAAGAGGAUGAAUACUAAUUAACAUCCUAUCCAUACAUGACAGUUCUUACAUGGGGUAAAUGUAUUGUCAUUGUACGUUUCAGAACGAAAGACCUCAUUUCAAGAAUAUUUGUAUUUUAAUUUUGAUGAUUACAGAAAAUGUAAGACUUGAUGUUUCACAAUAUUAGAAUCAUUUAUUUUAAGUUUGAAGAAAAUACUGCUCAGUAAAAUACCAUUAAGUCAGUACUAAACCAUGGACGAAAUCAGAGGCAUCACACCAAGGCUAAGGAUUAAAGAACCGGACUGAUGCUCAGUGGUCCAAAGUCCUCUUUUCAUAUGAAAGUGAAAAGAAAUCAAGGUCCGACAGUCAGGACGAAGCGUGAAGAGGCACAAAAUCAAGGGUUUUUGAAGUCGAGUGUGUAGUUUCCAUUCGGGAGUCAUCUGCUGGUGUGUUUUAUCGAGCCCUGAGUGGACUCAACCUUCGAAUCUUUUAGUUUGACAAGAUUAAUGACUGCUGUUUUACUUUCAAGCAGGACUUAUCACCUGUCUGCAGUGUCAAAACUACCACCAAAUGGUUUUUUUGACUGUUAUAUUACUGUGUUUAUUUGGCCAGCCAAUAAGGUCUUGGUGUGAACCCAAGGAGGAACCUGUGGGAUAUUUGUCAAGAGUGGGAUGAGAAACAACCCACUCAAACAAAACGGACAUGCUGGAAGCUGCUAUCUGAGCAACCUGGCCUAGUACUGAAGCAGGGCCACAAAAUGGUCAAAAACUGAUGGACUCUGUACAUAGCAGCCUCUGGUAUCAGUGAGUGAAUGUGACAUGUGAGCUUUGAGCAGUCAGAGGACAUGAGGCAGAGAGAUAAAAACACAGCCCAUUUACCAUUUUACGUGUAACCAUACAAGGAUACAUGAAAGUUUAUUUUUCCAAGUGACAAAAAUAAUAAUUACCAUAUUCUCAUUGAUAAAGGUGCAGAUCAUGACCAUCCUUUUGUGUACAUCAUCAGGUACGAGUUGAGCUCAAACCCAAAUAAACAGAUCUAAAAACACAAAUAGGUCUUUAAAUCCUCCGCCUCAGAGCAGGGAUGCACAGUCACUUCCUGCCUUGAAGAAUUAAAAAAAUUAACCCCUUCUAUUGUGUGCUCAGAAACCUGUAUUUAAAACGCUCAUUAUUUUAGUUUGUUUUGUUUGUAGGUCUUGUAGGGAAGCGUUCAUAACAUUACUGUUCAUGUACUUUCUUCCACCCCUGAAUUUGAACCAUUUCCUUGAGCUACAUUCAAACACUUAUGUUCAUAUAGCCAAAGGAAGCAUGUAGUUUAUGAAUGCAUAAUGUCAUGAAGACAUUUACUGGUUUAUGUGAUUCUGUUUCCAUAUCUGCUAAGCCAGGCACUAUAAAAGAAAUAAGACUCGAGUGAAAUAAACCAUGGUAACCAAAGUCUCAUUCGUGUUGAACUCUGCAGUAUCUUAACAGCCUUUAUCUAAGCCUUACAGAAGGAAACAACCUCUGUAUGUCGUAUAAUUAACCCUUGACUGAAAAGCCUCUGUGUGGAGUUUUUCAGCAUUUAGGAAACAGGUUGAAAUGAACAGUAACCUCUGUGUGACCUGAGUAGGCAGAGAAGACCACUAGUGGCAAGAUUAGUCAUUCUUAUGUUGUAAUUUUAAUUGGAAGAAAGGGAUAAUUCUCUUCUUUUAACAGAAAGAAAAAGUAAGUCUCUAACCCACUCCUGUGUUUAGUUACUGCCUGCUCAAUGCAGCGUGGUCAUAUCGUCUUUGCCGAGCUGGAAAAAGAAACCACAUUUUUACUAAGGAAAGACUUUCAAGCAGAACUCUGAUCAUCGAUUUAAUUUCACUCCAAACUACGUUACCGGUGGCAUCAAGGUCCUCUCGAGAUCUGAUCGUGAUAGGUCACUUUGUGACGGCUGGGAGUCAUAUUGGCUCUUGAGAACCUGAUGCCUGAUGACUGCUCGCAUCCUCCUCGCUGGUGCUGUCGCUGAAUUCCGCCUCAGUCUCACUCCCCAGUACCAGCACUGGCAGAACAACUACACGCCGGAAAAUAGUUUCUGUGAUUGUCUGCUGACCAUGUGAAGGUCCUGUACCGGGAUCUCCAGUGGAUCCAGAGACGGUAGCACAGCACCCACGGGAGCUGAUGUGCCGAGACCGUUAGCUCUUGGCUAAUGACUUUGGAAUUUUCCUACUCCACAACUAGGCUAAUGGGCUAAUUGUCACAUGGUUUUGACGUAUUUGUCGGCUUUUCUGCGUUCAGAACGGCCCCAAACUUGGUCACAUGUUGGGGAGGAGCGCCCUCUGGCAAAGAAAAAAAAAACUGUCCAAAUCUGUCAUUGGCACUGAAUGACUUAAAGAAGCAGAUAUUUUCAGAGAGUUAUGAUAUUUCUGAUUACAAAUUCCAACAAUAGGAUGAAAACCAGCACAAAUCUGAGAGGGGGAGUCCGGUAGGGGAACCAAAAUCAAGCUAAACAGACGGAUCCUCCAAGGAGCAGCUGGUCACUGAAAAAAAACGAGCCUAUCCUCAGAUGUAAACCGUCUGUGUGGAUGGCAAAUCAUCACAUUCAAUGCAUAUACAAACUCUGCUUGUACAGCUAACCUAAGUUGAGCUUCAUGUAGGGUGUAGAGGCUUUGUCUUCAGUGCCAAGGCUCCAUGAGGCUCACUCUUCUGAACCCUCUAAAUGCUUCCCCCAACAGCUUUGUAUUCUGUGUCGAUCGGCUCAAAUUACGGGCAAUGAUUGUUUACCACUUGUGUUGAAAGCCCUCCCACAGCAAAACAUGCUCUGACCUGAUUUCACACCCUGUCACUGUGAGGGAGCCCAGACAGCCCAGCAUGCGUGUGUGUUCAAGUUAUAGUGUUGUUAAUAUUCAGUCAUAUUUUGAGUCAGUGUCUGAAUAAUACUGUAUGCUACUUAGUGUGUGUUUUUGUGUGUUUGGCGUCGGCAUCUUGGAAGGUGGCUGACAAUAAAGACUGCUAUGCCCCACAGUAGGAUUUGCGACAUGCAGAAAAUUCCUUUCAGUAGAAGAAGAGUUUCUCCUCAAACUUCCUCUUCUUGCCACUCUCUGUGGGAGGAUACUCAACAAAUCCACUUUAAGCUUUGCAUCCGCCUUCACAGUCAAAAAAACAAAAAGUGCACAUGAUUGAACCUAAUGUAUUUGUGCACUCACUGCUUUACAGUAGGAGUAUAAAAUGAAGAAGAAAAUAAGCAUUUCACAUAAAAUGAAAGAGAGGUCAGAGGUGUUUUGAAUUAUUUAGAUGCUCUGCCAAUAAAUCUGUGUGGGGUAAAUCAACAUCACUUAAAGUGAUGCAUUCGAGAUCUUUAAAGGCUCUUGUGUAAGCUGAGUGAACAUAUAAGAGUUAAGUGUAAAUGUCAUGGUUACAUGAGUACAUCCUGUUUACCUCCUGUCCAUUUCAUUAGAGACAUGAGUGGAUCCCCUGAUGGUUUUCAAAGGUGUCCAUGUGCCUUAUCUGUAAAAUGAAGCAGCUUGUCACAGAUUGGCGACAGUGAAAUAGAAACAGGAUGCUGUCUAAUCAUAUUGCUUUCUGCCCUUGAACAUAAAAGGCGGUUUUAUAGCUUGAGCUCAUUAAACAGUUGUUGCACAUGAAGACGAGUAUGUUUUCUAAGGUGACAUACAGCAGAGAUGCAAACUUGUGUGUAAAUUAAAUCAGUGGUUUGUGUUUUAUUUGGGUUUGUUUACUCUGCUGCAAUAUGCUGUCUUCACACAAAAACAUGGUUUGGUUUAAAUGUGCAGCAGUUUUAGGAUGCUUAUCUUCUGGGCCAGUUGGUGUUGGAAAACAAGCCUAUGAUCUGUAGGACAGAAGUGAAAUAAAAUCCCAAGAGAUCCGUGCAACUAAGGCCAAACAGCAAAUCUGGAGUUGGUUUUGAUGCACUGCACGGUCUGAAGAGACUUCAGUCAUCAGCUUGUCCACAAAAAGCUCUUCCAAGUCACAAUUGCACUGUGGUUAAUUGGUAACAUCUCCUUGGCAUCGGUCAAAGGCAUCCUGUGCUUUUUGUGAUCUGCACACACGGCUUUACUCCUGCCUUUGAUUGAGUUCUGGCAGUUUUACAUUCUGCCAGAAUGAAGUAGUCUAUGCUGGAACCGCACAAGUCCUCCUUUUUGAGCACAUUGUACAGCAUGAGUUUAAUUUGAGGGGAUCUGGGAACACACAGCUCCUCUGUUUGGCCUUCUUGAACAACUAAAUGUGUGAAAUUUAUGCAGGAAUGAAUUAUAUAAUGCUUUUCCUCACAUGAUUUCCUCCCACGCUUUUUAGUUAAUUUCUUUUAUGUUUUUGCUUAAAAUGACGCCCUCUUUAAGAGCCAGGGCUGUUUUGGAGCCUUUGGCAUGAUGUGGUUUGGUUCAACUUAAACUCAGGGUUUCUAUGCAAGUAUGGAAAUUAUGGAAAUGUAUGGAAGUAAUUUGAUAAUUUUUCAGAUCUUAAAAAGCAUGGGAAAUAAAAAAUAAAGUAUGGAAAAAUAUUUAGGUUUCAAGACUAUUACUACAGUAAAAAAAAGUUUUCUGAAAUAGAAAUGUAGUUAUUUGUAACUAGGAACUUCGUAAACUCCAUCUUUAAUCGCUCUCACAGUUGCCAAAGAAACAUCCUCUCUUACCCCAAGUUGUGCUAUUUUUUUUUAAACUUAGGACUAUCACACAGUGGCCAUCAGAGAAUUUGAUCUACAACAGCCCAUGCAAUCUUCCUCAGGAAGAAGAGCCACAGGUUCAAAAACAAUUUAAUAUAAGGACAAACUACGGUUUUAUAGAUCAGUAAAGGAAUUGAGGAAAUAACCACAUAUGCAGCCAGAUGAAGAAUUAAACAAAUGAGCGGUGACAUUUGAAAAUGCAAAAACAAAGGAACAGACCGUGUUUGAAAAGAAAGGAAAACAUACAUUUCAGUGGAUUUCAUUUGAAGUGUUGGAGAAUAAAGGGAAUUUUGAAGCUAUAAGUGUAUGAAUAUGCAUCAAUGGAUGCAGUAAUUGUAUUGUACUUGUUAUCCAACCGUUAAGUGAGUAGUGCGUCAGUAAGUCACACACGUAACUCCUUUAAUUAAUGACACUUGGACGGCGUACAUGAAUAGCAUGUACAUGUUAUUGUUAGAGAUAAAAUAAUGUAUGUUCAUGCAUGUGAAAUAACACAGGCUCUGUGGGUGUGAAGUGGAUGUCCAACACGUGUUUACUGUUCUGUUUAGUCACAUAAAUGUUGAUUUAAAUCCCAGACCUCUUUUUGUUCUAGUCCUUGUUAAAUUCCUCUCAAUAAUCAGGUAAUGUCAUCAACAAUAAUGAUCACUGAUCUUUUAGCUCAGCCGCAACACUAUUAGAUAAACACCGUAGUAAAAUGCCCACUGAUGGAGGUGCUUUAAUAAGCUGACUGCUUUGUUUUGGUAAUACGAGUAUUGCCAUAAAAAGCUCCAUAUUUGUCUGUAAAUAGGCACACAGAGGAAAGCUGCCCUAUGACUUUUGUGUUUCAGACACUUACUGCUAAUAAUUUAUGCUCAUUACAGAUGGCACAAUAGUGGGACAUAUAAAGAGCCAAUCUUUAUUCAUUCAAAUACAGGUCACUAGAUGUCUUUCUUCUGUAAAUUCUAAAUUGCCUCUCUUUCUCCGUCCGCCUCUCUCAGUCCCUUUUCCUCCACCCACCAUCUCUCGGCGUUUGAGAAAGUCGACUGAAUUUAAAUGGGAUAAAUCAUAAAUCUGAUUAACUGAAUAUUCUCUGUGAUCUGGAGGGCAAUAUGAAAGAAAGGUGAUGAAUUGAGAAUGAUGAGGAGACUUCUUUCAUUUUUUUUUUUUUUGACUCCGUCUGUCUUCCCAUCCACCCCCCGUCAGGAGUUUAGCUGAAUAAUUUACCAGUAGGGCAAUAAUGUGAGGUACUUCAUUAGAUGGAAAAGCUCUCCAGUGUCAAUGGAGAUGUCUCCUAAUUGAGAAGCCUUUGAUGAAUCCUGAUCAGGACCAUGACAGUCCUAACAGUCUCUAGACGUAUUACAGUAACCUGUAAUUUUGAACAGUUGCCACAGAGGUUUGACACUGCUUCACAAACACUCAUUAACCUACUAUUAACAGUUGUUAACAGUGGACUGGAUUACACCUCCGGUUUAAAAGAGUUUGUUGCUCCAGAUUAAAAGAAAUAGCACAGAAGGGAGAAAUCAGGGGAAGCUUUUAAAACCAUUUUUUACUCAGAAUGGAUGACAGCAGACGUUUUUGAUCCUUGGAGGGACUAAAAAGCCAACAAAGUAUAAAGCACACUGUCUCGUGUUGAUAAAGGUCAGCGUUGUAAACAGAAUUCAAACCUUGACCGUGGACUUUUUGGCGUCUGACACCUCUGACACCACCUGUGCCUCAGUGGGAUUCUUACAUUCACCUGCACUGCCUCUGCACUGCCUCACCACUUUACCUCAAAGAAAAUAAAGGCCUCAUAUUUAAUCGCAGCAAUCUUUUUUACAUUAGCCUGAAGAUGCAUUUCAUUACAGGUUGUAAGGUCAGCAGGCAACAUUGACUUCGAAGCCUGAAGACUUCACAUUAUUCAGUCUUACGCCAUUAGCUGCAAAGGUUAUUAGCUCAGAGUUUUAGAGCUGUAUCAGGAGUUUGAGAUUAAUGAAAAGGAAUGGCAUCAAGUUAUUACUUGGAAUGGGUUCUUUGCCUGCUCUCUGGCCCAUAAUGUUAUAGGACAAGCCUUAAAGACUUUAUAGAAACACAAAAGACUUUACUGGCUGACAAAUAGUUGUAUGUUCCAUUACAGUGGAGCUUCACAUACUUUUAUUAUGUCCUGUAGAAGUCAGUCAGGCUGUUUAAAAUGUUUUUUUGGCUAUGAAAACAUCCAUUAACCACAAAAUGCAGAGUGUUGUCGCAAACUUAGAGCUCUUUUAGAUGCACUUACGAAGCUGUAAUGGAGUAACAAUGGAAGACUGAUAAGUAGAUCAAGUCAUUUAAAAAGGAGAUUAAAACUAUGAUUUCAUAAAUGGUAACAGAAAAGUAAUAGAUCACAUAUGUCAGAGUCAAGGCCCGCGGGCCACAUCCGGCCCGCGAGAAGGUUUUUUACGGCCCCUGGGAUGAUCUUGAUUUAUUAUUAGAACCGGCCCGCAGACCGCAGCAAGCUGGCAGCCCGCAGAUCUUUUACACGCACCAAUACUACAUUUCCCACAAUGCAACGGUGACGCACCGAGCAGUAGGCUGCUUCAUUUCAAUAUUUAUUAGCACAGCAGUCGUCAGCAUAACAGUAAAAUUAACUUUAAGAUACCCAUCAAAAAUGGCAAAACGGAAGGUGGACACUGAGAACCGGGGGUUUCAAACAAGGUGGGAGUCGGAGUAUAUGUUCACGGAGGUAGCUGGAAAACCUGUGUGUCUUCUGUGUGGAGAAAGUGUGGCGGUACUGAAAGAGUAUAAUCUGAGACCACAUUAUGAAACGAAACACGCGGAUUUUUGCACUUUAUUUUAUUGUAUUUCAAUCCAAUUAUAUUUUAAAAAUAUUUCAGUUGAGUGGAUGAUCGAAAAUUGCUAUUAAUUUUUUUUUCUUUUAAGUAAAUUUAGCCCACUUUUGCUAAAAUAGAAAAUAUAGGCUACUGAUGGUGCCUUGAAUAAUACGGGUUUCUUUCAUUUAAUGUUCAUGUUAUGGGGAUUUUUAUAUAAAGGAAAUUUGUCUUUUGUGUCUGUUGAAAAUUAAAGAUUACUGACAGAGCCAUAAGAAAAUAUUGCUUUAUUUAUCUGAUCAUAUUGGAAUAUAUUUGUUAGGUUUUCAGUAGGUUCAAUUAGGUUAACUAGACUAUAUGCGUCAUUUAAAAAAUUUUCAAUGAACAUUCGAUCAGUCCAGCCCUCGGCUUGUAGCUAAAUUUUUUAUUUGGCCCUUCGUCCAUUUGACUUUGACACCCCUGUAAUAGAUGAUGGUUGAAAUUCAAAUUACAGAGAAGAAAAUCCCAUAAUAAGGUUGUGGAUAUUUUUGACUGACCAAAAAUUGACAAAAAAAAAUUUAGAAGGUUGAAAUAUUUUUAUAAUUAAAAGACCUAAAAAGAGCAAGGUGGUUUUAAACGCACAAAGCAAACCAGACCCAACAGACCAAAUCACAGGCAGCUCAGUUAUGUAAAGAAAGGCAUACAUGCUUAUUAAUUUUAUUAAUUUUAAUUUAAAAUCAACUCAAACUGGAUCAUUUGUGACAUGAUAGAUGGUGUUUAUGAAGAGCAGUGCUGUUAGGAAAAAGAGGAAGAAAAAAGCUGGACACAUUUAAAUGAACGCAUAAAGAGUCUUUCUCUAAAGUAGCAGAUUAUACCUUUUUGUUGUCAUUACAGGGUCUUUAAUUGUGUUAUUUCUCAUGGUCACUCUUUUGCAGGUGCAUGAAUUAGAUCUUGCAUAACUUCAUGUGUUACAACAUGAUACAACACAAUAUGAUAUAGAAUGAUGGCAUCCAAUGCAUGAAAGUACAAUAUGAUUCAAUACAUGUUGACACAAUACAAUGCACCAUGAUGCACUGCAAUAUAAUAUGCAGUGUUAUACAAUACUGUUCCAUACAUAAUAGUGCACUGUGAACCAAUAUCAUGCUAUACAAUAAACUUAAUACACAUCAUGUUCCUUACAGAAAAUUGGUCUUGCACAAAAAGUUCAGCACAAAUUUUACAGCAUCUUGGCAUUAUACAUAUUUAAAAACAAUGAACAUGUUAACCCAGAGGAAUAGAUCAAUAACCAGCACUAACAGCAUACUUUCACCAAACAUCUCCCACAUACAGCAGGGAGGCGUUAGAAUUAUUCUACAUUUUCAAACAAGCAAAAAAAAGUGAACAAAUAUAAUACAUUUGGAUCUUUAACAUUAACUCUUCACAUUUGACCCCUUAAACUGAGUCUUUUGAUAAAAAAACAGAAACUGUAACAUCCAUUUUUAUCUAACCUUGGUGACCUUCUCGGCAAGAAACAUUAGAUGUAGCCCUCACUUUGCAAGCAUACAGAGUGCGGAGCAUUUUAUCAUGCUGCAGACGCUGCAGAGGAGAGGCCAUUGAUCUGUGAAACCACAGUGUCAAACCUCUGCUCUGUGAACGGUGUGUCGACUGCAAGGCUGCAUGUAAAUUGAACCUUUUUGGUCCUAAAGGUUUAAAUACUGCAUUUAGAAAAUGUAACUUUUUACUACCUCCUUAUAUUCUGCACUCCAUGCAAAAUGGUAAGGUUAUAUGGACUGUAAACCUGAGGGUGUAAGGCUUAAGUAUUGUUAUCAGCCAGUCACACUUCUCAUCCCAUCCCUAUUAAAAAGCUGUACCAGUCAGUGGCGCAUGAAGAUAAUGUAAUAAAAGCUCAUCUCAGAGUCAAGCCUAAAAAAGCUCUCAACUAGGCUCUGUCAUUUAUCUUGGCAUGAGAUGAUGUAUGGGGUCUUAGGGUCUGUUACUGUGCAUACUUGGCAUUUGUCAAGUGGUUUCAAGGUCAGCGUGCUGACAGGGUUGCUUGUCUCAUGUCCUGUCUCUGAUUGUCAUAGGCAGGAUUUUAAUAUGGAGAUCAUCCAGCUUGGCUCCUCACUGGAGUUCUUUUACAGCGCCUUGAUAUUCUGGUCAGCCUGCAGUUUUUAAAGUGCAGCUUUCUCUGUCAAAAAGAAAAGCCCGGCUUUUAUUUUAACCUUAUGCAGCUUCACCUUUCAAGUUACAUUGCUUAAUUUAUUAUUAGCACAUCCUUUGAAUUGCUUAUCAUGCAGUACUUGUGACAUUACCGAAUACAUUUUUUUUUUACUGACUGGUACUGUUCAGUGAUUUUUCCUGAAAAUGUUUCAAUGUAAGCUUUUUUCAUGUUGAACCUUGAUAUUAUAAAACUGUUUCCUAAAAAAAAAAACCAACAUAUUAAUGCAUGGUACAAAAUGGUGAGAGAAUGAGUCAAAAAAAAAUGAAAGAGACUGGCUAUAUUGACAGCAACGCCUGUAAAAGUGGUCAGUGGUAUUCCCCAGGAUGGUGGCCUUGGCUUAGUUCUAGUCAGUUAUCUCAACCUCAAAAACUGCCUUGAUGAUUGUACUAGCAGGGUGAAAGGCAUUAAAGUACCAUUGCAAUCAUUUUUUACUACUUAAAGUCUUCUCAGUGGUCUUUAAAUUGUGAUUAUUACGUUUUUAACCAAAUUCGCAUAACCUGUGUCAUUUUAAAUGGCUUUUCUUCUGCAGUGCUGUAGUAGGUGUAGUAGAAGUGAAAGGGAACAUAGGAGAUAUUCAGCUCUCUAACUCUUAUGUCUUGAUGAAAGUUAAUAUCAUAAUUAGCUUUAUUACAAGCAUUGUAAUCCGCUACCGCGCACACUUGUCCCACAAUCGUCCUCUCUACUUUUCAGGGUCUGGCCUGGAGAGCAGGGCGCUGGGGGCGGAGCAUAGAUUUGUGACGUAGAAAAUCUCACUGUAUCUGAACCUGCCGUUUGGGUCUGCCAGAGGCUCACAGAGAUUUGAAUGCAUUUAUACUCAGAAAUGCAAUUCUGCACUUACUUUCCUCAUGAUGUGUCCUCUAGCAUCGAAUAAAUGUAGAUAACGAGAAAAACAUGAUUUUCAUCAGAGCGGGUCUUGAACUAACACUGAUGGGUACUAUGCUGUACAUAGCGUUAGUAUAUGCAUGUGGUGUGAAGAGGUCAAAGUGCUUUAAAGAGUAAGGUUGUGAUGAUUGGAGAGCAGACACUUGAGCAGCACCCAAACCAGUGGCAUACCACUGAGGGAAUUUGCAAUCAUGCCCACCUACUUGUUGGAUUUUGGACAUUUAAAGUAAUAAAAACUCUUUAAAAGUCUUAUUACCUGUUACAGGUCUUAAUUUUAGACAUGUCUACAAACACUCAAUUAAAUGUACAGUCUCUCACAGUGACUUUAGGUAUACUUGUAUCUUGGGACCUUGUAAUGAACGGAGAAAAUUUAAGUUCAAAGUUCAGUUUUACAGUUAAAAUUAAACCUCAGAAAAAAAAGGCUAACUCGGGGGCUACUUGCAAGAUAAGCAAAAAUGCUUCAAAGCUUAGCAUAUGAAGCAUAUCUGCCUCACAGAAAUAGAAUUAAUGUUUCUCUGUUCAUGUUCUUAAAUGGUCUUUAAAAUUAUUUUAAAAUUUAAAGUAAACACAAUAGAAAACCCAAAACUCCAGCCCUGAACCCAUCAGAUAGUAGGAAGUAAAACUAGCAGAGCCACUGGUGGUUGAUCCAAAAUGUGACUCAGGGAUGAGUCUCACAUGUGGACCUGGGGCACCUGAGGAGUCAUUGGGGUUACUUCUCAGAAGGAUGUCUGCACUGCCUUGCAAUAUUGAGUUGUGAUAGUGUCCGGAAUUCUUGCGAUGUGAAUUAUAGAUUCUCUGAGGUACCUAAUAAUUACCAUCCAUCCCACUGUCCAUUUACUCCUCCAUACCAUCCAGUGCAUUUGAGAGAAAGAAACACAUAAGCUACACAUGCCCCCCUUCCCACAGCACACACAGCCUCCAGCCUCCAUAUCUUCUGCAGAUAUUGUGUUGCAGUGACCGGUGCAUUUAAGCCGCAAACCCCUCUAUUUCCCCAUCGCUCACUCUCACUAUCCCUCCAUCGCCAGCUGAGCGGGCGUCGGGAUGCUAUCACACCCCAGGCAAUCAGAGAUACAGUCAUAUGUCACAAAUAGGUGUCAACUCUUAUUACAGCAGGGAGGGGGAUGAAGGCAAGUGAAAACUCACUUAUCAGAAAGGACACCGCGGUGACAAAUGCUGUCCCUCCUUCUCACUUUCUCCAUUAGCCAGGCCUGUGCUAGAUAUGACCUUUUUUUCCUUCACAGGCCAGUGAUAUCUGACCAAUAAUACAAAUGUAUACCCCUUCCCUCACUCCCUGCACCCAUCCCAGUUGACUGAAUAGACCUGUAAACAGGAAGUGGAGUUGAUUCAAUGUUAUUUAAAGGUUUAGAAGUCAUCCUGCCAGCACAGGAAGGACAAACAGGUCAUCUUCUCUACUUUUAUGAAGUUUUCAUUUGUUGGAAAUAUGAUUUAUUUCUCAGCGUUGGAUUUGGCCAGGUUUAGAAAAGUUAUCGUUCAUAAUUUAUUGUGUUUACUAUCGCCUGGAGCUGGUUUCUGAAACAAAGUUUUUGGUUUUUGAUUGUUCAAGUUAUUUUUAAAUGGAAACGUUUUGUAAUUCAAUGUAGUGUUUAAGUUUGGAGGUGUAAAAAGUUAUGCAUGUGAAACUCCUCAUGGGAAAUAUUGCCCUUAAGAUCAGCCAAAGGGAUAUAACUGUGUUGCAGUUUUAUCAUUUAAAUUAAACCAAAAAGUGAUCCUUGUUGGCUGCUUAAAUUUCAGUAAAAAAAAAACGUGUUUAUUCCCUUUUAUUGAAUGAUAUUAAAUGACUGAAACUCUCAAGUAGCAAAUCUCCAUUCUUACAAAUCAAUGAAUUUUCCACCAGAUCUACACAAUGUGAUACAAUUGUAGAGGAUGAAAUCUUUACCCUUGUCUUUGUGCCAGAAAUACAGCCCCUUAUUUUACACAAAAGCACACUGGAGCUGAAGAAAAUACGGCAGGCACAGUACACAUCAUACAUGGUUUAUGGUACAUUGGCUCUGCUGAUCCGGGGCUGCAGUCUCUGUAGCCUGGGGAGACGCUAACGUUUGAUAAGGAACUCUGUAGUUGCUGCGAACAAGAGAAACUCAGCUGCACAGCACUUCCAGUCACAUCAUAUAAGGUUCCCAUUUUAAGAUCUUUGUUCUGGUCUAGCAGCAUAACCCCUGUAGAAACCAAUGUGGUUGGAUAAAGUGAAGAAAUGAAGAAGUGUGAUAAGGGAUAAAUGUUUUACACUGACACCACUGCAGAGGCAGCUUGCGACAAAAACUAUUCACAUUAGAUUAAAAUUCACCCUGGGUCAGAUAUCGGUGAAAAUGUAACUUUUUUGUAGGAUCUUUGAAUUGAUAGCUAUUUCACCAUAUUAAUAUUUGCCACCUUGCUCUACCAACAUUGGGGUUAGUUUGGGCUUAAAAAUGACUUAGACCUGUAUGUUGUAUGGCUUUCCUCAAAUCUCAGUUCGUCCACUUCUUCUUUUGGCCUUUUUGGAGUUUCAGAGCCAAAACCGACAGUUUGAGGUGGAUUUGAGAGUAUAGAGCAGCUCAGAAAUGGCAAUAAAAUCUAGAAAGCAUGUGCAUUAGACCUUUUUAUUAGCUAGCUAAUUAAAAAGUUUAUAACCGUGUUUGCCACAGAACCAGAUUUUGUUUGUUUUGGUCACUGGCCAGAGUUGAUUGGGCUAAAACUACAAGAGCUGGUAUAUGGCAGAAUUUCAGCUGGUUCUGGUGGAAGAGAGAGUGUCAGAUAAACACAGUGAACUUGUGCUUCUCAUCCCCACAGCCUGCAGUCUGCCCUGCAGGAUAAACUUAUCAACAUAAGUCCUUUUCACAAAUGUAUCCAUAAUAGUUUCUUUCAGGUUCUGAUAUUUUAAAGACGUUGCCAUCCACACAUACUUUUCACAGCAGGAGGUUUUCCAUGUGUGAAACCUCAAAAUACUCUGUUUAGUUAAGGUCCGGUGGCACAUCAGGAGAGGAGGAAAUGUAAUGCUGACUGUUUCUGACCACGAAAAGCACAAAGACGUUUCUACAGGACAAACACAACAACAGGAACAAAAAACUUACUGGAAAGUUGAAAUUGUAUCAAUAAUAAUAAUAAUAAAAAAACCCUCAAAGUCUGCUCAUUCUACCACACUCUCCCUCCUCAUGAGUAUUCCAGAUGCUUUGUUCAUACGUUGGUACUCCAGACAUUUUUCAAGGGGCAAACAGGAAAAGUCACAUGCAUGGAAAGUUACACAAAUGCAAUGCAAAUGUCACAGGGGCUUAAAAGAGAAACUAAACACUAACACACAAAGUGAGCAUGAAUAGUACUAUCAUCUAACUCACAGGAAGAGUUAAGGCUCAGGGUACUAUUGUAUAUCUCAGACAUGAACAAACCAAGGCCAUCUAUACCAAAGACAGAAGAAAAAAACUCCACUGAAAGUUAAGCUCAGUGACUUAGCUGAAGUGAACUAAAAAAAAAAAAACACCUCUGAUUCCACAAAACUUAGAGUAAUGAAGAAUAAUGAGCUUAUGAAAUGAACCCUCCCCAAUCUUGUUUUAGGGGAUGAGCUGGCGAGACCAAAACAUUUUUGUACCACACAGUAAAAGUGUUAAAGUAGGAUCAGGGACAACCUGAUCACACACAAGGUCAUAUGUGAAUAUGAGAUUUGUUUAUUUAUUUAUUUUGAAUGAGGAAUAUGCAUUAAUGAACAUUAACAUGUAAAUACAUGAGAUUAUAGCCAAGUGGCCAAUUUCCAUCCCCAGUCCCAUUAGCAGGUUGAUGUCAACACAUAAAAACAACCAUCAGUAAUAGGAAUAAAACACAGAGAGCUUAUUAAAAGACAAGCAGCAUACAUUAACCGUAGACAACCUUAGCGACAUACAGUCCAAAAUAAAACGGUCUGGGAGUUGGGGGACCAUGGUAAUUAUACACAGUGUAUUAUAAGGUGUACAGUGCUAAUUAAAGUGCCAUAGUGCUAAAGUGCCAAAUGCUAAAGUGCAGAGUGCUAGCUGCCUGGGAGCUAAGGUCCUCUUUAAAUAGCUCAUUGUCAGAAAUAUGAAGUGUAUGUUGAUUGCACGUUACCCUGCUGCCCGCGAUUGUACAGUGCCAUGUUGAAUACAAUAUUGCACAGUGCCCAUAGCACACGGUUGCUCUUACAGGAGUAUAGAAGUCUCAUUAGAUAUAAAAUUCCCAUCUAUUUGAAUUAUUUAGGUUUAACAUUCACAGGCCAAUAAACUUUAUGUGCUGCAUAUUUGUCAGCUGAACGUAAAUGAAACAAUUAAGAAUUAGAUUUGUGUAAUAAUACCAACAAACCCAAUGUGUUUAGAAUGAAUAAUGAAGAUUUACAUAUUCAUCAUUGAUAAAUUCAAUUUGUUUCUGUCUCAUUAAUGUUAAUUUAAUAAAUCUUGUUUGAUCCAUAGCUUGUUAUAUUCACACUAUAUUCAUACAUUGAACUUAUUUAAUUGAAUUGUUUUCACAAUUAACAGAUUCAUGCUGAGUUUAAGAAAUUUCAAUAAAUAAAUUUAAAGUAAUGUAAAACUUUAAAUCAAAUUAAAUAGAUGUUAAUACUUAAAAAUAAACUAUGCCAUGAUUUAUGUGAGUGUGCACAUGCAGAUGUGUGAGUAGAUAUUGCACCAAAAGAAAGGAUUGUUGCCUGUUUAUAGACUUUAUAGGCUGAUAAGAAAUCUGCAUUACCCACCAUGAAAUCAGAGUUACUCUAUGUUCUAAGCCAUAUAAAUAAAUCCUUUUUUAAUCAGUAAAAUCAGAUCUUAAUCAAUAUUUUGAGUACAUUUUUUUUCUGUAGCUUCAGUUGGUUGCAAAUAAACUUAAACUCUAAUUUGCAUAAGCACAUUUUCACUCAUUGUCUCUUCCACAGAAGUAAGGUGGUGACAAAACUAAACACAUUGUUAGUUAAUGGGCUGGUAUACAAAAUGAAAACAUGACAUUUUAAUGAUAAAAUUAUGCCAUAAGCAUGUAGUGACUGCAAGUAAUUUCUCAUUCAGCACAGAAAUCCAGCGAUGUACAGUCACCGCAGAGCUAAUAUAAUUAUGUCAAUUAACCGGUAUGACUAUGUAACCUGAUAGUUGCAUAGUGUCCUCGGUGGACUGCAUCUGUUUUUUCACCAAUGUUUGAAUCAUUGAUGGUUUUGUUGCCUAACUGUAUGAUCAGUUUACCCUGAAAGACAACAAGCGUCGUAAAACUGUGUUAUUUUUUUAAGGAGUUCUGCUGUUUAGUCCUGUUUGCUCUUCUGCCCUGCAUUUGUGAUCUGAAGACCAAGAUGUUGCUGAAUAAAUUACCUGGAUUUUCCAGGAUUUGUUUGCUCAUUUCAAGAUAUAGUUAACCCUCAGCCUACUUUCUAUUGAACUUUUUCUAGACCAAAUAACAUCUAAAAAAAAACAUUAUUCCUCGCUCAGGUCUAUUGAACCAUUUUUCCCCUCUUGCUUCAUUCUCACCAUCAUCACAAGCCAUCUGCCUAUUUCAUUUCCUAUCUCCUCAACACUUCUCCGAUUUUAUCACUUUCUCUCACUCCAUCUCCAUCCGUCCAUUUCUCUCCUCCGUGGCAGAUGUGGAGACUCCCUGGACGAAGGCUUCUUCUGGGAUGAUGGGUAAGAAAAUCACCAAACGAGGACGAGUCAGCCAUCAAUCUUCCUCCUGGCUGUAUCUUCCCUUCACCCUCUCCUGCUCUCCUUCACUAUCACUUCCUCUGUGUCUGUUCUCUAUCUCUGUCUGCCUGUCUUCCCUCUUCCUACUCUAAUCCCACCUCCCAUCAAGGCUUGGACAUGUGUGAUGGCCCUCCUCACUCCUUCAGCUAGGCCAAUAUAGCCCCUCUCUCAGCCCUCUCCUUAUUACUCCUCUCUCUUGAUAGGAUCUCCAGGAGGCUUGAAGCUAUUGUGUUUUUCUCACCCUCUGUCCUUCAGUGUCCGUCUUUAUAGAAUGGAUCCGGCUGGAAGAUGGCUUAGCUAAAGCCACAGUGAAAAUCCUCGACUGAUGGUUUCAUACAGGGGGGUGCUAUUCCUAGCUUAGCUGCCACAUCAGGCAGAAUGUGCCUAAAACCCCCUUUUCAGAAAAGACAUUUCUACUGUCACCAAGAGCUAAGAUGAUGUUGGUUGAACUGUAAGCCAAUUAAGCUGCUUUAGAAAAACCACGCCAAGAUCCAUAAAGAUAAAGUUGUGGAUUAGGUAUAAACCUUGUUAAACACCUUAGGGUCUCAAAAAAGGGGACUGGGUUAUGGCCUCCCAUUCAGUGGCUAAUGUCCAUGUAUGGAGCCUGGAGAUCACAGAGAGGUUUUAACCUACCCUGUCAGCCUAAAUUAAUGAGGUAAUUAAGGGCUCAGGUGGAAUUAGCGGCAGACACCUUAAGCGCCCUCGGGCAGUGGGGUAGUCAGGCAGGAUGUAAAGCUGCAGUAUAGCUAGAGGACAGAUGCCUCUACGGAGAGCUGUGGUGAAGGUUAAAGGUGAAAACGGACAACUGUUCGUCUGUAGAACUACAUAUUUAUUUGUUAUGGUGACAGUUCCUGAAAUGUAGCUGAUGGCCGAAAAAUGACACUGUCGGAACAGUCACAGCAGUUUGUUUUCCACUUAAAGACUUUGGUCACAAGGGAUCAGGUGAACAUAAGGAGAAUUUAGGGGGUUCUUUUAGGGACUCUAAUGUGAUUAUAUUACAUAGACUGCAGCAGUCAUAAAAUCACCCAAUUUAAAGGCCCAUAAAAGACUUCCCAAGGAAUAAUAUUCACAUGAUGGAUCCUUAAUACUUGCAGUAUAGCUUAAUGGAAUUUUCCAUCCUCUAGGGUUUUUCAUUUUCAAUCUCCUCCAUUCUUGAAACUCUUUUUUUUUGUUUUUUUUUUUGCUGGUUUCGAUUGCAAGAAAGAUAAAAUGAAAUCAUAUUUUGGUUAUUACCGUAAAGAUUUAAGUUUAUUGUAACACCAAGGGCAGAGUGAGGUGGCCGGGGGGGUUAACUAAGGCCAUGCCCGCGUGUGUACAUCUGUUCAAACUGACUUUUCCUUUGAUACUCUAUUUUGAUAAACGCCUGUGUACUCACAGAUGUUUGUGGAUAUUUCCCUGUCCACACCACAAAGCAGAAAUAGUUGUAAGGGACGGCGGGCUGAGGCUCAGUGGUUGAGUUGGUAGUCUCCCGGUCAGACGGUUGGGAUCCCAGACUAUAGUCUGUCAUGUCAAACACCAAAGAGGAACACAAUGUGAAUUCUUACUGAGCCUCUUUAUUUUGUUGGAGUUCUUUGUUACCUCUGUUUUUAUGUUGUCCAGCUGUUCUUCAAAUUUCGCGAACCGUUUCUCAAGAAAGGUUUUCUUAUUUUUCAUCGCGUAGGUUGGCAUGGAUGAUAAAGCUAGCAUAAACGUCUCAAGCUUUUCGUCGUCUUUCAGUGGAUCAAACACGGUUUUGCUUCUCAAACCUUCAGCCAUCGCAUACACACGAGUCACGGAGGCCCUGGGGAAGGAGUUGUUAAGUUAACAAUGUAAGGUAGAUGGAUAAUAUGUAAAAGUUAGGAGUGGGAGGGCAGAGUAACCGCGUUACGCAGCCAUCUUGUCUGCAGGUCACUUGAGUUCCUCUCUAUCUGAGCAUCUUUAUGAAGAAGUGAAUGUAAACAAUGUGUUUUAACUGUUUGAGAGUGCUGAAUUAAAAACUUUUGAGUGGGAUAAUCUGGUAUCAUGAUGAAUUCAAACCUAACCGUACAAAGGCUGCCAUCUCGGCACACAUGAGACACAUUAACAAUCAUCGCCACACACAUAGCAGAGGAGAUGACAUUAGUGUUUACUAAAGUGUUCAUUUUUGUUAUCCACUCAAAUACAUUUCCAUCAAAGAAACAAGUUUAUAAAAUAAAAAUCAAUAUGUCUGUUUUACACAGAUGAUAGCAUACUGAAUAUAGUCAAAGUCCCUCUGGCAUUUGAACUUUAAAGUUAGAUAAGGGUGUUUAUCUGAAUCCAGACACUGGAGGUGUUAGUCGAUGAUGGCUUCUGAGGCUGGUGUAGCUAAUGAAACUGUAAGACACUGGCAGAGAUGGAAAGGUGGAGAGUUCAACUCAACAACUGCAUCGAUUAACUAGAGAAAGAGGCAGCCAGUCUUAAAAGACAGCAGCAAUGUGAAAGGCUCAUGACGGGGGUGUUACACUGCUGUUGGACAGAUAUGGCCAGGUGAUGAGAACAGCUGAUGAGCAAAGAAAAUAUAUGAGUGAGCAUGUGUGGAGGAGUGACAACAACACAAAGACAUUAAGACAGCAUGAAGAAUAUCGUCUUCCUGACUGAACUGUCACUUCAUACAAAACAGAUUUUUUUUUUUACAAUCUCCCCCUCUAAGAGCAUUUCUACAAAAAACUGCUUUCAACAGCUUGAAGCUUUGUGUACUUUUGGAUGGGAGGCUGAAAUCCAGAGGAAAAAAAAAAAAGUGAAAAACAGUCACAAAUGUGUGGGCAGGGCCUAAGUAGGUCGUACCUCUCUCAUCUGACUUGGUUACUACCUGGUCCAUGACUCACACCCACUCAGAGUGCACCAGUCCUGAGUAGGAGCACUCGUACCUGCUCCCAGUCUCAUCAUGUUGGUCCACAUCAACAUUUGUGGUGUUGAAAGUCGCUGCAAUUUUCUCUCCUCUUCCAAACCUGCAGAGGUUGUGAAUAAAAUCAUCUGAAAAAUAAAAGUGAGGUCAUUUAAAUGGGCCAGUUUUUGGUAAAUAAUCUAUGAGACCAUGGAAUAAAAAUGUUAUCUACAAGUGAAAUUUCUCUGAAUUGUCACAGGCCUCUAAAAAAUUCACCAGAUAAAAUAUGAAAACAUAUUUCUUUUUAGAAUCAUUACAGCAGGAGCAUCGACAUCUUUGCCACAGUUAUACCAGGAAGUUCUGGUUGAAAUGGUGAGCCUUUCAGGGUCAUCGAGCCAAUCGUGAUAUUGCUUGAAAUAUCUUUUUAAUAUAAGCAGUGAUUGUACAUGCAGGUGUCAAACCACUAUAAUGUACAUAAUCAGACAGGACUUCAAUCAAACUGGACAUAAUUUGAAGUUGGUUUAAAUUUUGCUUUAAGCCCUAUUUGCACUGGAUUAAUAUUACCAAGGAACUUCUGAUGAUUUGUAAUAGAUACAGAGGAUGUCUGCUUUUUGCUUUUUUAAUCCCACCUGAAUCAACCAUGUCUGAAAUGUGCCGAGUUAAAAUUUCAGGGCAAAUCACCUACAGUAUUUCAGGACACACAGAGACCCUCUGAUAAUGAUAAUCCAGUCUGGGUCGACAUCUCAUGAAUUUGAGAUGGUAAUUUGGUUCCAAGAAGUUUUCUGCUGCUUUUUUGUGCCUCUGUUCCAGAUAAGAAUUAUUAAAGGUAUUUUAAAUGGAGGUUCUAACAGCACUUUGGAUGCAAAUUCAGCUGAAACAAAAUAAUUUCUAUGUACGGCAAUGAUGAGUAAAUAUUGUAAGGCUAAUUAGAAUAUUAAUAUAAUAAUUUAAAAAGGAUGGGCAGUAGCAUAUGCAUGUUGGGCUCACUACAAACUGUCGAAUUGUGUUACGUCUAUUCCCAAGUGAACCACACUGAUGCAUAUUGUGUGUUUCCCAUAUUCUUUUGUCAGUCACGGGAAACGGCGUAAACUCUGUUUACUUAGGUCGUAGUCACGCCAGAGGUGCUUAGUCUGCUUUAAAUGAACCCUUGGUCAGGUUCAACAGGACCAGUGUGAAAACAAAGAGGGCCUAAGGCAGGAGGUGGCAUAACCUGCAUUGCAUUGUUAUGUUAGUGCCUUGCUGACAUACCCAGCAUUUUUGUAACCAUGGCAACAUGUUGUAUUUUAUCACUCUUGUCAGGACUUGACGCCUUCGAUACUGAUUUGCUCAUGUACAGAACAUGGUUGACAGCUCGCUGCCUCAACUGCUGCUCAUACUGGGUGCCUCCUUGGUGUUCAUAUUAUAAACACAUUUAUUAUAUACAACACCGAAGCAGAAACCUAGAGCAGCAGAAAUUACAUGUUGCUCAACUGUGUCUGUGGUGAAUAAGCCAGCCAAAUAGGAUUCUGUCUGGUCCAUGCUGACCCAUAGAUCAUCUUCUUUAUAGAUCAAGUGUUUGUUUGGUAAAGUCACCAUAAACAGGCAGCAAUCGUACAGUGCUCAGCAUAAAUGAGUACACCCCUUCAGAGUUGUCAGAAAACCUUUAGUUUCCUACGUUUUGUCAGACUAUACAACAAAAUACUUCCCCAAAUGUGGGCCAUUGAUUGCAAACAAUAUUUUUUAAGUUGCAUACAAAAAAGUAUAUAUGUAUAUAUUUUUUUAAUUUAAAAGCAGAAUGCAAAAAUGAGUACACCCCAAUCAAAGUUCUGGAAGCAAAGCUAAAUUUUAGUUACCAUACCAUCCUUAUUUUCAUCUUACGGUAAAGAAAAUGUUGUGUUAAACUCAGCUUUGUCAAAACUUAUGAAAAUUGUACUUUCGCUCAUCCAGAUAUUGAGUGAUACUUUUAGUAAUUACUUUUAAUAAGGGAUGUACUGACUUAUGCUGGGCACUGUAACUAAUAGCGUUGUUUGGACUGUUGGGUUCAUGUGCAGUCGGAGAGUGAGCCAAACUUCAUGAAAGUGCAAAAAUGUUGUAAUUAUACACCCACAGCAAAUCUAGCUCCCCCAGACUUCCACAUGAAAACAACCUUAAUGAAAACUCACUCUUGUUAGACACAAGGCUAUAGGGCAGUGACUGUGUUGCAAUGAGCCCAUAUUAAAAAUACUAUAUUGUUACUGAGAAUGAAAUUGUCCCAAGAACUAUCGGAAAACGUCGCUUUGACUUGGGGUGACAAAGCAGCCCAAAGUAAACCUGAAUCUCGGUGAUAACUGAGCAGCUGUGGCUCACUUCAAGAGUUUGUUGUCUCUCAAUUAGAAGGUUGGGGUUUAAUCCCUGAUCCUGCUGUCCACACAUUUAAGUGUCCUUGGGCAAGACUCAUAACAACCAGCUGCACCCCGUGUUGUGUAGAUGGGAUUAGAUCAGUGGCGGCUGCUGGUCUUUCAAGGAGGGGAAGCUCAUUUUUCUGGCCUACAUCAUAAUUGUGUUUGUUUAUUAGUAUGUAACAGAACAGAGUCGCCAAACACAACGGUAGUAGUUUUUAACAAAGACAAAAGUCGCUGAGGAUCGGUAAAGUCUCCGGAGCAGUUAAGAACAAUGGAAUGAAUAACUUGGAAAAUGCUCUGGUAGAUGUUUUAUUCUUCAAGAUCGCUGAUUCGCUUGUUUAGCUGUCAAUCAAAAAAGGAUUUCGCCUCAGACAGCUCAUCCAAUCAUGGAUGCAGGAGCUCGGAGUCCGGGAGAAAGUCGGGACCGCCCUCUCGCCAUAGAACUCCAGUGAAGCUGGGCUUCCAAUGGGCGGGACAAAGCCCAGCAUUUAUCCAAUGAGCGUCUAGUUUCGCUGCUGGAACAACCCACUUUGAGCUUCCACAUUGAAGUCAGCAGAAGCCCAGCGUCCGGCUGUUUAAAGCGCUGAGGCGCUGCGAGGAUGAAUGAGAACGAAGUUAUGCCGGUUACAUGUGAUUAUCAGCUUCUUAUCACAGUGUCUGAACAAAAGAUGAAGGCUUUCUAGCGCGUAUUUAGUUGAUGAAAUGUACACACAGCAGUACGUAUUUCACCACUUUUUCUUUUUUUGGGGGGGUGACAUUUUAAGGGAAGCCGAGCUUCCCUUGCAGUCUUAGAGCAAUCGCCACUGGAUUAGAUAAUACUGAUGGUUGCUUUACAUGGAGGCUUUGCCAUCAGUGUAUAUGCGGCUAAUGUGACAUGUAAUCUAAAAGUGCUUUGAGUGGUCAGAGGACUUCAUAAAUUGCAAUAUAAACACAGUCCAUUUGCUAUAAGGGAGGCAUGCGCCUGACUAGAUUGCUUAAAUUGACAGAAAUCUUAAUGUCAUACUCUUGCAAUCAUUUUGAGUAGAGUGCAGAAUAUCAAUAACAUUUCAACUCACAUAUAUAAAUCUAAUAACACCAGCACACAUACAUACAUACAUGCAUGUGAAGCUGAGUGAAUCUUCCACAACACUGACUGUGAGAGAUAACAAUUUUCCGACUGAAAUAUCAUAAAUAAUUGUAGCACAGCAUUUACUGCAAAAGAAGAUGUCAACAUGCACCGGGAGAUCUCUUUCUUCCGAUGAACACGGAGGAUAAAAAUACAAAAGCAAAGUUAUUUUUGGCGCGUCAAUAUUUCGUUGUGCUCUUUGACUGAACAGAAAUGUCGAAGUUGUUAAAAAAAGGCCCCAGAUAAAUUUGGAGGGAAAAGAACCUGUGAAAAGAGUCACAGAGAAGGAGGGUUGAACACUUGCAUAUCAAAAUGUCAGUGUCUUUAGGGGCUGAGCACCCCUAAAGGUCUGAGCUUGGAUAUAAAUUCUAACCCUUCAUAGCUAUCAUAAUAUCAUAGAGUCUGAGACACAGGUGGGUUUUUAACCUGACGUUUUUCUAAUUCAAAACACGGCGGGGAGCUCUGAUUCGUUUUCUCAGGCAACCAGGUUAAAGCCUUAUUACAUUCACAGUGAUCAUUUUCUGUCCAUCGGGUAGAGGUAAUUAGGUUCCCUACCUUACACUUUCUCUCUCCUGGUGUCAAAGAGAUCUCACAGUGCCCACAAUAAAGAGAGAUUAAAAUGAGUGAUUGUUACGGGGGACAUCAUUCGUGGGUGUUUCUAUCAAUGAUCUACCACCUAUAUCUUAAUGUGUGGGUUGACAAAUUUGUCCACAGAAAUUUAACAGCACACUUAAUGAGUUCAAGUUUACCUGACUUAUUCUUACUGCCAAGUUGCAGUUGGAAACAGUGGAAAUCCUGAAGUCAAACUAUCUACCUUUUAUGCUGGAAUAAGGAUGAAGGGACAGCCAGAAAGGAACUCUUACCAGCCACAACUUACAAAAUGUUCUCAACAAACAGGCAACAUUAAAUGUUUCUGCAUAUAUUUUAAAUUUUAGUGUUUCUUUUAAACCUGCCUGACAUCAUGUUAUUUUAAACACAAUUAAAGUAAAUCAUAAUUGAAAGAAGGCGUUUUAGUUGGGUGUCAGUUAAGAGAAAAAAAUUGGCACAUAAUAAUAUAAAUGUAGACAGUUUCCAUUUAAAUUGAGUGAAUAAAUAAAUAAAUAAAAAAUACGUACACUUUUAAUUUGAAAGGCCAAAUACCUUCAGGUUGUUGGUUUUGGGCACUUGCACACAGGAGCACAAGGAUUAGCAGACAGGCUUUUAUAAUGGAGGGCUGGGAUAGGCAGAAAUAUCAGGGCAGAUACCUUUCGGCCCACUCCAGACCUCGGUAGAAGUGGUGCAUACCAAGUGGCUGUCUACGGUGUUGGAAAUGCCGCCAGAGCAGAGUGCAAAAAAACCUGGAGUUUCUCAAGUGUCCACUUGAGGUUGAUUGCAGAGCUGACAAAGGGCCUUUGGGUCCAUGUUGAAAAGGCCCAUUAUUACAGCAGAAUUAGAUGUUAACGGCCUGUUUUAAAAAAAGACUUUAAAACCAUUGGUUUUCGGCUCAUUCACUUAUACAUACCCAUUGUACAGGAGGUAAUUCUAAGGUACAUUUUAGAUAAAUUACAGUGACUGACAGAUGGGUGUACUGUAGCUGAUUACAAGGCAAAGAAAACCCUCCUUCAACUUCACAGCUUUCCUUGCAUCCAGGUUGAUUGAGGCAAUAUGGCGCUCUCCACAUCAGGGCUUCAAAACAUCUUCAGAAAUGCAAGGAUGUAGACCUAAUAUACGGAUGUUUUACUACAUCCAUAUUAUACAGUCCACAGUCCCAAUGUCUAACCAUGAUUUAGUUAAUAUGGGAAUUAAUGUCCAUACAAAAACACACAAAGCGCGGACAACAAUAAACAAAGCCAGACAAAUGUCAAGGUAGUCAGUUUCUUUGUUAAAUCUCAACUGAAUGUCCUCCUUGCAUAUUUUGCCUGGCUUUUUUCCAGUUAUGCCUUUUAUAACACAACUGAACAAUUCUACAUCACAGUGUUACAAAGGUUACAUUAAAGCAUUAUGAGUCCAAGAAUAUAACAUUUACAUCAAAUAUCAGGGGUCAAAAACUGACUUUGUUGAAAGGGUAAACAGUAUAGUCUUUGGUAUGGCAGCUAACUCUGCAGCAGUGCUCGUGUGUGCUGUUGUUGUCGGGAUCGUCCUUACAGAGUGUCCUCUGGUGUCAGUCAAUAGUUUGGUUCCAGCAGGUUUGACUCUUCCUCUCUAACACAUGACAAGAGACCUGCCGUGUGCUCGGUUGGAUUGACUCCCGUCUCCUCUUCUCCCUCUCCUCUCUCCUCGCUCUUUUCUUUUAUCCCGGGGUUAUCCACACAUGACACCUGCCAGAGAUGCACUGUAGACGGAAUCUGACAUUUAAUUCUCACCCGCAGAUCCGACCUCUCUCCUUCAUCACCUUAACAUUGAGUGUUUUCACUCAUUCCGGCGACCUCAGAGUGUCCACAAUUCAACCCCCAAAACACCAUCUAAAUGUCAGAGAGAGGGAUGAAACUAGACUGGUGUGAGACCACCGAGCACGGGCUCAUUUUUAUUGGUGCAGUAUGAACCACUAGCUUAAACCCACUUUUUGGCAUCCAUGCUUGGCCAUGUUUCUAAGCCGUCUGGGAUCAGGCCACAGGGCACAGGUGAAUUUUGUUGUAAAUGAUAUUUUCUGCUGCAGCGUUCUUCUUCAUCUUCCUCUUCUUCCUCUUUUUUUCAGGCUCAGUGAACUGAGGGAAAAUGACAUUUAAUUACAGGAGAGCAGUCACGCAGUUCGGCUAAUUACGAUCCCGGGAGUUCAGUCAUCAUAUCUAAUUAACUUUCACUUUCAUGAAAGCUUAAUGCAGCACCAUGGCUAGGCGCUGCAUGUGCUACACUUCAGGAAUAUUGACAACUCUUUGGAUAUUAAUUUUAAAAUGCCUUCUUUCUCUCUCUCUCUCCCUUCAUUAACAAACAACAAAAAUUACAGAGGGUUGUUGAUUUGUGAGCCCCAAUUUUUCCUUUGAUUAUUCUGUUUAUGGGUCUCUUAAAGAUUUUCAUAAUUGAUCUCACCUUGUAUUAUGCUUAAAUAAAAAUGAAUAUAAUCAAUCACUUGGAUGGCGGUGGCAAUUUAUAGCUGUAUUGAUUGUUAAAAGCACACUGCGUAGUCUGCUUCACAUUCAUUAUGACACUCUCAGAGGACAAUCAAUUCAUUAUUAGGCUUGCCCUUGACCACAUUGUUAGUGUGCUUACUGGGGCAUAAUCCUCAUAUAUGCAUGUGUGUAUUUGUUAGAGUUGUCAUUUUUCAUCCCAGUAGUACACGAGAUUGGAGGACCUACUUCAGGCCAGUUUGGUCCAGCUCCUCAUUAACAUUUUUGACCACAGCUUUGUUUACUGAUAUUUCUUUAAAAGUCAAAGAAAAAUUACUUGUUUAAUCCCUUAUUUCUACAUCCAUUGUUCAAACCAACCCACUGUGAAACAUCGGCAUUGCCCACCAGUGUUAGACCUCUACUCCAGAAGCCUCUUAUGUGUCCAUUUGUCGUUGGUGUCAGAAUGCACGCCCUGCCUCACGUUUUAUAUGCUGACGUUGUUGGUGGGACGAUAUGAACCUCUCUCUGAGACCUGAGAUUGCACCGGAGCAGAAACCAGAGAGCUAAUUGGUGGCUUGAAUUCCCGUCAGUGUAUCCUGAGCCCAAUAAAGGUCAUCUACACACAUAAAAUGGAGUGCUCACUUGUUUUAUUUUAUUAACAGGCCUGCCAGAAUUGGCCCAGAAAAUCAAAUAAAAGAUGGUACUGAAAAAUGAUUGCCUAUGGCACUUUUAGUCACAAAGGUUAUAUUCAGCCACUGUCCCUGUCUCUGCCUUUUUGAACUCAUAUCAGCAUUGAACCGAAUUGCUGCAAAAACAUGUAACUUAUAAGUUUUGGCACUUGUAUAAAUCCCUAAAGUUGUAAAAAAUCUAAUUGACUUAUGAACAUUUUAGGAAAUAGAGCCUGCCUCUAAGCUUCCACGCUUAAAUUGAUAUGCCAGAACUGCUAGCUUAGCAUAAUCCAUAUAUGCUUAUCGGCAAGUGUCUGAUGGGAGUAUGUGCACUGCUUUCUUAUUUGUAAAUUAAUCAACAAGAGAUGAUAGUCCGCCUCAGCAUGGCGACUACAGACGAGAGGAUGCAGCUCCUUAACUUUGUCCAAAGGUUGUAACGUUGGACAUUGGACUAGAUCAACCACCAACUCAUUUCAACCCCUCCUUUUUUUCUUUCUUCCUUUCUUUCUUUUUUCUUUUUUUUUUUAUGUCAUGCAUAACCAUAAAGGUUAUAAUCUACAAACGCUUUUUUUCUUACAUUAUGUACUGAGCUAUUUCUCGGCCAGGAUCAUGUGCUUGAAGCAAAAUUUUUCAGUCAAUUAAUAAAAAAACAAAAAACAAAACUGUGUAUCAGCAUAACAUUUGUCUCGCAUUCAUCAAAUUCCUAAAAACAGACAAACUUUCACCCGUUUUAUCAGGACAUUUUUCUGCCAACCAGCAUAUAAAGUUUUGUUAGAGUUAUGAAAAAAUAGAGGCCUGGUGAUCGGCUGCGGAUCCCGCUGAACCGCAGCAGAACAGAAAGAAGCUGGUGGAAAUUGACACAUUAACUUGAAUGGAAACGAUCAGCUGUGAUCAGCGCGUACAGCCUUUUGGCCACCGUUAGGGAUGUGGUGGAAAUUGGGGGUUAGGGUUAGCCACUUUCACAGACAUAUUUGAAAGCAAUAUUUAUCCUUUACUUACUACAUUUACAAGCACAGUACAUCGUGCUACGGUCAGAGCUUGAUUAGGUGUAAAUUGUACCGCUGUCCACGUCCCAGUUUACAGGCUCCAAGCAAGAGUCCAUUUAUCGACAGAAGUAUGUCUGCCUCUGCUACAGUAGGGAGCGCCAUGCCUUCUUUCAGCUUGUUUCAAUCGGGCCGUCUCAGUUGAUGCAUCAGGUAUCAAAAUAAUCAGUAGAGCCCAUUUGCAAACGGGUUCAUGAAAAAGACAGAGUAACUUUUACAGCUCAGUACGGUUUAUUUUUACUGUGGGAAAGUUUCACCUUUUUUUUUUUUUACAUCCUUUUUUCUCUCAAAGUUUUGUUUGCUAUUCCAUUUCCUAGCUCAAAGCUGGGCAUGCAAACACUAAGGCAUGCAAAGAACGUAGGGUGACCAUAUUCUCAAUUCCCAAAAAGAGGACACGACUACUGGGAGCUGAGUCACGGAGUCGCAUGUAGUUAAUUUUGAGAGUUUUCAGGUUGGAUCAAGUGUUAUUUUUAUGUGCUUCUAACUCACUUCCAUACAAAUGCCCGGACAUUUGAAGGAUUUUAUAAACUCCCCCGGACAAAGCCGGACAGCCCCUGAUAAAGAGGACAUGUCUGGGCAAAAGAGGACGUAUGGUCACCCUAAAGAACACCAGUAUCAGUCUGAGCCGUACACAUAUAACAAAAAAACCACCCUCAACCAUUUUAUCAAGGUAUUUAAGUUUGACUACGAGAAGUAUAAUUCAGUGCAGUUUCAGUCAGACUAAUGUGUUUGCAGGAGGCACAUUUUUUUCUGUGUUAAAAGACUAUCAACUUCAAAAACCAAACCUUGUUUUGCCAAUCCAUGGAAUUUGACUUUACUAGCACAUAUUUAUAGCACAUUAACCAUCUACUCUUACCUAUUUCUUCGCCAGGACUUCCGUUGUUGUAUAACUUAUAAGAUACAGACCAGCACUUAUCUUUUGGAGAGGGUUCACGCUUGUUGUUUGCCUGUGUUCCAGCUCCGUGUGCUAACUGAUCUCUCUAUGCUGAGUUGUAUAUAUGAAAUGGACUGACGAGGGGAAAAAAUGCUGCGUGUGACUUUGAAAAAUUCACACGUGUUGUAUUAAAACCAAACACCCACAAACCUUAGAGCAGCUUUAUUAUAAUGAUGACACAACAUGCCAAGCACAUAGUUGUGAUUUAGUAUUAUACUUACCCUCUAAUUUCAGGCCCUGCCUCACACAGCAGAGACAUGAAAAAUGUUAGUGGCCUGCCAUAAUGCUGCAAACAUCAGCGAACCCCACAAGGAGGAUUAAUGCCUCGUCUGGCUGUUAUUAUGCUGUCCUGCCGUCCUUCGCAGGCUGGCCAUUCAUCCUUGUAAGAUGUCCAUAUCAGCUCUCAGUGUGGGCUCAUACAUGUGUGUCUACUCGUGUGUGUCCCUGUGUGCAUUUGCAUGUGCUAUGUAUGUAUGAAGUGCCGGCUUACUGCCUGUAUGAGAUCUUUGAGAAGUUUAUCCCAGAGGGGGUUAAAUCACUUCCCCAGUUGCAGGCUUUCCAGGGCCAUGUCUGGCUUGUCUUAUCAAUCUAUCGAUGUGGCACCUGCGCUGCCGGUUGCACUUGGAGGCCGAUGCAGUAGACGGCCUAGGGGCCCCACUGUGGAGGAAUACUAAUGGGGAUGCAGAUAGCUUUUGCUUUGGCCACCUCAGCAGACAUUGAUCCCCCUGCGGACUUCCACGGUGCUGACAGAUGGACUGUCACCUCUGAAUGAGAGGAGAUUGGGACACGUCCUCUCGAAUCUCCCUCAGCGGGAUUCAGUCGCUGUCUCUGUUCUGUUCGCUGCUGUGUGCAUGUCGCUUCGCCUGUCCUUCCUUUCUCUCCUAGAGUCCUCUCCUCCUCCCUCCAUUGUAAUUCCUCUGUUUCCUCUCCCCUCGCUACAGACUUGUUGUGAGAAAGUGUGUUACAUAGCAGGAAGGUUGCAGGUUAAAUGUCUGCAGCUGCCGAACGUGAUUUACAGACACAUCCUCCAGUACCAGAGAUUUUCCUGGAGUUAAAGUAAAUACAGUCACAGAGGGAACAUUUUCCAAUGAAACUAUCAAGACUGGCUGACUCAAGUUUACGGAGAAACGAGGAGGAGCCCCAGUUUGUGCUGAUGACACAUACAGGCCCCUCUCUGCUGAUCGCGAGACAAUUAAGUUGAUGGAUAGUUGAGCAAAUUUUAGAAGCAGCUGUACUUUACUUGAGUUUUAUUAUUAUUAUUAUUAUUAUUAUUAUUAUUAAUCAAAUCUGGGAAUCUAAAGCAUGUGCGUUUGAAAAAAACAAAUCCUAUAUUAAUUUGAUAAAUGUAAUGUAGCAGAAUUAACACCUAUGUAAACUUGACUGAGCUCAUGCAUCGUAAAAAUAUGUUGUCUCGAAUGUUUUUUUAAAUAGUGGUUGAAUAUUUAAGUAUUACCCAAGUAUUUUUAAAAGCAAGUACUUUAGCCCUGAGAGUUAUACUUUGACUGAGCAGUUUCACAAGGAGUACUCCUGCUGUGUAAUCAUAGCAUUGUUGUCUUGUGUUUGUGUCUGUGGGUGGAUGUGUGUGUCCUUUCGCUUAGUGAUUACUUGAUUUCAAAUGGUUUUAACAUUUUUUCAUAUUGCACUUUUCUGUGCAGGUUGUAAUUGGUGCAGCUGGUUUUGUCAAUGCAUGAUUUUUUUUUUUUAAUUGUUAAAUUAAUUUUGUAAGCACAAUCACUGUCCAGUCUGGUGGGUGAAAAAUUUUGGGACUCUUUGGCCCUGAGGAUUGAUAGUUUUCCUCCAGUAAAAUGCAUCAUAGUGAACAACAGUCAAGGCCACAUUUGGGCGUCUGAAAAGCUCCCAAGAGAAAGCCUGGCAUGUAGUCUUACACAUGUAGUCUGACCUCAGCAUGGAGAUAAGAAAAUCUGAUGAAGUAUGAAUCGCUGGAGUUGUUAUAACCAAAAAUGAAAACGAUUUGAUUUGUCCCGCUUCAAGAAUUUGAGGAUUUGCUCUUUUCUCUUUUGCAAAUUGGAUUCCAGUCACCUUUGGUGCUGGUAUUUCUGUGAAAAUGAACACUUUGCACUUCUUUUUGGGUUAUUGUGGUGGGUAAUUAUCUAUUUCUUUUGUCCCAUGGUGUUCCAUGUAAUAAUUCAUAUCUUGUUAAGCAUGGACACAUGGACUUUAUUUUAUUCAGAAUGAUAAAAAGUUGCAGCUCAAAUAGAGAACAACAAAAGUGAAUAGUUUAAAGCAAACUUUCAUAAUUGUUUGCUUUUGGACUUCAAGAUCUCUCUGAAAUCUUUUAUUGGAUUUUAGCCGAAGAUUUUAUGUGCACCGUCUCUCUCCUGCUCACCUGUUGAGCAGUUUCUGUUCUAACCCUUGAACCUCUUUUUUUUCUCCCGUCAUCUUCAAAUCCCACUUAUCAGCCACCAGCGCUUGAAUCCUAUUGAGAGGAGCUAUGCAAAUGACUGAGAGGGAAAGGCCAGAUCUAAUCUUAAGGUUUAUUCUAAUUAAAAGUGAUUUACUUUCCCCGCCAUUCCCUAAGAGGGGAAGCUUAAUGUCCUGUUCUCAGAGGAGAUGGCAUCCUCUAACUCAAUUAGGUAGCAGAAGACGCACUUGGGUAAAGUUUACUCGAGAUGGAACUGCUUAACAUGCAGCUUAGGAGCACGCAGGGAGACCUUUAGACCAACGCAGCGAAAGGACGGGGAAAAGUCAAGGUUAAGGACUGCCCCAGUGUGUUUCAGCUGCUGGUUGUGUUGGUGAAUUUGACAGCUUAAUGUUUUCUUGCUCAAAGGCAAACAUAACCCCAGACUUCAUUCAAAACUUAAAAUAUGUUCUUGUUUGUUUGGCUCGUGAACUGAGCUUUUUCUUGGAAGUUUUGAUAAGUUAGCUUUUAACUGUUCUUGACUGCUUUCCCCGCUUGUGUCAAAAAAAGUAUUUGAAGACAAGUUUGGUGAGAAUUUUUCAUUCGAAGGAAAUGAAUGUUGCUCGGUGGACUGGGUCAUUUGCUAGUAAGUACAAUUUGACAAGGCGUUCAAGCCAAAUAAAUAAAUUGCUUUUAGAUAUCUGUCUUGAAUUACUUUGAUUUGAUAUUUUUAUUCAAUGUUAUGAUUUAGAUUUGAUUUUGUGCCAAGGCAGCUAGAAAACAAUUCAACUUUGGAAACUCAGUGUAUGAAAGAAAUAAAACUUAUUUGCUGGAUGAAGAGUUAGCUUAUUUUGGUUUUGGUUUUACUGCAGUCCCACCCCGCUCUGUAAAAAUAUGCUUUUUGCUUUAUAUCUUUGCUUGAUUCAUCUACUAUGAGUUUGCACAGGUGGAACAAAUUUAAUCUUUCAGCAGAAUUUAAAGUGAUUUAAAAUUUGAGCCCGCUCUUAGAAUUAGCCCAGUUCAUCCUGAUUGAGGGUUUUCCCAUCUCCAGGUUUUCUUUAAGGCUCAUGUUUGAUACAAAUCUCACAUGAAAGCAACCAUUUCCAUCUUUGAGAAUCAUUCAGAUUUUAAGAAAUCAAUAUGAUUUUUAUCUGAGUGAACAAAGUAUGACACAUUUUCCAGUAAAAGAGGAAAAAGACGGCACAAAGGAGCUCUUAUUUUGUAUCAAACAGAAAAUUGGAAAAUCUAUUCAUCCAUCCACUCUAGACGUACAUGCUUUUUAGUUUCAACGGCAAGUGGUUCAAAACCAGAUCUCAGUUUGGCAGAGUGGAAAAUUCCCCUGUGUAGAAUCUAUGCAACAUAUUUUUUUUUCAGCUCCAUUUUUAUAUUGAACUAUCAUCCAAAUGUAAAGAGUUUUGGUUUGUUCUCUAAAUCAUCAGGUCAUUGCUUUCAAAGUGAGCAAACGUAGAUUAUCUGACCAAACAAAGUGUUGAGGGAGACUUCAGUGAACCAGAAGGUGUGGAGCAGUGUGCACACAGCUCUUGACCACGAGGCAAUCCUGUAUUUGCUCGACUACAGUAGACAAAGAGCAAAGGUUUGCUUUUCACUUUAAACGGGAUUUUUUUUCCCCCAGAUCACACAUAUGAACAAUUUUUAUUUGCAUAUCAAAUAUUAACAUUCAUGUUGAACAGUCAUUAUAGAUAUUCUUGAAAAUGACUGUUACUGAUCUAAGUUUGUAUUCCUACAUGAUAACCUGUUUAAAUUUAGACACACUUUUGAGAUUGUAUUAAACAUCAACUUAAACCCAGCUACCCAUUGGUUAAGAUUCAAAACUAAAUAUUGUUUGAAAGAUGAUUUUACAGAUUUCAAACAGCCUUUUUAAAUGAUUUCCCUUUGGGGAUAAAGUUAUCCUUAUUCUUAUUUACUUUUGUGACUUCGCCUUCUGCUGUGAUGAUUGAUAGCAAAGUUCUCAUCUGCCUACAUGUGGUUCAAACCCCUUUUCAGCAAAAGCCGUACCAUCACAACCAGCUUUACUGUACUAAAUCACAGUAAUGGAGACACAUAAGCAACUUUCAGAAAACAGCAGUAUCUCAAUCUGCCCCCCCUACAUCACUCUCUGUUUGCAUUUUCUUUUCACUUAGCCAGUCCUGUAGCUCUGCCACUGUGUCAUGGUUGCUUCGUUUCUGUUUUCUUCAGUUUGGUAGAUGUCUCUUCCACUUACAGGUCCUUGUGUGUAAGUGUUUGCACAUUUGUUUUUCCUUCCCUUGCCAUCUUUUCUCUGCUUUUGACCUAAGAAUCAUAAAACCAUAACUUGAGAGUAAUAUUAGAAACAAUGUCGACAUAAAAGGAUCAAAUUUUAAACUUAAACAUGAACAUGCUGGUGUGUGAACAUGCAGAGGAUUUAUUUGAUAUGGUGUGAUCUGGUUUUUCCUGGUGUAACAGUUGCUAUUCAGACUGAAUUGCUGUUGCUAUGGGGUUGACCAAUCAGAAGGAAGAAUCAAAAACACAGCUGGGUGAUUAGUUUGUUCCUGAUAAAUGAACUAAGUCAGAAGUUACUCUGUUUUUGUUGAAAGACACAUUUGUCUCAAUCACACCUUGACCUGACCUUCUUACAUAGAAAUAUAUGUUUCAUUAAAAAAAUAAUAAUAAUAAUCAGUUGUUAUAAAGUACAUGAUGUACUCUGAUUUUGUGGGUGUAUUUUGCUACAAUGAUAAAGCUGCUAAAUUAAGACAGCCAUUAAAUUAGUAGGUUUUUUAAAUGUUGUUGUUGUUGCAUAAACAGUUAAUUAAACUCGUUAAUGAGUUGUUUUCUUGCAUCAGAGUUUAAAUAAAUAAUGUUUUGUUGACUCUUAACUCCCUGACAUUUUAGUAACAUUCCCCCUGCGCCCUCAUCACAGUCAUUUGCUCACAAAUACACACCAGUUAUAUAAUUUGGAGCCUUUAUUGUGUUUAAAGAACCUGCCAAAUAAUUAUGUGGUCUAACACCUCAGUUUGCUUUUACCAAACACCUCCGCUGCAGCUGUCCAUCUUCUCUCAACCACUUAUUCCGCUAUAAAAUAAAGAAAUGAAUAAAUUACAGACAAACCUGAUGCCCUCUUGUAUGUACUCUGGAAACUCCCAGUUUAGCUGCAGGCAAAGAGAUAAAAAUAAUACAUGUUGCUUCCUUAGGAAAAUGUGCAAUUUAUUUCUUUGCAAAUGUAGAAACAUUAAUAUGCCUUAUCUUAAAUUUAUAGACGGACAUUUGUCUCAGAAAAUUGAAUUUUUAAAGAAUAUUUUUCUGAAUAAAUAGUGUGGAAUUAAAAUAUGAACGCCUCUUUAUCCAAGUGUGUGUGUGUGUGUGCAGGUGUUUGUAAGUCUGGGCAUGUGUGAUGUUAGGAGGCUCCUGUUAUGCUCAGACACACCUUGACAGCGUUCAUGUCAAUCCUGGUCAUCAAACGGGGAGAUGACACACAUGCACUGGUGGAGUGCACACACUCUGACAUGACUGAGAUAAAAACCAGCAUUUGUUUUAUCUCUCCUACUUUGGAGUCUGUCAAUAGUUUACUGACAUGAUAAAAAAUAUUUAUAUAUAUCCUAAGAACUGACAUGGAAUCAUCUUUAAUACCUGGUUUGAAAGUUUAUUUUUAAAUGGUGUGCAAAAUGCGAAAACAGAUGAACUUAUAAAACAACAGUAAAGCAUCUAUACCAGUGUUUACAAAAUACAUAUGUAGUAUCUAAUGCAGAAUGAAUUAGGUAAUGCAUUAUUAAGUCUUAACAGAGUGCAGCUGUUGUAAACUUAGAAAAAUCCUGUCAUAAAUAUUUUCCAUCAUUGUGUGCCAAACAAGUGCCAAAUGAAAAGUAAUAUUUCUGUUAAAGCAACAGCAACACGACAAGUGGGUUUAGUUAUCACAGCAUCAUAGCAGGCUGCUGUUUUGUUACCACAUGGCUGCUUAACUGGGAAAAUGAAAAAGACUGUAUUUUAAAAGUUUACGUUCAGGCAGAAGUCAUGAAGCCCUAGAUCGUGUUUCCAUCACGCUCAUCAGGAAUGCUAAUAGACAGGGUGAAAUGUGCAUUUCCUGUGCAGGCCCCCUCAUUGACACGGGCACCACUUACCGCUGUCACCCCCCUCCCCUCUCCCUUCUCAGCACCUCCACCACUUAGUGAAUAAAGGUCAGGCAAUCAGGCAUCUGGAAGGACAGCUAAUUUGUCAUCCCUCGACAAACGUGUCAGCGUCCGAUCUUGUCCGCAGGGCUUGAUACCGCAACAAGCCGUAAAGGUUAAGAGAUUCAAAGAACACUCCCAUUUCCCUUUCCCUCUCCCUGCACGCCCUGUCUCCAUCUCAACAAGCAACAUGCGACAGAGCAGAAAAUUCAAUUUUGGAUUUGAUACUGUGAGGGCUCUGCUGUUUCAUGGCUGUAACUCUUCAGAGUCUUUAGGCAUGCCGUCCGCCGUGCUCAGUUAAACUCAACUCAAGCCCUCUAGAUCGGGACAUUGCUAUCUUGUACAUGCCAGUCUCAGCUUGUAGAGUAUCUCAUUGAACUGAUUACCGUCUAACCCUUACAAUGAAACACCAAACGAGUGUCUUGACUCGAGGUUAAGGUGGCUCUAAACGAGUAUGAUCCACCUUUAACAGGUUUUCUUUUCACGAAGAGCGAAAGUCCAAAAUGACUUCAGUUAUUUGAGAUUUGAAUUCCAAAGCGGUGCAAAUGCAGUCAUCCCGAGCAAUCUGUUGAAGCACAUCCUUUGUGAUUAUAGAGGAAUUACAAGCUAUCCCUGUCGUCUCUGAACACAUCCUAAUGGCCUGUUUAGUGAGGCCAUCUACAGCCGCAGGUGUGUGUCCCUUUCUGGCUCCCAAGAGUGUAAGUGACAUGGGGUAGAAGAAAGAGAGAGAGAGAGAGAGAGAGGGGCAGAGACACGAAUGAGUGACUUUGAUCAGGUGAGUUCACCAAGCUUCUUUAUGUGUGUGUGCGUGUUUGUGUGUGUUUGUGUGUGAGGAGCAUUCAGUGCGGGAUAAUGGAGAGUCAGGCUGACAGCUGCAUGUCAGAUACGCUUAAUGUACAUCAUUGCCUUGAAUGGCUUUAGCCCAACCGCAACCACUCAUGAGGGGAGGGGAGAGGAUGGGAGGGGAGGGGAGGGGGAGUGCGGUGUUGCUAACCAGUCUUUAGAGCAGUGGUGGACCAAUUAAUGUCACUUACGGUGCAAACAGGGAAACAGAAACACUGCGGACAAAACCCAAAAGCAGACUGCAGUGGCAAAAGUGGUACUUGAUUAGAAAGUAAAAGCCAUUUCAGAGGGGUCCAAAACAGACCAUUAAAUACAACAGGCAGGCAUAAAAAUUAAAUGUCCAAAAAAUGCACCGUCCAAAACAAAGCAAAGUGUAGAAAAAAAAGACUUGAGACCAAAGACUGCAGAAAGCUGGAUGGUUUUUCCAGUGGUGCACAAAGUCAAACUGCCACAGGAGGACAGAAAUACACCGAUUAAAUACAGAGGGAAGGUGAGACUAAUUAUAGAGAGGUGAAACCAUUCAGGGCAGGGUAGACAAUUAAACAGGUCAGAAACAAACCAGGAAAGGAAGUGAAGUGUUUCAAUUAAGGGGAAAGUGAGCUGCUGAAAAUAAAAACAGGACAUUUUCACCUACGACUGAAAUAAAUGAACCACCUUAAAAACACAAAGAGGCACCGAAAUCAGUCACUGAUUGAUCCUGUGUGUUGAAGCUCCCACAGCUUAUCAUUAUACCGCUGCUUCUGAGCUACUUUGUUUUUUUCUUGGUCCAAAUGCAGCACUCACAGGGAGGGGAUCUGAACUGUUGCCAAAAUUACAAACAACUUUGGUGUGGUUGGCACCCUGAAAUAAAACACUUCUCUCUGAUUUCAUCUAAAAUGUAUUUUUGCAGUGUCAUCCAUCAGUUAACCUCAUAGACUUUAUAUAGAAUUGAUGCCGUCUGCCUCCUCACUGGGUGAAACCAUCCAGAGAACAGCACCCUCUGUUGACGGGCUGCAGUAUAUGUCAUAAAUCCCGCCUUCUCCAGCAAUCCCUAUGGAGCUGUGGACAAACUUUAGAAAUUUAUUACACAGAAUAUACAUUUUUCUCCCCCCUGCUUGUGAUGUUGACAUGUAGUUACUGUAAGACUGGUUUGUGCUCAAGUCCUCUUUUUUCUGUGCAGCUCAAUUUUUAAAAGUUAUUAGGGGUUCAUGUUUUCUAUGAUUGACACUUAAUACUGCCUAUGGGCGUACAAAGUUUGCAUAGCUCACCCGGGGGAUACGCUGUUUGAGCCGAGCGUCAUCACAGUGAGUCUCAGCGACUCUCCCGCUGAAUGCGUAUAACGCUACUGUGCAAUGUUGGUGUAGGAAAUGGAGAAAAAUCGUGGAAAUACCAAGAGCUAUUCAGUUUCAAAUCUGUAUUCUUGUGGAAGACAGAACCAAGUUGUCCACAGUAUAGAGUCUAUGGUUAACCUUUAACCAAAUCUGCUCAGGGGUUACUUGAUCCUGUGGUCCUAGUGUGUGUUUUUCCAAUCUUUCUCUAUCAACUUCUUAAAUCUUUAAUUUUCACCAUCAUAGCUUUCUACCCUCCUCCUCUUUGUGCCUCCAUGGAAACUUUCCCAGUUUCUUAUUACAGCCUGUAGCUUAAACUCCAUUCAAGAUGCCAGCAAAUGAAACACCACAAUGCUUUAUUAUCUGUUAUAAAAGUCCAUAUAGCAAGUGGACAUGUGCAGACCAGAAAUACAAUCAGACAGAGAUACAUUUUGUACAUCUGCUAAAAUCUAUAACUGAAGCUCCACAGGGUGCCUCGGAUGCAAGUCACUGCUCUGGGCUACAGUGACUGUGGCCUCCCCCUCCCUUCUAUUGCAAGAGCUGCGUGGUGGGUGAAACAGCAUAGAGAGGGUGGCAAGUUUGGUGGACUGUGAGACGUCAUGCUGAGAAAACAUCACACUUGUGUGAAACCUAAUCAGGCACAAUCUGCUUGCUAUGCUUGCCAUGAUGCAACACGCAACGUGGCUGCGUGUUUUGUAUCUAUCAAGUAUUAAAGCUGUUGCAGGCUUGUUUCUGCAUUUCAUUAUGCAGCGCAUUAAAGGUAUCCAGUGGAGUCGAUGAAAGAGUGCAGGGGGGUGUGUGGAAGGCUCUUGUGCAAACGUUUGCAUCACAUGUUCCUUGAAUGUGAGUGCAAAGAAACACAAACAGCAGCAGCAUCUCUUGCACAGGUAGCGUGAACACCUCCUGUCAUUGUGCAUGUUUACUCAUCCUUAAACCAAACACACAGAUUUCAACACUUUGCUUGCAUAUUGGUAACACGUGCGUGAUCAUGCAAAUGAGAGAUGUACGCCACAUUACAAAAUAAUGAAAAUCUGAUGCAGAAAACAAAGGAACAUUAAAAAAUCUGAACAGCAACAAACUGUAUUUUUAAUCUUAGGUAUUUUGUGAAAAAGUCGCUCUGGCCUAAAACUAACAUUUAAAAUGAUCUUUCAUUUCUGGAGUAAUCAAGUUUCCAAUCAUGUAAAUAUGAAGACAGUGAAUCCUGUUUUAAAAAACUAAUAACCAGGUGUUGUUCAUGCGGUUAUGAUGAAAUCUAGUUUGAGAAACUGCAUCACUUUAAGUGAGACAGCUGUAGUUCGAAGUCAUUGUUUUCUUAACUGAAAGCUAGUUCACUUUAUUUGAAGUUUUUUUUUUUUUUUUUCAUCUUUUGUUGUUUAUACAUUAAUGAACCAGAUUUAUGGAAAAGGUCAAGACUCAGUGGACCAAAGGAGAGAAAGGAAACAUUUUUUCUCAUACUAGGCAUAUGAGAUGUAAGGUGACCUGUUGGCACACCACGACUUUCCUGCAUUACAGGAUACUAGCAGCUUUUAAAUGACCGUUCCCUGCCUCACAGAGCCCCUCUGUUUGACUGUCUUUUUGGACGUUAAAUCAGAAAACUGAAUAGAAAUGCAUCUUUAAAGAAAAAGUUCCACUCAAUAAGUUUCCAUGAUGUUACACGGACUUGGAUUGCUACUCUGAUCACACUCUCUGUGUGAAAAAAUAAAUGUGCUUUAUGUUGAAACCUUGAAAAGCUUCCAUAUUUACUCUGAGAAGAGUGUACACGUUAGAGUUUUGUACAGAAGAAUCUUCGAAGCAGCGACAUACCAAAUAAAAUACUUAAGUCAAAACACCUAUCAAAUCAAAAACCUUCCAAAAAAGGGCAGCCUUGAAGUACUCGCUUUCAUCCACACAAAAAAAUACAAUGAAGCCAUUAAAGCCAACACUGUUAGCAGUCUUUUUGCAGUCAGGGUAUGUGCAACCUCUGCAGUCGGUUUCUAGACGGAAAAUUAUAUUUGGAAAAUAGUAAAAUCAUCAUUCAGAUUCACUUAUGUGCUGCAAUAGUAUGCAGUAUGUGAUAGUGUGUCGUUCGCGAAUGAUUCCUUCAAAAGAGCAAAUCUUUUAAGUGAACGUACUGAGCUUCCUCAAGUGAUUCGUUCGUGUCUCACAUCAGUUGAGCUGUCAGCAGUGCAGAUGCCAUAGCAUGCAGCAUCCGGCGAGCGAGGGGCCGCACGCGCCAACGCCUGAAUCACUGGGUGAAUGGAAAGAUUUUCGGAUACACUUCCAUGGCGACUGUUGUUUUAACAGAUUUAGAGAACGGUCCAUGGUCAGUGUGAAUCCUUCACUAAAUGUACUGUAGGGUAUACAAUCAGUGAACGACUCACUCACUGAGCCCAAUUCACUGUGUAGACCAGAUAAAUAGCACACCAUAGGACAGUACACUUUAAACAUCAUGAUUUAUAGAUGAGCUCACUCUUACAAACAUGUUUGUCAAAGCAACACGGCCACAACACUCUCAUCUCCCGGUCCAAGAAGCCUUGAACUGAAGUAAAACCUGAACCGUUCAGCUCUGUAUCAGUUCAGGAAGUCAGAAUUGCAGGCUCCUCUCGCCGGGCGCUGAAUGAUCAUUUUAGCGAACUGAUUCUAGUAAUUCAGUACAUCUAAAAAAAAAACGGCCGUGCCCAUCACCAGUAUGUGAAAUAAUAAAUCCAACAAUCAACAGCAGAAUUGAAGUUCUUGUCAUGCUACAUAAUAAGGACUGAUUUUGUGGAGGGUUGAGGACUCUCCAGUGCUGGUGAUGUGACACAGACACCGUGUUUCAAAGCCAAUUCAUGAUUGGAUGCUGAUAGGUGAUGCUGCCCAGAGGGUUCAGCCACAGCCAUCAUCUCCAUACCAAAAGACCAGGAAAUAACGUGCCUUUCUUGGGUCGUCCAAAACGUGGCAUAAAAACCAGCUUGUCAUUUCAUUGGCAAUGUGGACUUCUGAAUUGUUAUAGGCUGUGAUCCCAAAACAGCCAUCUCCCCUCAGUGUGCACAACCUCUGGAAAAAAAAAAAAAAAGUCUUGUUUGGAAGCUGUGCAAGUGAGCAGUAAGAAGGGAGCUUUUUUCCGCUGUGAAAUGGUGACUAAUUUGGGGUAAAGACGUGUGGCCUUUGAUCUUUGCUUUGAAUAAAGCUGACUGUGCCUGUCUCGGAGCCCCUUAGGCCUCAUUGUCAGUCUGCCAGAACGUCAUCUUUCUCCCAUCACUGAAUAUAAAGCUGUGGAAUACAUCAUGCAAAUAAUCACGCUGGAAACAAACACAAGCAGUGCUUUCCCCCAAAGGAAGAGGCAGCCGUCUCUAAUGAGCAGGGUAAAAUUGGAAUAUUCAUACCUCCUCUCCCUCCGCAGAAACGAGUGAGUGAUUCCCUCGCCUCCCCGCCCGUUGCUCUGCCUCCCUUCCCUUCCCCGGCUCCUCUCUCUUUCAUUCACCAUUCUGUCUGUCCUCCCCUCUCGCUUCCAUCCCUCUUUCCACUCAUUCUUCUUUUUUCCUAUACAUCUUCACCCCCUGUCUUCCUGGGAUAUAGCGAUAAACAGUAACGUGGAAAGGCAGCCAGCGAUGUUGACAAAGCCAUCCACAGAUCACAGUCACAAAUCUGCCACAGACAAGACGCUUGUUCUUGGCAGAAUCUGCGAUAAAUACAAGAAGAAAUAAGAUUUAAAGAAAGGAGUCACGAAAACUUCCUCCCCAGAAAUCACUCGGAAGAAAAAUAUCACUGAAUGUAGAAAAAAAUUAAAGAAACUAACUAAGAUUUAAUGGAAAAGUUUCUAUACUUACUGACCCUAGACUGCAUAUUUGCACCGGUGACAGAUGAACGCCUGUAACUGAAAUGAAGAAAAAUGUGUGGAAGUGGAGGAAGAUGAACAGCAUGAUGUACCUCAAGGCCAGAAAUGGAUGAUGUAGGAGGAGAGGGAUUUUAUGUCUCUUGACCACCUUUUGAGAAUGACCCAGAAUAGGAGAAAAAUGAUCCUUCCCACAGGGUAUAAAAGUUUCUUUUCUCAAUACAGUAAGAACCAAGUUUCUCUGCAUUACAGGCAGAACUUAGCAUUAUGACAGCGAGGCCACAAUCAGCUCUUUAUAUUCUGAUUGUUUUUUUGUUGUUUUCAGAAAAUCAAACCUGUGAAGCUUAAAUAGAUUUUGUAUCACAAAAGUAUAAAAGGAAAUCAGUAUGAAUUAGUUUAAUUCCUCUUAAAUAUAGGACAGCAAUGUAGUUUGUUUUAGACUCUAUGUUGGAUAAAAAACAGGCAAAAAUUGUAUAAAAAUGAGAAAAGGGUAAGUGAGCUAAUAUGAUUUAUGCUGCUUUUUAGCCUUAAUAGAAACAUAAUCCUCCCAUUAGCCCUCCCAUGACUUCUUCAGCACUCCCGCUCUGCUUUUCCAGUCCAAAGGAGGAGGAAAGAGGAACAUUUCUGCCCGGCUGCAUUUUAACUUGUCGAAAGUUAUAACAGGAAAUUGGUGAGGAUGUGUGAGAGGAAAAGAGAAAGAUAAGAAAAAUGACCGACUCAUGAGAUAUUUUAAGUUUGGAUUUAUUUCUCCUAACAGCAAACUGCGAAAGCCUCAACGCUUUCUGCAAAAUUACAAGAGCGCCACGAUUUCUGCUGUAGGACAGAAACAGCAUUUAUUCCCAAUGUGUAGUUAAUGGGAAUCUCCAUUUUGGGGGGAAUUAACUUGUAACAUGUUUUUAGUGGUCAAAUCCAAGAAUCAGACUUAAGUUGGGCUGGACUCCCACUUUUCAUGGCCUGUGGCUUGACUUUCAAGCACUGAUAACUGGACUUGGACUCGGACUCUAGCAUUUACCCCAUCAGGGGUUUGGAUCAAAUUUGAUGACGCGCCCAAAACAUGGCGGUGUAUGGCAUGGAGAUCCGUACGACCUGACCCAUUAUGACUCGACCCAGAUCGCUGCUACAGAGACACACAGGGGGGGCACGCAAGCAGAGUCAUGGCCCUUUUUGGAAAUGGAGUCUGUUUUGGUCAUUUUACUGUUGGACCACAACCUGUAACUGUUUUUGAUCAUUUAUUAGUUGUUAUUAUUAGUUUGAAUAAAGUGGUUCUACUGGGGCUGUCAGGAUGAUCAAAGGGGUCUUAAAGGGAUAUUCCGGCGUAAGUUUAAGUCAUGGUCAAACACACUGAUGAGCCCUGACCAAUCGAACACCGAGUGCAGUGGAAAAUUUAUGAUUAUUACUUGGUGGAAAUGCAAUCAGACCAAGACGCUAAGGCAGAAGAACUACCGCAUCUGCAGUACACAUACGAGAUACACAAAAACUCUGAUUGCAUUUCUAUGAAGUGAUGAUCAAAAAUUUUCUUCCUUGAGCUGCGGAACUCCGCUGCAAUCAGUGAUCGACUCGUCAGGGCUCCCCCACAAACAAGUGGCUGCUGGAGGAGAGUAGGUGAGUUGUGUUUGGUCUCUCUGCUAAAGAGAUGUUUCAUGGUGAGUACUAUGGCUGGGACCCUAUACGUACUGUUGAUGAAGUUAGGUGCUGUUCUGAGCAUUGUUUGUGGCUAUACAUUUUAUAUUAUCGUAAUAUUUGCGGCCUUUAGGUUGUGGUUUGCACAUGGAGACAUAGACCGCUGUGUAUUGCUAUCGUGCGGCUGUUACUCAAGUUGGAAUAACUAGAGAAGCAAGCAGUCUGCAACAUUCACCUCUCAAGGGGAUGGUCUAACUCGGUGAUACGGUGUGUUUGACCAUGACUUAAACUUACGCCGGAAUAUCAUUUUAAGGGGUCCCAAAUUGAGAGUGGAAUAAUUAGUGUCCACUAAUAUAAUUGUGUCUUAAAGUAAGACAGUAUAUGACAGUAUAGACAAUAGUACUCUAGUUCAGUUUUCUAACGAGGAGAGCGAAAGUUCACCUUUACAUGAAGCCAAGAAGUGUGUUUUUCUCUCCACAUAUUUUUCUUCAUUACCUUAUAUAUUACACCACAGCAGCUUAGUGGACUCUGUUUUGUUAUAAUAAUAGCAGCUAUGGUACAUGGAGGUACAAGGUUCAAGCAUAGAUGAGCAGUGGGCUGCUUACAGUAUAUAACUUAAGGCUUCUUAUCACAGCUACCCCAGCAGCCACAAAACCCUUUCACACCCUUUUCCCACAUUCAGCACUCCCUGUCUCCUGUGAGCAGACUUUGAUGCGUAUCAGUGUGUCCUCCCUUUCAAAGCAUCAUACAUGUGGCUUUCAUGAUCAUGAGCAAACACGUGUUUACACCGGGCUUAUGUUGCUGUCUUACAAAUAUGUUGAAUGUAUUUUCUUUCCCAUUUAUUAGAAUAUGUUAAUUAGUGCCUUGAACACAUUCAUGUUUGCGGUUUGUUUUUUCUUCCACGGUCUUACAUGCUGUAGGUAAUCCGUACUACAACAGCUGCUGGUUGCCUAAUGACCACACAUCUUUGUAGGGCGCUUUACAAAAAAAUGUUCCUGCUUCUAAAUGUAAUGAGGUCAGUGAAGUCGUCUCUUAAAAACCUGGACUGAUAUUACAUAUGCAGUCAUGCCUCUUUUGUCUGUUGUUCUUUCAGCCUCAUCAGUGUCCCCUGUCCUCCACUUGUCCUAAUUGCUCUCCAUAAUAGCUUUUAAGCUAUCCAACGUGCUCAUCUGGUCCUCCCCAAAUCCCCCCUCUCAUAUGACCAUCCUGUGGUCAAAUGAAUACUGUGGGUCCCAACCCACACAAGUGUUACUAUUGAUUGCUUGUUAUUCCAAUGAUCUAAGACAUUAAUUCUCUUGUUACUGCCAUCAAGUCAUUCUUGAUUUGGGAAUCUGCUAGUUCCCUAAAAUACAAGAAUAAACCCUGAAGUGUUAGCUAAAGUUGUAAUGAGAUGCAAGGUGGGCAUUUGAAGGCAGGUGGUGUAUUAAAAACCACAUGGAGGAAGGGCAUUUGGGACAGGCAAGCUGGCAGUGAUAACGAGGGAACAGCAAGAAACAAGAGGGGUGUUAGUGGCAGGUCGAGGAGCUCAGAGGCUGGGGACUGAAGAGGGUUUUUUAAUCAGGGUGUGUGCAAAAUAAACAGAAAUUAAAUUUGGGCUCUACAAAAUAUUAACUUGUGCUUCAAACUGUGGUUAAAAAAAAUAGAAAAAGAAAAAAGUUUUGGAUGAGCUUGUUAUGGUUUGAUAAAUCUACCCUUUUUUUUCUGUGAAUUUCUAUCCUCAUUAUUGUUAAGAGACAAAAUAAGAGUAAUUUGGCUAAUUGCUUGAAAAAAAGUAGCCAGUACUCAAAGAAAAGGUAAUCCUAGUAAAUAAAAUCUUGGUAAAUAUUUUUUUUCUUACAACUUAGCAAAGAUUACACCAGUUACAGGCAUUAAAAAUUACAAUAUAGAAAUAGCAAAUCUUGUUAUUAAUGGUCUCAUUGGCUUUUGUACUUGACAAAAAAAGUUUGAGUAUGAGUUUCAGUCUACUUCAUUAAAACUUUUCCCAGGAGCUUUAAGAAAAAGAUGGUUAGGAAAAAAAGGGUGGUUUGGGUAACAAGAAGUUCUUCAGAAAUCAAAUGACCUAAUAUAAUGAAUCCAAAGUUUUAUCUUUGAUACUCAAAAAGAAGCUUUUGAAUAUCACCCCCGUGUGUGCUCUCUCAGCCUCUCUCAAAGGACUCAGCACCACGAUGAAGAACAUUGUUUUUUUUUUUAAUACAACAUGUUGAGAUGAAGGAAAAAAAUCAUCAUGUAAGGAGCUCCUGGACCCACCCUGUUUAUGACCUCCUAUGGGAGGGCUUGGUUUAAUUUUUGCCCACUUAAGCCUUUAGGAAACCCAACACUUGCUAUAAGUUUUACCCUGUCCUCUGGAUGAAAGCCCUGCGUUCAUUUGAGACAUCGGUUACCCUUAAAUACCACCCUGAGUAUGCUUUCACAAUCACCCUCACAGGACUUCAUUAAAGAACCAAGAACUUUUAGAGGAGAACCUACAGUAUCAUACUGUAAAGUUCUAGGCCAACAACCCAGCUGCUACUGCAUUUGACAAGUUUUCUGUCACAACUUUAGUGUGGAGUACACAAAAUCACAAAAGUCCUGUUAGGUAAAGGUAAAGGUCCGGAGAUUUUACCAAGCCGGUCAAAGACUGGUCUGUCUGUCUUUCUUUCUUUCUUUCUCUUUAUAUAUAUAUAUAUAUAUAUAUAUAUAUAUAUAUAUAUAUAUAUAUAUAUGUGUGUGUGUGUGUGUGUGUAUAUAUAUAUGUAUAUAUAUAUAUAUAUAUAUAUAUAUAUAUAUAAAUAUAUAUAUAUAUUAGGGAUGCACGAUAUUUAUCGGACCGAUAAAAUAUCGGCCGAUUUGGGGGAAAAUUACGUCAUUUUUUAUCGGUCCGAUAGGUGCAUUUUUCCGAUAGAAAGAUCCGAUAUAUUAAUGAAAUUACGAGUAACGUUUGCAGGCGGAGUAGCCGCCCGUCCGAGACGCGCUGGUUACGUCAUCUAUCGCGCCUUACUCGCAGGUCCCAAGCCUGACCCCGUCACUAUCUGACAGAUAAUAAAAUGUCUUCACCAGCAUGGUCGUUUUUCUCAGUGGCAGAAGAUGACAACAGCAUUGCUAUAUGCAAAACCUGUUCAGCGAGGAUUCCGAGAGGAGGAAAGAAGACGUCGAGUUUUAACACAACGAAUGUGAUAGCUCAUCUGAGAAGUCGCCAUCGCGGCGAAGCGGUAGUAAAAGAAUAUGAGACAGCCGCCGAAGCUGCUAGCGGUACUAAAGCUAAGACAACAACACUACGGAGGAUCGAUGUCCCCAUUCAGCAGGCGUUUAAAAACUGCAAAAGCUUCUCAAGAGACAGCGAAAAGGCUAAAGCCAUUAACGACAAAGUGAUGGAGUUCAUAGCGGUCGACGACCAGCCUUUUUCCGUCGUUGAGAACCCGGGUUUAAUAGCACACUUGGAGCCACGUUACACUCUCCCAAUCCGCCGCUUCUUCUCGGAUGUGUGUCUUCCUGCACUCUAUGAUAUUGUCGCCACAUACAUUCACAACCUGAUCGACAAGAACGGACUACACGUGAGUUUUACCACAGACAUAUGGACGUCAGAUGUUAGUCCGGUCAGCGUGCUAAGCCUAACGUCUCAUAAUAGCUCCUUUACAGUUUACAGUUCUGUUGAACAGUUCAGGGGAUCAAAUGAAGCUCUGCUUUUUGCUCUGUUAUUGUUAUUUAUAUCAAAUGACCACAUUUGAAGAGCCAAAAACUUUUGUUUGUUGUUCUAGAUAGGCCAGAGCAACAAAAACAUCAGUUUUCAAUCGCUGCAUCCUGCUCAAAUUGCAGAUUAUAUGAAGAUUAUAAUAAAUGUAAAAAUAUGAAUUUAUCGGUUAUCGGUAUCGGCCAUGAGAAGAAGAAAAUUAUCGGUUAUCGGUAUCGGUUGAAAUUUUUCAUAUCGUGCAUCACUAAUAUAUAUAUAUAUUUAUAUAUAUAUGUAUAUAUACAUAUAUAUGUAUAUAUAUAUAUAUAUAUAUAUAUAUAUAUAUACAUAUAUAUAUAUAUAUAUAUAUAUAUAUAUAUAUAUAUAUAUAUAUAUACAUAUAUGUAUAUAGAUAGAUAUAGCACUUUUCAUACAUGACCAUGUAGCGCUAAGUGCUUUACUCAGAAAAAGGAAUACAAGAAACAAAGAAUACCCGAAUCUACCCCAGCCCAACCCCUCCUCCCAUCCUACGAUCUCAACACAACAGACCCAGUAUUAAAAUGCAUGCUUAAAUGCUUAAAAAGGGCUUGACUUCGUGGAAACAGUAUGUGUGCACUGAGCAAGCGCCAUUUUAAAACUCAAGAUAAGGAAACACUGGAGGUUUAGGUUAAAAUCUAAAGUAACAUAGAAUAAAAUUUUUGAAAUAAUAGAUAAAAUGAAAUAUAAACAACAGUAAAAGAUACUAAAAUAAGAGCACCAAAAUAGCUCAAUAAGAGACUAUCCUGUCAUUAAAACUAGAAAGAGAUCAAUGCUUAAACACUUAAACAUGUAAAAUUUAGUUAAACACAAGACUAAAAAGGUACGUUUAGCAGCACGUGGAGCUAAUGUUCAUUUAAUGAGCUUGUAGCAACAGUUAAUAACAUUUUCCAGCAACAGCUGUCAUCUAACAAGAUAAACUGACUGUUGGCUUUUAAAGAUAAGAGGCAUGAUUGCUUUUUCUGAAACUGAGGACCUGCUCAAAACAUUGCUUUGUUCGAGUGAAACUAGAAAAUAAAAAAACACAAACAAUGCAGUCUUAUAAGAAUUUACCUUGCAAUCUAAAAUACAAUAUCAAUUCUAUCCUUUAAAAUUCCCUGAAAAAAAAAGGAAACACAUCUAGCUCAGUGUGAGGACUUUCAAAUCAAUAUAUUUCUGCAGUAGAGAUUUAGUGGUUUUGUCAUACUCCUCUGAGAUUUCAGGACAAAUGAAUGUGGAAAUCUCUCCCAUUAGGGCCACACUGAUAUGUUCUGCCAGAAAUCUGGGAAAGAAACCGAACACUCACUAGAGAUACGGACAGAGCAAUGUGACAGGAGGCACUGGUUGUACCAAUUCUUUGAGAAGCAGGGAUUGUGCCCCAGCGCUAGUUCUGGGAUUACCAGGGAGAACUUAACAUAUCUAAUAACAUCCACAGGGGAGAAUGAUGUUGUUGACACUGCUGCAGAUGAAUAUGGAGAUGAUAAAAUUAUCUCUCUAGGGUUCUAGAUUGUGAAUUUGAAUUGCAAAAGCUAAUGUUAAUAAGCACUCCAAUGGAAAAGCUAACGAGCUUUAACUACAUGAGACGGAAGUUGGGUUGGGUGGCUCGGCUACACUCACCCAGAAUAGACAAGACGCUGAGUGAAAGCUCUUUGUGAAAAUAAAACACUCUUACUUAUUCUGAUUUCAUCCACAGCGUGCCCCCUCCUCCAGCUCUGGAUUUAAUCAUUAUUCUGGCUACAAAAACAGCUUACCCACUGUUUAAUAGGUUUCAAUAUUGGCUAAUAAAAUGCAGAGCAAAUAAAUGAUGUUUUAUGAGCACCAUGGUGUCCAUCAGGCCAACUGUAAUCAAAUUGUUAAACUAUUCCUUUUCCUCCUCGGCAGUAUUACUCUUCCGCGGUCAUGAUGUUUAACAGCUAUUUGUAGCAGAGCAGAAUGUGCUCCUGUACAUAAAAACAUGAAUAUUUUUGAUUGGUAGAUGCUGUUGCCAGACUGCAAAGUUGGAUGCAGACACAAAGUGCAACAUGCAGACAUUCCUCUUAACUUUGAUCAAAUAUUUGCUCGCCUUCCUCCCACAGCACAUUUCCUUUGUAUCAUUGCCCAGAGGUUACUUCUGAUCAGAUUUGUUUUGCAUAAAUGUGUACCAACAUUGCUGCUUCCUUGAUUUCGCAGUAUGAGUGCUGUCUCUGUCUCUGCUAAUAACGGCAUGUCUCUUAUAAACAACCACUAAUAUGUUAAAUAUGGAAAACAGUUUCACUCCUUGUGUCUGACUGUCUCUGCAGAGCAUGUCCUCAUCCCACAUCAUAUGUGUUAAUGAUGUGCCAAAUGGAAUCGAUUAGCACAAUUUAUAGCCAGUUGACAGGCUCAUAUGGGUAAUAUUUAUUCAUAUGUGUUUAGGCUGGAUUAAGACUUGAUUAAAAGAAAAUAUGAAUCCACCAUCAAGCUGUUUGGACAAAUGAAUUGGGCCAAAAAAUAUGCCUGAAUAUCUGGAGAACAUUGCAAUAUUUCUAUGAAUAUCUACGAUCAGCAAUACCUCAUGUGUUUCAUUAGCGUCGGUGUUGUUAAGCAGCUACAGAGCUUAAAAGUUGUGAUGUUGUUUUCCUAAACCUUCCCAAAACCAAAUAUCCCUCAUAAAAAGACACAAAGAUGGAUUAAAAGGUGUUUUCAUCCCCAAGCUGCAGUCAUUAGCACGCCUUGAUAAUUUGUACAUAACCACACUUGUCUUCCAAAAGCAUUUCAUUAACUUUGUGAUCUUCCCUAAAAAAAGAUCUGUUUACAUGAGCAGGUAGGUCGUGUGGUGGCCCUGCAGCAGUGACUAAACACUUCCCGCUCCUACUAAUUCAAGGAGAAUUCUGUUUGUUAAACCCUUUGGCGAGUUGACUCCACCCCUUCCUCGACUCUUCAGUCUUUUUAUCUAUCUCUAAAUGAAACGUUAUUCAUUAAAAGCUCAUCACUUCAAUAGAAACACAUACCUGUGCUUUUUUCUUUUGUAACAUAGAGUCUUACCAAGAAAACCUGAUGUUUAGAGAUGAAGCCAAGUGCAAAACACUGCAGCAUUUAAGGUCCUUACACACCAGGUGCGAAUUCACCAAGCGAAUUAUUCGCUUUUUUUAAAACAGCAUAAAGUCAAUGCAAGCUUCCACACCAGCAGCGAUUUUUCCGCGGGGAGAAAAGUGUUUAUUUUUUCGCUCUUGUGUCGAAUUUUUCAGAGAUUCUGGACCUGCUAGACCUCUGGCCAAUUAAAAGUCAUGUUGUUGAUGACAUCACAGACCCAUGCGGCUGCAGUUCACAUGACACACACCACCACUGGCACCAAGAGCAAUGAUGGGAGAGAGGCUGGUAAUUGCGGUACAGGACCACCCCGCGUUGUGGGACAAGUACCAAAGACAAUAUAUAUUUAUUAAUUCGCUUUGCAAAAUUUAUACGCAUAUUCGUUUUGCGCCCGGUGUGUAUAGGCAAAAGCGAUUUUUCAGACCAGCGAAUAUUUUCGCAUUUUCGUCUCGCUUUUUCGCUUCGCUCCGCAAAUUCUCUGGUGUGUAAGGACCUCUAGACAUGUGGUGGGCUGAGAAACCAGUCAGUCAGAUUUUGUUCCAUUUUAUUUCUUUAUUCACACUGUAGGGGGAAGGUUUUUUUUUUUUUUUUUUCCAUUUCACAAUGCAUCAGUUAAGAUCAAAUAAAAUAUAAAAUAGAGGUUGGGUGUUGCACAAAAAAUUGCACAAUUGAGGGCAUGGCUUCACUGACUGAUAGACUGACAGACUGCCUCCUCAUGGAUGUCAGAAUAAACGGGAAAGUGAAGAGAGGAGAAAGAAAGAAAGAAAAUGCACUUAAAGAUGGUGUUGGUCCUUUGUUAAGACAAAACCAUGUCCAUUAAGUGUUUUUUUCAGUCCAUACAUUACAUGAUAAAAGUCCUUCGGAUUCCUGAGUGACAGCAGUCGUUGUGUCAGAGCCCAGAGAGGAAAUGAUUCUCCUUUUGCACCUCUGUCUGAAUACAAAGACCCUGUUUAAAAAUCAAUAACAAGAAUCUGAGUGUUAAACCAGCCCAGUGUUACUAUAACUAAAUGUGGUGUGUGAGGACAAAAAGGCUGUGAGGCGCCUCUCAGCAGCUGGUACAGUAAGUCAAGACGGUUUUAUCAGCAGUAAAAACCGGAACAAAUAUAGAGAUGUCUAGAGUCUGGUUUGACCCUGCAUCACACUAACAUGAUCAUUCUUUUGAAAAUUUUCACAUUUUCAUGGUACAGGCGGUUGUUUCUAUUAUCUGAGAAACAGCAAAAUGUCUUUCUUUCUGUAGGCGGACAAUAUAUAAAGGCCUUAUGCCAAUUCUCUGUAAACUGGACUGUUUUGUUGAAAAAAUCCCACGCACAGUGUAUGCUUCUACAUGCAGGCAGGCAGGCAGGCAGGCACUGUAAUACUGGCUCUUCUAACAGGGGACUGAUCAGGAGGUCAGCGCAAGAUGGAAAGCAUUUCUCAGAUAAUUAUGAAGAAGCUCUUAUUUUAGAUACUGUCUGCUUUAGCUCACAAAGACAUGGAAAAGCUGCCAUGACUUGUUAAAUAAAAUUAACAACUAUAUUUAUUUUAACAUAGAACCAAAUGAAUGUUCAUUUUUAUUCAAUAAUAUGAAGAAAGGCUUAAAAAUAUCUAAAUUUCCAUCUCUUAGUUCCUCUUGGUUUUAGAAUUAGAACGAAGACAAUGUUAUUGCCAAUGACAUGUUUCUACAAGGUGAGGGUAAAAAAGCUUAAUUUUUCACCAUUUGCUGUUUCUUUUAGAUGCUCAACAUUUUCUUUUUCUUUUUUCUCUGGCUAUGUUGUGUUUACUGAGAGUACUCUGCCACACACACACAAGAAUCAAGACUGUUUGCUGAAGUUCAUCAGAUCAAAAAAGAGCAUUUUGUAUUCAUUUAGAGAUAGAUAAAAAUAAGCACUGUUUUUCAAUUAAGUUUUCAAAAAUGAAAGUUAAAUUGGUUACUGGGAUGGAGACCUGGUGUUGUUUACCUUAAUUCAACUGUGUUUCCCAUGAUUAGUAUAGCGUAGAUCAAUGAGAGAGACUGAUACAGCUUAACUAGUUCACUGCAGUAUAAGCCACGUUGCUACUAUAUGUAUCUAAGAUACCUAUAACUUCUGCAAAGUGAGUCAUUAAAGUAAAGUGAAUUACUUUUACAAAUGAGUUUUUACAGUAACUUUCCCCAGCAGUGUUAAAGAUGCCGUAAUGUCAGUAAUUCAUCACUAUAGAUCCAGUUCCAGCUGAUGUACCGUACCUGGUAAGUGGUCCAUGCUAGUGAUUAGUGCUAGAUUAAUUUCUUGUCCUUUGGUGUGAAGCAGAUCCAUUUACACUGAUUUAGAAAAGGGCUAGCAGUAGAUACUCACUGCGGUGCUAUUGGCAGCUAGCUAGAUGGUCAUUACUAAUCUAAAGGCACCCAGGAGAGCGAGAAGGGAGCGGAGGGGUGUGAGUGUUUCUGCAUGAAGCAUGCAUGCAUGUGUACGUGUAUGUGUAUAGAGGGUAGAGAGGUUGAGGCAUUUCAGUGGGGUCAUGCUCAUAAUAUGUGGGGGUCAACUGCAAAGAUCAGCUGAGGUCAACUCUGUAAUGGGAGCCAUUUUUCAUAAAGCGCAUUUCUCAUCCCCGUCUCUGAGGUGAGGGCGAGAGUGAAGUAGUGAACUGCAGGAAAUGGCAUUUCAAUGUGCGUAACCUCUCCCCUUCCAACGUCCCCUCUUGACGGGAAAUGGCAGGUCCUUCUCAUCUCUCUCAGGCGGGCUCGUAUAUCACUCACAGCACUUGCCCACCUCUCCAUCCCGUGAGACGCAGGCCUCAGAGAGCCAGAGGAAGAGCUGGAGUGAUGCGGGUGGACGGCUCUUCAAUCUAGCAGCUACUCAACAAUCAGCAACACAUCUAUCACCAGGCCUCAAAGUAAUUUUGAACCCCCUGACAUACAUACACGUGUAUCCUCAGCCUGUGAUACAGAUGGAUUGUAGUUGACAGGCACCGAGCUGCCUUGAACAUUUAAAAAGGCAUAUCAAGUCCCUUUAUGGUGAGUAAGUCCAGCACAUAGCGGCUGAGAUGAGAAGGAGGGAGACUGCAGUGUGGUAAUCCUCUGAAAAGCAAGAAGGUGCGGCCACUUGGUGGCACUAGCAGCCAAAAUCAAUGAGAAAAAACAGACGGGAGCAUGUCUGAAUAAAACAAACAGAACUGUGUGAAUAUUCCAUUUUCAUAAAACGGCAUCAGCAAUGAAUCUUCUCAACUGCAGGCAUAGGAAUUUCAUGUGCUGUAAACAUUGUGCUAAAGAUGAACAUUUUCUAUUCGGGGGCAGCUGUGAGAGCAGGAAGGGCUGCCAAACACUCUGUGGUGUGAGCCGGACAGUGAGCCCACGCACAGAGCUAUACACGUGUAGUGUGAAUGCCAGAGAUCCUUCACCAUCAGGCUGUUGUUAUUAGUACUACAUGUCACUGACCAGAGAGCAGCCGGUUAACUGAGGAUAUUAUUCAGGAAAUGCAAGACACUGAAAAGAAAACCUCUUCAAGUAGCUCUCCCACCUCUAAAAGAUGACUCUGUUAUUUGGACAGUUAUUAACACACAUCUGCAGAUGAUUUUUAAGCUAUUCAUCUCACUAGCUCUAUUACUUUAUUUAGUUGUUCCAAUGCAAGCAACCAAAUGCAUCAACUUUCAAUGGAGCAUAACAUUUUUUCCCCAGAUAAAUCUUUUCUACAACCACUUUCUGACAUCUUACCGAUCAAGCAAUCAGAGGAUCAAUCAAAGAGCAUCAAUAAUUAAUGUUUGAGUCACUGUUCAGGGCAUAUAUGCUUUAUGCAAUCUUGCAUGUCCACUCAAUAUUAUUGCUAAAUUUGUCUGCUAUAUUUAUGGGACAGCUGAGUUGCAGUGCUUGCAGUACCGUAUCACUGCAGCCUACAUGUACUUGGAUGCCUUACGCACCAGCAGUGGUGAUCUCUACCUGCAUUUCUGCAGCUCUUGCUUUGGCUGAAUCAACACUGCUAAGUAUUGGGAGUUUUUGCAAGAAACACUUAGAAAUCUAAUUGCACUUUGAAUUGUAGGGCUACUUGAAAUAAUGGCACUACUGGAUGGAAGGAAAGAAAUUGUCAGUAGCUGCGUUUACAUGGGCACAAAUAAUCGGAAAAAAAAGUGUCAUCUAAACAUGUAGAUUGGAAGAUUUUGAUCCAAUUUGGCUUAAUUGAAAAUAAAUUGUAUUCUGAUCGAGAGGGGUGGUUUAUGUCGAUCGUUAUUCCGAAAUGCGUCCAUGUAAACACUUAUUCUGAUCGUGUCUCUAUUACUUGACCCGAUCUUUACUUUUUAGCCUUUGGCUUAUUUAUUGAGGCUAGUACAGGCUAAAACACAACAGAUGUUGUGUCUGCUCCUCUGGUAAAAUAACAAGGCAUACAUACAGUGUAAUGUAUCUAUCUAUAUAAUAUAAUCUCUUCUGUAAAUAGUAGAUGACUUUUAGAUUGACAUGACAAAUGAAAUGACAGACAAUUGAAUUUCCCUUUAGGGAUCAAUUAAGUUAUUCUUAUUCUUAAUGAUGUCACAUCUGCAAUCUUUGACAGAACAGUAAAAUAAGUACACAAGGGCGCUAUCUAGUGACAACAUUUAACGGGGAAAACUCCUGAAUUGGAUGGCGUGAACCACUACAGUGUUUGUCGGUUUGUUGACAGCAGCACAGGCGUAAAUACAACUCUUCUUCUGCGGUUGUUUUUGCGAAAUCAGACACCUCUGUGCAUGUCCAAAUGCUUCAAAUCAGAAUAAAGCUCGGUGCAUGUAUACGCACGUCAUGAUCCGAUUAUUUGAUUUUGCAUCCCUAUAAACAGUGGAUUUAGAUUAUCCGAUCCCUCAAUUUUUUAAUCGGAUCAAUUAAAUUUUUCCCAUCAACAUCUAUCAACAGCAUGCUAAAUUAAAUCGAUAAGGUUUUAUGUUGAUCAUGGUGGAAGCUGGUGGGGAGGUAGUGGAGCUGCUAAAGCAGUGCGACAGCACUGUAAGACUGCAGGAAAAAACUAAUCUUAAGAAAAACCAUGCCCAAGAACCAGAAAAAAGACAAUAUUUGUCAUAAUGUGGUUCCUCUGCAGCCAGUGUUCAGGCUUGUAAUCCAUUUAAGCAAUCACUUAUGACAAUUUUCAGAGUCAGAGGAAUUCAUCCACACAGCUGUCUGUAGAUCUGAUACUGCAAUUACUAAUGUUUCAUCCUGAAUUUCACAUCGUCGCUGUAAUAACUGACACUCUGUUCAGCAAUGUCACAAGCAUUUAAGGACAUUUUAAAAACAGAAAAGCCUUGUUCGCUUUGGGAAGAAGGUAAUGAAUUAUAAGAGUAUGUUUUCAUGACAUUGCUCUGUGUCUCCAAUAUUGUAGCAGGAUGCAGCUCAUUCUGUCCUGGUAAUUAGUCGGAAGCUAUUCCUCUUUAUAAAUAUUAAUUUUCUUUCUUUGCCAAAGCCUGAGGCGCCCACACAGGUGUUUUGUAAGGAGCUACGGAGGACAACUGGCUAACUGCAGCAUGCAGCAACAGGAAGUUGUUAUAAUGACUGUUGUCCCCAGUGCACCCUGGGUAAUAAUCAGCACUCGUUUGUCAUAAUAGCAGGUAAAUACUUAGGCACGGCACGGUAGUCCUCACAGUGGGACACUGGAAGCAGCAGCAGUCCACAGUCAUUUUUAAUGUAUUUUUAUAAAGUGAGCAGGCGCAUAGGUAGCUCUCUGGAGCUUGUUAGUGUUUACAAAACAGUAGAAUGAAAAGGGCAAGUCAUGGCAGUAGAGCAAAAGCCAGAUUCAAACCUGAGGUCGAAGUAUACGCAUGGGUACAUGAACGUAGUCAACCGACAAGGGUCUGUAUGAAUUAUUUAUAGGGCAGGUUAUAGACGUGUUUACAGCUCUCCUUUCCUUGAUUGCAUGUUGAGGGAAAAAGAAUCAAUGAUGCCAUAUUUAGAGCAUCAUAAUUUAAUAUGAGACAAAGUCAGCUUGCUUUGCUGAGAGGGGUCGUUUUAGCAGGGCCUUUGCUAGCUGGUUGUGAAAUGUACAAAGCAAAAGCCCGAGGCUGAGUUUCUCUUUUGUGUUUGCCAUCUGAGUGAAGAAACUCUGAGAUAAGACAAAUGGUUCAAAUGACCUUUGAAAAGAUCACCAUCCCUCAGUUUGCCUGAGAGAGGGAAAGUAAGAAGCAGAGAGAGGAUAGUGAGGGGGGCUAUUUCUAUAAAGUGAGGGAUAAAAGUGGAUUCCAGCGCGUGUGAGCGUAUGCCCUAACCCCCUCCCCCUGCUUCCAACGCUUUCUGCUCCAUUUACAGAAGCUAAGUUUAUUUGUCUCUGUCCAGGACUCACUAGGAGCAGCAUACCCGAGCAGAAGAGGGAGAAGUGGUUCGACUGUGAGUUUGAGACUGAUCAACUCACAGCCACUCAGAUUUUCCUCCAUUAGUGGUAACACUUGACUUGAUGCCUAUCUCUAAAAAAAAUAUUAAAUAUAUGUAUAAUGAGUUAUAAUGAUGUUAUAGCACUGUAUAGCUAUAGUUAUUAACACUCAUAAAUGAUCAUAAUGCUUUAUAGCCUUAGAAUAAUUAAUGAGUGUUUAUAAUGAUAUUUAGUUUAUAGUUUAUAAGCAAAUCAUAACACAUCAUAAAUAUAUUUAUAAUGUAUUAUCUUUGUGGGCAUUGUCAGUGAGUUGUUAACAGUUAUAACACAUUAUAAUACCUGACCUUGUAAGUCAUGGUAAAAUGCAUUAUAAUGUGUUAUGAUUAUUGCCAUUAAGCAUUACGAUCAUUUAUGAGUGUUAAUAACUAUAAAUAUACAGUGCUUUAAUGUGAUUAUAACGCUUUAUAAAUAUAUUUCUAAUGUGUUAUAGAGAUAGGCGUCGAGUAAAGUGUUACCCUUCGUUUUAAUGGAGAACUUCAGUUUUGUCACUACAGAGGUGCACCAUCCUGCCAGAUAUUUGCACCUUUUACGGUCCUCAUAACAGUUUCUGCCCAAGAAUGCUAACACCAGAGCUUGCUUUUUUCUAUUUUUGUUUUGUAAAAGUUGUGUACAGGAGGGAAAUUUACCAUUAAUGUGCAAUCAUAGUUAAGGAUUUGCAAAUAUCAAGUGAUUUUCUCAAAUUAAGACAAAAUCGCAGAUGUGUCUGGAAGGAAUCAAAGAAUCAAAAUACAGACAAUGAGAAAAAAAGGAAAAGUUGUGCAAGUUUAAAGUCAGGUGAUAAUUUAAAAGCUUGGGUGGAGGACCACAAUCCAAACCUCAAACUGGAAAAGCAGCACAGUCUCAAGUAAAAUCAAAUGUCUUAGUAAUUUAUGAUUAUUUAAGUUAAUAGAAAAAACUGCUCUUACUUUGCAUCACAUUCAUAAUCCCCUUUUCAAAAUAAUUUUAGACAGCUUGAUAUCAUACUUCUCCUAGAGGCUGUUUUUUCUUGCCGUCAUUAUUGCUAGUUGCCUAAAAUUGAAGGGUUUACCAUACAAAUUAUUCUAAUUCUACUGCAGCACUCACUGCUGGGUAAGUGCAUUAGCUAAACGCUGAUUCGUGUCGAAUAUGCAACAGCAACAACAACAGGGUGUUUCCUGGCUCAACAAAAUUAAAAUGUUGAACGAGUAAUGCCUUCACAUCAUGUAACCUAUUAAAUUUGUCGGUGUGUGUGAGGAGGGAACAGGAGGAGGAGAUAGAGUCCAACAGCAACAUCGCUGUGUCCCAAUUAGCAAUGCAGCGCUUAGAAUGGGUCUUUAACCUUAGCAGAGCUUAAUCAUGUAAUUAACGAGAAGGGGGAAACUGCAUGUCUAAUGGUACCCUCCUGCUAGAAAUAUUCCCUCCAAAACAGUGUCUAGACUCCACAUUCUCUCAGAGGAAGACAUCAUUUGUGACCUUUAAGACAAGAAGAGAGUUUGCUACAGGAUGCAUUAGUCCUUAUUUGACGGGCCUGGUUUUAAAUUAGCGUCUUAUUGUUAUUCUAUGCAUGUGCUUGCGUGCAUACAUAUGUGGCUGUGUGUUGAUUAUAAAACCGGUACCACAGAGUUUGUGUUUCUGUGUGUUUUUGCAUAUUAAACACUGUCAGGACUUCACAUACAGGGUCUCUGCUGAUGGCUGAUUACCCACUGCUGGCAUUUAAGAGUCUCAGGACCGCAGGCUCUUCCACUUGGACAUGCCACACAUCAGGCUCACUGAGUGGUUAUUUACUACAGCCUUGCUUUAAUUGCUUAUCAAAUUAUUGGCUUAAUGAUAAGGCACGGGAGAUUGAAAGGGACAUAUGGAUUCGGACAGUAGCCAUCAAACGCUGCCCACCACAUUGUGGUUUUGCAUCUGCAGUGUCUAUUAGCCAAACAAGCUGAGGCCUAUUUAGCAGCAAUCAGCAGAAGCACGGUGGAAGAUAAAAAUCAGGCGUGGGCAUUAUUUUCCCUUCAGCCUUCAAGAGUGACAGGCCUAUUAUGCAGUGCAUGGAAUUUAUGAGAUGAUCAUCUUUGAUGGCCUGGAUGUCCGUCUUUGGCUGUAAUGUUUUCUAUGGUAAUGAUGCUUCCCCUCUGCCUUAAACCACAAAACCUCCAUCCUUCUCGUGACUCCGUCUCUGGGCUGAAAAGUGAUUGUUGACGGCUCCAUUAAGGGCUGAAAAAAUAUUUUCUUUUCCCUCCACCUCCUUCCACCCACUCAGAAGCUUUAUAUUCACUCGUCAACUAAGCUUAUUUAUGUCGUCUUCUUCAAGGCGGGGAAGCAUCACGUUUGAACUUGUCGCUUUGAUGGGGACGGGGCUGAUUUGAAACGACCUUGAUGCAACUUCUGCACAUGGGGGAUGUAAUGUCUCCAUGGGAUUGUAGAGGGAAUCAAAAGCUGUGGCAUGGAACAGUGCGCACUGUUGUUUGUUGGUUAUUAUGGCUGCCCUAUAACCAAGCCACAAAUCUCACAUCCAUCAGAGGUGUAAAACCAUCACAUCUGUCUCAUGAAAAAACAGUUAGGUUGUGAAAGAUUUAUACGAAGACAUCAGCGUUAUCAUAUACCUUUAAGGAGAACUGCUUAUGGGCGUGACCUCACAACACAUUUAUUUUCAUCCAAAAAAACCUACAUGUGAUUGAGGCUCGAUUUGAGUGGCUGAAAGCCUCCCUAAAGUCCCAACAAGAACAAAAGACCACUGGCAGCAUACGAUGUCAGUCAGUUUGAUCAUCCUGUAGCUGCAUAAGCAAAUGAAAUGAAUACAUAAGCUAAAGAUUUGGCCUGCAAAAUGUACUUGCUUGUCAAAUGUACCCCUGAGACUGUCUGUGCUGGUGUUGGAUGCCUGUUUGAUGACAUGUGCAGCAGCUUAAUCAUAACACAUUGAUUACAUGUCUCUUAGUAAUAGAUAAGUGAUCUGUUCUAUUUGACUCCAUGAGCAGGUACAGAAUAAGCUGUCGAUUAAUUAACUCAAAAAUACUUUAUUAAUAAUAGUGCAUGUUAAUUUAUGACAAAACCUAGAGUUAGCAUGCAUAGAAUUGGCCUUAAAGGGAUAUUCCGGUGUAAAAUUGAUUAAGGUUCAAACACGCUGUAACACUGAGUUAGACACCCCCUCAAGAAAUGAAUGUUACUGACUGCUUGCCUCUCUAGUUAUACCAAUUUUGUAACGACCGCACGAUAGCAAUACACAAUGGUCUAUGGAACCACACACAAACUUCAGACUUUAAGACUCUUCUGUAAAAAGUUAGAUGACUUUUAGAGACAUGACAAAUGAGAUGACAGACAAUUGAAUUUCCCUUUGAGGAUCAAUGAAGUUCUUAUUCUUCUUAAACCUCAACCAAAGAGCCAAUUUAUAACCACAAAUAAUGCUCAGAACAGCACCUAACUUCAUCAACUGUACAAAUAGGGUCCCAGCCGUAGCACCAGCCACCAAACAUUUUUUUAACUUUGCCGAAUUUCUUCAGCAGAGAGACUAAACACAACUCACCUACUCUCCUCCGAGUCCAUGGAAGGAAGAACAUUUAUGAUCAUUUCUUCAUGGAAAUGCAAUCAGACUAAGAAGCUAAGGCAGAAGAACUACCGCGUCUGCAGUGCAAAAUGAUUAAAAUGGUUAUUAUUACUUCAAGGAAAUAAUAAAGUAAUGAUCAUAAAUGUUCUUCCUUGAGCUGUGUCACCCCGCUGUAGUCCGUAAUGGACUGGCCUGAGGUCUCGGGACAAACAAGCGGCUGCUUGAGUGAGUUGUGUUUAGUCUCUUUGCUAAAGAAAUCAGGCAAGUUAAAAGGAUGUUUGGUGGCUAGGAUCCUAUAUGUACUGUCGAUGAAGUUAGGUGCUGUUCUGAGCAUUAUUUGUGGCUAUAGAGUGGCUUUUUGGUUGAGGUUAGUUUAUGGCUCCUCAGACUGCUGUGUAUUGCUAUCCUGCGGUCAUUACUAAAGUUGGUAUAACUAGAGAAGCGGUCGGUAUCAUUCAUCUCUCAAGGGGGGUUGUCUAACUCAGUGUUACCGUGUGUUUGACCCUAAAUUAAUUUUACGCCUGAAUAUCCCUUUAACAUCAAACUUUGACUGCCCUUCAUACCUGCAGAGUUCUUAUUGUUCACAUCUCAAUCUAAUAUCAAUCUGCUCAAGCUCCUGUGAUCUCUCUGCUGAUUUGAUCCUGAGCAAAUGAAAUAAAAGUGGAGUGUACCGAUUAUAAGUCUCACCUAGCUUUGUUUUCAAGAGUAAAAUCCAUCAGUCAUUGUGAAUCUGUGUCUCACAAAAUGAAAUAAAGGUUAUUUCAACAAUUUCAUAGUCUGUCUCCAACCCUGCAGCCGGAGAACAGGCUUUUAAAUAACUCUAAAGUAACUGCUCCUCUUGAUAGUCAUGUUUGCUUUUAUUAGUCAGAUGCAUCAAUACAGACCUCAGAGUCAAGUCUCUGUAGAGUUUGUCUUUAUAUUCUUUUUGAAUGCAGGGUCAGAUCUGGAAAAAAUAAUAGGUGUCAGAAACACAAGAUGAUUUAAUUACAAAAAAAAAGUGUUAUGUUCCCAGUGAGCUUCAUUAGACAGUGAAACCAAACACUUAAGGAGACAUCACGGCUCGAUUUCCAUCUUUGUAUUAUUCAUGGCUGAUGGUAUUGUUUCAGGGACAGUCUGGAAAGUUCAGUCAGUCAGAGGAUAGCAUACAGAGAAUAGCUAAGUUUCCUUUUUGCCUGGUCCCCUGUAUGAAUGGACUUAACUUCCCCAAAGCAAAUCAUUAUCAGCCUUUUGUUCGCCCACAGAUUUUUGUUUCAACCCCUCUUGAAUGAAAUGUUUGUAGCAGAGUUUUUGUUUUGUAAAGUUUGCUCUUGUGUAUUAAAUUAUUUCAAUUUUUGGCACAAACAGCCACAUAAAACCAUCAUCCCCCUGAUAUGAGCAGACUUUGAAGGAUCUGUUAGAAAGUAAGGGAGGAAUAAAUUCAUCACUAAUCCACACUUUCUGACCUGAUGUCAGAACUUUUUGACUUACAAUCCAAUUAUUAGGAGUAUUAGGACCCUAGACUAACAAAACAAAGCAACACUUUCAUCAUCCUGAACAUCAAUCUAAAUCAAACACUUUUUUUUUUUGAGACUCAAACAACGGAGCGAAUAUAAAAUCUGACCUCAGAGAUUUGGAUCUUCUGGCACCUCUUGUUCACGAUGGGAAUCAGAGCAGUAAUUGCUUUGGAGGGCUCCCUGAUCCAUUUACACCAGACUCUUCUUUCCAAAGCUGGAAAUAUACUUUGUAUUUGACACAUGUCCUCUUUUCAUCUCCUCUUAUGUCUGGGUAGUCUUUGUGAUAAAGUUUAUUUGGGAUAGAAGUAGCUUUCGGAGUCUGAGACCCCUGGGUAGGUCUGAUUGAUUUGAAGACAGCAUUAUUUUGUUUUUUUUCCUACCUGGGGCUUUUGUGCUUCUCUGCACUUUUACAAAUCUUUCUGCUAAUAAAAAAGAGGAAAUCUCUGCACAUUAUUUCAGAAAUUCAUAAAACAAAGGCUAACUCAAUAAAAGAAAUUAAUAUCUAGAAAAGAAAACAGCGCCAUAAAAGAACAGCGAGGUAAACGAUCAAUCCUUCCUGUGGAGCUGGGGCUACCUUUUUUCUUGCAGUCUUUGUAAUCAUACCAAACACUGAACAACACAAACACCAAAGAACUAGACACUAUAAACACUCAAAUUGCAAUCCAAUAUCCUGUCUGUUUUUCUCCACUUUGGAUCUUGAAUAUGGAGGUGUGCAUUUCAAUUAUCCUUGGUUGCAACACGAAUGCCAAAGAGUGAAAACAAUAUCCUAAAAAAGAGAGAGGAGAAGAAUUUGAAUCUUUGCUGCAGGGGAUUCAUUUAGACUAUAUCUGAGGGAGGAAUUGGAGAGGAGAGGACUGAACGGGGUCCAAUCAAAUGUGCCUGCUGUCUUGUUGUGGGUGUGUGGUGGCUAUGUCAUUGGCAUCCACACAAGCAUUGGGCUGAGAAACUUAGCAAACAUCUCUUUUUCUCAUUUGUUUGUGUCCAAGCACUUUUAAUUCAUCUAUCAUGGCAGUCACCAUCUUGAUUUUCUUCUGCACUUGCCCCUUAUUCUCAGAAUUUUAUUCCUACUUCAGUCUUGUCAGAUGAUGUUAAAAUCAAUGCCAGAUCCAUGUUUGGGUCGUUUUGUAGAGCGAUUCUUUCUGAGAUGUCUUGGGAGAAGAAAACUUCACUGAAAUGCGAGGACAGGGAUCGUGUCUUCACAAUUAGAAAUACACAAGCUUUUGUGUUGCAGUGAACGGUUCUUCUUCUGCUCUCCUCUUGCUGGUUUUGCUAUAAUGCUGCUAUAAAGACAAACUGGAAAAGAACCUUUAUCUUCCUCUUUAAUACUGGCUGAUUUAUCUUGGCCCAGCACAAGGACGAUAGCCUCCUCAGGCUGUGAAUCACUCUUGCCAGCUGACUCUAAUCACCAGCUAAUUAAUAGUUGAUGCGCCGGCUUACAAAAACACGACUGCUAUUAACCUGUACAUGCUAUUGAUUUAGCCUUGCUUUAGGUGCUUUGGUGGAUUCUUUGGGGGGUGGUUAAAAUUGGAGCGAGAAGACGGUCUAAUGUUCGAGGAAAUCAAAGUUUAGAGUGUUUACUUGAAAUCCUGGAGGCCUCUGGUGGCACAAAAACUACCUUUCUAAUGGACGAAUAUUCUGUUCAUUUGACAUCUAAGUAAAAGCCCUGGUCAUGCCACCACUUAAAAGGCAAAACUCCAUGCCAGAAUUCAUUUAUUCGUUUGGGGAAAAUGUGCACACACUGUAAAUGUCAAGUUCACUUUGGUGCACCUUGACCACUAUUGGAGCUUCUUGGCAGUGCUGACCUUUGAGGUAGAGGAGAGUCUACACUUUUUUAGACAUUUUUUUUGGAAAAACUCUUUACAAACGUGGGUUAUGUUUAUCUGUGUGCAUAUAUUUUUAAGUGUUUACUGUAAAAUAUGAAAUAUAAUAUGCAAUAGUUUGUUGGACCUCAUUUGUUUGAGGAGUGGCUAUAUGUGACAGGACUUAUGCUGCAUUCCAGUUGUACUAGAACCACUAAGUCAGAAUUUCUGAGCUCUGAGUCGGGAAUUCAUCUGACUCAGAAGGUCAGACAAUCCUCACCAACCCCAAUUUGACAACAAUAUCAUAAUCCAAGAUGGCAGCACAGUGCAUCAACAGUAAAGAGUAACAGUGAAAGCUCUCGUAAUGUAUUAUCUAUUAGCACUUCUGUUUUGUUUUUGCGAAGUUAAAUAAGUGGUAUAUGUUCAACUGCCCAAUGUCUAACUGUGAACACGGUGCUAUGGUGUUUGUAAGAGUAAAAUAGUGUGUUAUGUGUUGUUUACAAUUGGUAUAGCUAACAACAACCGCUAACAACAACUGACAAUAGCUAACAACAGUUGAUAAUUGUAAACAACAGCUAACAACUGUUAACUGUAGGCGUCCGCUUGGUUUGCCGACUUGUUAACUGGAACGCCGUCAACUCAGGUGUAACAUUGUUCCAAGCUCCGACUUCAGAGGUAACUGGAACGCAACAUCAGAUUGCUACAGCUUCCAUGCAGCUGUGUAGAUCCUUCCAGUACCAUAUGCUAUCACACGCCAGCUAUCCAUACAGCAGUUGAGCACAGUUUAAUGCGGCAUUAUUUGUGAUGUACAGUGAUCUGUGGUGGCUGGUACUACCCUCUUGUGAGUCACUUGUUGUCUGAAACCGAAGAGUCCUUUGAUUAAACCAUCCCUCCACCAGUUUGAUUCACUAAAUGGUUAAACACUCAGCCUUAGAUGCUUAUAAUGAUCCAGUGAGGGAGAAAGUGUGCAAAAGUGCCACCACUAAAUUAGUUUAUCAGCGGCUUGCUAUGCUCAUCGAAGUGGUCGCUUGCUUCUUUUACAAAAUAAAAUCCUGAAUUUCUGUUAAGAAUUUUCUUCACACAGCCCAAUAUGACACAGCUCACCUUUUAGAUAACAAAAAAGCAUUAAAAAGUGUUUUCUUCAACAAAUUUCACAUGAAUAAUAAUAACUUUACUUAUCCAGCACCUUUAAAAAAAAGGAGGCUUACAAAGUGAUUUGACAGAGAAAGCAGAGUAAAUAAUAAUAACAGCAUACUGAAACAGAAAAGUGAAAAGGUAAAAAGGUAGAGGACAUCACAUCAGAAUAAAGACGGAUUACAAAGAUAAAGGGUGAGUGAGGUACAAAUAAACUGACCAAUAAAUGAAUAAAUAAGUAAAUAAAUAAAGUAAAUGUGAUCAAGGACAGGAGGGGAUCAGAUGAGGACUUGCAAACAAACUGCUCAAACAAAAGCACAAAAAUAUGAGUUUUUAAAUAAAAUGAAGUCAACGAGUUCGGGUUGAAAAGAAGUUUGAAAGUAGAUUUACAUAAAAGCCAGUUAGUUAAAGUGAGUUUUCAGAAGUGACUUAAAAAAAUGUCACUGACUGUGCUCGCCUGAUCUCCUCAGGGGGGUCGUUACAGAGUCGAGGGGCUCUGAUGGGAAAAUCUCAAUCUCCUCUGGUUUUGAGCCUCAACUUUGGAACGACACCUGAGGAUCUCACACUGCAGGACGUCUCAUUUGGUGUCAGCGUUUCUGUAAUUUAACUCUUGGCAAGACCCAGACAAACUUUAAAAGGGAUCAGUAAAAUCUUAAAAUCAAAGCACACAGGGAGCCACUGGUUUACCUACUACUACCUGUCUCAAAGACUGACAUUUCAGGAAUCUUCAUCCUCUAAACUUCUCAUUUUAAGUUUGCUUAGAUGUUUGACAGAUUUAAACAAAUGUCCACACUUUUAUUAAUGUAUUUUUAGGCAAUGUGUUAAAGGUUUAUCAUUCUCCACAGUGAACUCUUAAAAGGAAGAAGAAAAAAGCUUGGAGCUGACCCAGAGCUAAAAGGGAUUUGUCUUUAAAAAUGAAACUGCAGUACUGAAUAAAAACCAAAUAAACAGAUCUGGGACUGGAACUGAUGCAGUGUGUUAAAUGAUUAAUUGUUUGUCUCCAAGAAAGGACCAAAUAAAAGUCAAUAUGCUUGUGUUUCUUUCCAAAACCCAAAGAUGACAUCUUACUUCAGAGUUUCAGUUAACUGUCACUUAAAAUUCACAAACCUUUCACAAAGGCGAAACUUGAAAUGCCGAUUAAUCUCCAAUCCAUGAGCCUGUGAAUCAUUUCUGUUCUGGUUUGAACUCACAAGUAAGAAGUCACGGCGUCCAGGAUGACAUUGCAAUGAAGGCCAUCUUCCUAAAUGUCUAAAUAACAAAUAAUCACAGCCUCAGAUUUAGAAGUCUGUAGUUAAGUGGUUUAAUAACUGUACUUGGUCCCUUUAAUUGGCAGUUUUGCUGUAUGAUUAGCUCUGCUGUAGCUGCGUCUUUAAAUGCUUGCUUUUAAGUGUUUUAAUUGGUUUAAUUUGUCGUAUCCUUGUUCUGACUUACAAGCACCUUCUCAGCGCUCUAAAUCUCCAAAUCCUGAUGUGUAACUUGAGUAUUCAUGGUACCUAAUAGUACCAUGAAUGCUCAUGGCUAUUUGACAACUUAAUCUACAGCUUUCAUCACACGGCUCCGUUUUUCUCGCUUUUUCCCAUUGCCUUUUUCUGCUCAGUUACAUUAAUAAAUUAGAUUUCAUAGAAAGACACAUCUCUGGCUAAAGCACAAAAAAUAUAAAUAAAACCAUCUCCCUGAUGUCGCAUGUUUUACAGCUCACCGAGAAGCCGCUGAAUUGAGCGUGAUGCAAACCCGGCAAAUUGAAUCAAUUUGCCCACUCUAAAUAGAUGUGAUGCACGGAGACUGAAUGCUCAAAUGAAUAAGAAGGAAUCUCUGGAUUUAAUGAUGUUGUUUUUGUUUGUGCAUUUCUUUUCCUCUGCUUGAUGAAGGUUCUCAGAGAUCAUGUGUAAAAGAGGAAGAAAGAUAACGAGGAAGUGUGGGGGUGCCGAGCAUGCUCCGUGUUUAAUCCACCGGGAGUGAGGUGACAAGCAGAACGCAGGGACACUACAAGAGGUGAGCAGAGCAUAUUAAACUGAUCCAAGGGCAUGUGGAAACACUGAGGCCACAUACUGUACAAACAUGGUAUGAUCCAUAUAUAUAUGUAUGUGUUUGGAAGGCCAUGGGGAUAGAAAAAAAGGCAGCCAUUUGUAGAUAUGGGUUUCAGAAAUUCACAAAAAUAGAAAAAUAAAAACACCUUCAGCCAUGAGUAGUUUAUUGGAAAUAGGUCCCUUGACAUAAACUAAUUUAAAUUAUGCAGAAAAAAGGGUAAACAAUCUAGGAGAGCUAUAGAAAGAGGUGUAGCCUUAAAGUCCAGUGGGAGAGCAGUCAAGAAUGGACAUGAGCAGGGUGAACUAAGAUAACUGGUUUUCUUGUCGAUGCAUUUUGUUGUAAUUUCUCAGGUGAAACAAUCUUGACUCCAAGCACUGCCCUAAGAGUCAAACUGAAAAAUGUUCAAUAACAACUGCUAAAGAGUUACAAAAGACUUCAGUAAUGCUCCCAUUUCAUUCAUCAGAACAAAACAAAAAAAGACAAACAGCAAAAAAAAAAACUUACCAAUCGGCUCCAAACACACAAACAUGAUGGAUCACUUAGUUGAUGAGUUAAUGGUAAUCCAGUAAAAUCUUCCAGUAGUGUUCACCUUUCAGUCACCAAGAUCUCUUUCCUUAUGAGAAAUGAUCAAGAGCACUUUAUUAUCCAGUGGUUUAAACUGUAGUUUUAUCUCUAAGCAGUAAGUUUCAGUUUAUGGGUUUAGUUGAGCACUUUUUUGCUGGAGUGGAUUGGAGCCGCAGUUUUAUCCUGAAGUGUUUACAUGAGUCAUUUUUGUUCUGACUGGACCAAUUUUUCAAAUUCUAGUCUGCUUGGAGGAGGUCACGUAAACCUACAAUGUUUCUCCCACAGAAUGGGAAUACUGGUUACAAACUGAGUGCCUUUGUGAAUGUAGUUGUGGUUGUUGUGAACAAAAUAAUUUGUGGGACAAAGGGUUUUGUUGGUAAAAACUUGAGGAACAUACUUUUAUUCAGAUUUUUUAUAAAGUGCACCAGGAAGGAAACACCCAGUAAACAGUCCAAAUAGAGCACAAUUGAUUUAACAGCCCUACCAAGACCCUACCUAACACAGCCCAGCUCUAAUAUCACUACUGCAACUCCUUACUGGCAGGUCUCCCUGUGUGCAUGUCACGCUGCUUUUACUCCUUGUUAGCAGCGUGCAUCAAAUAUAAAGUCUGACUUCAUGCCCACAAAAUGACACAAAAAACUGCUCCUCAUGCAGGUCUACUCUCUCCCCAUCCUCUGCAGCAGAUAUAGUUGACACACAGUUUUAUUUCCAUUUUCUACCUCAAAAUACCAGUGCCAUGCUAUGAGAUGCCAUCUGCCUGUUCAAACCAUAGACUGUGUAUAGAAUGGACGCCGUCUGCCUCCUCGCUGGGUGAAGCCACAACGAGAACAGCACCCCCUGGUGACGUGCUGCAAUAUAGGUCAUAAAUCCUGCGUCCUCCAGCAAUACUUAUGGACAUGUGGACAAACUUUAGAAAUUAAUUGCACAGAAUAUAAACUUUUCUCUGUAAGACUGGUUUGUGCUCAAGUCCUCUUUUUUUCUGUGCAGCCCAAUUUUUUAAAGUUAAAAAGUGACUCUCGGCAACUCUCCCACCGAAUGCGCACAAUGCUACUGCGCAAGUGGUGGAGUGGUACAACGCUACUGUGCAAUGUUGGUUUCAGGAAGUGGUGAAAAAACCCGGAAUUACCAAGAGCUUUUCGGCUUCAAAUCCGUAUACUGGCGGAAGGUGGAACCAAGUUGUCCAUAGUAUAUACAGUCUAUGGUUCAAACCUUUAGGCUUUAUGAAAAAAAAUAUGGGUAAGUUAUAUAAAAGCUAAACUCCCUGCAGUAGUCAUGAAUAGAAAAAUGAGCCAUGGGCUAAAGCUUGUAUUUGCAGACUGUACCUGAGCUGUGGUUGUCUGACUUUUAAAGCUAUUUUGAAAUUGACGAGCUUGUUCCAUACUUAAGCAGACUCUGGGAAGUUGCUACUUGGUCUCCUAUUUGUAGAGAUAGACAAAGAAGACACCAAACAUCAUGCCUUUUGAUUUAUUUAAUUGUUAUUGUUUGUUUUCUUAUUUUUUGUUAUUCCCCCUCCUUCGUGGUAGUUUUGCUUCUCCUGCCUUCACAGACCUGACAUGUGCUGCCUUUCUCCUGCACCUUUCUUCAUGCAUGCAUGUCAAAUCACUUGUAUAGGAGGAGUGCUCUCUUGCAUAAAUGUGGCCAAACACUGCGGACAUUUCUCAGGGACAUCCUGUCAUCGUUGUUGACAUAUUGAUCAAGAAUAGCUUCCUUUAGUGCAGGCAGUCUGUGACACUUACUGAUCGAGAUGGAGCACAAAGGUUCCUGCAGUGCGGACACAUUGACAGCCUGUGAUUAAAUCAGAGACCGUGGAAGCAUUGUUGACGACAAUAAUGGGAGCACUAAGGGCACUUAUCAAAGGAAAAGACCAGUUCAGCUUUAACACCCCUGCAACCAUCUUAAAGAGGUGUUCAUUGUUCGUGAUGGAGGAAAUUAAUCUGUGCUAAAAACAAAGCAUUUCUCAUCAAACCGAGCGGUCAGCUAACCCGCAAUACUGCAGAGCUUAUGAGUAAUUGUUUCCAAACCGUAUUUUUUGCCUGUCAGUCAGAAGUGCUCUGCGUUAGAUGUAAUACAUCUGAAUUAAGCUCCUGGUGGCACCCUGUCACGUACAGCCCGUCGUAAGCCGUUAAAUACAUAAAUCGGGUUUAAAUGAACACACACACCACUUGUCUUGCUUGGUUUGCAGGGUAAUUCAUCUUCCAACUCCAUGAUUCUGUUAUGCAGUCAAAUUGACAAGUAAUCCAUUGCUGGUGUCCUUGUUGUCAACAUUAAGGUCAUUUGUGAUUGUGGCACUGAGUGAACAGACUCUCAGCUUUGCAGGGCUCUGCAGGGGGUGAAUAAAAAUCUGCUUGGUGAUUGUAUCAAACUAUACUGUAUGAGAUAUUUUGAGCUGCAGUAAUAACCCUGCCAAGGCUACAGAGAGAAAUAAUGGUUGAGAAACUGUAGACUCUGCGUAUGCCCUUGUUUGUUUUGUAGCAAAAUUAAUUAGUACACAUCCUGCAAAGAAUUUAGUUUUUUGUUGGCAAGUCACACCGCUUCUUCUUUUCUUUUUUUUUUACGUCUUUGUUCCAGAUACUGAAAGGUACAGGGCUGUGAAAUACCUGUCAGGGGACUCUCCAAAUUGUGUAGAACAUACUUUUGAACAAGUGUGCACAGGCUUUGAAUGGAUUAUAGCUCAUUAUCCCCAAUUAUUCCUCAGAAUAAGCCAGGAAAUAGAGAGGAAACCUGACAUGGGGGUUCGUUAAAACCGCCUUAAGAAGACAGUUACAGAGGGACCGAACUGAUAGAGCUUAAAAAGAGUCAUUAUUUCUUAUCUUAUUAGUACUGUGAAAGCAGUUCAUGUUUUGGGGUCAAGAUUACGACUGAUGGUUGCUAAAUAAACUUUGGAGUUUACCUAAAAAGGGGGUAUUAUCCUCUUCUAUUUGAUAAUCACAAAGUUAUAACAUUUGAUGUCUACAUUAAAGACAUAUUGUAAUAAUCCUAGAAAACUGAUGUAAACUACUCAGAAAGGUUCACUGCUGCACUGCACUACAUGAUUUCUUGACAUGUAAAUCAUGUGAAGCUAUUAAAGAGGUACCAGAGAGGAAGUGUAGAGCCUGAAAAAAUGAAAUAUACCCCAUCUUUACUUAAAAAUAAAUAAAUAAAAAAGCAGGCUGGAUUUGGAUUUUUCUUCUCAGGCUUUGUUCAAAAAUGUGUAAUUUAUCGGUGCAAGGAUAUAUAUCUUAAAUAUUUACCUUGGUUUUUCAACUUACUUGUGAUACAGCACAUUCAUUGUUUGUUUUUAUAAACUUUACAGCAAAUAAGGUGAGUUACAGUUCAGUUUAGGAACAACUGCAAAAUAUACCAGCCGGUUCUGAUUUGCAAACAUCCAGAGCAGGAAGUAUCAUACAGAUCUUGUUAGGUAAGAAACAAAAUAGUUGCACAGUACACAGAUAAAAAGUCUAGUCUCAAAUGAACCUGAGGGUGAACAUAGAUGUCUUGCUUUCACUGUGCCUGGCUGUCAACAAGAUCUUAUCCUUUAAAGGGAUCAUUAAAAGCUCCAGGUGGUAGCAGGUCUUAUUAUUUUCACAUAUUGUUAGAAAGAUCUUGGUGCUGGAGCAUUAACAACUUAGCAGACAGGUAAAGGUAUAAUGACAGAGGAUGAGACACAGUUGUCUGUAACAUUACUUUUUUUUUAACUUGCCAACUUGCUGAAGAAAACCCACAUACAAGUAAAAUAUACAGAUGAACUUAAAUUACCUCCACCACAGCUGAAAACAUCAGCAAACCUGGUCGGAACCAAAAGAGUAAACAGCUCCCAGCACCUCUUCCUAAAGCCACUCAAAACCAUGGUGCCAGAUGUUAUGUAUUUACAUGCUGAAUGGGCAACUGUUUCUGGAAAAACAGAUUUUGCACAGGGGGAAAGGGAGACAGAGGGGUCUCUGCCCUGGGCUGCAGCUAAAUCUAGGCUAUGGAAGUGGAGGUGAAGCCAAUGAUGUCGAUGGAGGCUGAUGAAGCUACUGCUGCCGUUGAAUGGGUGGAAACAAAGAAAUGAGAAAGACAGUUGGGCUUACCAAUAUAGAGAAUAAAUGGGAGAAAGAGACUGCUGUAUGUAAAUAAAAAUAGCAAUGCAUUUUAUAGUUUUAACGUAGCUAGCUCUACAUUUACACAAAGCAUUUUAGGUCUCUGGAAUAAAACCAAAUGUGAGCGCUUGUCAAGAGAGCAAUCUAAUUUAUGAAGCGUUAUGCUAUAAUUAAUAAAGCAAUUGGCAGGUUAAAGUAAAACCUUACAGAAGAUAAAGAAGUAGCGUUGUAGUACUCGAGAUCGGUCUUUUUUGAGGGUCUUGGUGUCGUCUCGGAAUCGAAGGCAUUUUCACUCGGUCUUGUCUCGGUCUCGGUCCUCUCUGGUCUUGGAAAUAUCGUGGGCUCGGUUGGGGCAGUCUUGACUGCAACACUACAAAAAAGCCAUGGAUUAUCCUUUUUUUAUGCAUCAUUAUCUGGUGAUAAUAACUUAUUAUCUCACUAUCUCGAUAUAGCCAAGUUUGUUUUUUCAUAAUAAUUUUUUUUUCCUUAUCUCGACAUGAUAAAGAUGGUUUUCUUGUGAUAGUGAAUAAUUUUGCCAACCUAAAAUGGUCGCUUUUAAAAUGCCCUAGAGAUUGGGAUAUUUCUGAAAUGCCACAGCCACCGUCGUCAAACGCAAGCUUGGGUUUUUGAUGAAAACGCUGAUGGCACGCUCUACGCAUGGGCAUUACACUUCCAAUGUGGAAACAUUUAACUACCAUGCAUGAAUUGCACAACAACAGUGACAAUGGCGUACAAAUAAUUUAUGAAUUAGUUUUCAGGAGAAUACAAUCUUUGUUUGAUCGAGAUGAUGAGAUUAUUAGUCAUGAAAAAAGAAAAAUCCAUGGCCAUUCUUGUCUUCUGUAAAACCUAACACUUUACGCUUCUUUUUAGAAAUUUGUGAUUGCUUUCAUAAAGUUCAUUCUACACUAAUCAUAGACAUAGAGCUGACACACCUGACAUAACUGCAGGCUGAUUUAACAACCACAGCUGCAGCCAAUCAGGAGGUGAUUAACCAACCGAAGAAUGCCCAGGUUGUACUUCCUCUUGAGCCAACUUUUGAAACAGCGAGCAAAACAGGAAAAAAAUGACACAAAGUCUGGACACGGUCUGUGCUCUUUGAUGGAACUGCAUAUUCGAAAAGGAAGAAGAAGAAGAAGAGGAAGAAGAAAAAGAAGAAGAAAGUCAUUAUUCUUUAUUUUUUCUUUGGCUUGUCCGAAGAUGACCGUCGUACUGCACAUGCCGGUCAUACAGUCACACAUUGUGAUGGGAGCAUUCUGAGCGACAAUGAAAGAGGAGAAAGUCUAGACAGCCCGAGUACCCAAGAGCAACCCCUUAAGCCAGUCUGCUCCCCCUCUGAGCACACAGUCUGGCUUCACAUUCUCUUAACCUGCCUGUCUGAAAUGAAUCCAGUGAUUCACCCAAUCCCAGCUAUCUUUAAAACCCCCUCAGGCUGUGUGUUUGUGUCUUCUUCACCCCAUGGUAAAAAAAAAAAAAAAGCUAAUGAAUCCUCUCCAAACAGCCUUACUCAGAUGCAGGUCAUGUCACAGCUAAAAUUGGUUAUUUUUUUAAUAUUUAAAAUGAUGCCUGUUGAAAAUGCUAUACUCACCUCAUGGGAAACACAUGGUUUCAUCCAGAAAUAUUUUGAUGUCUUAACAAGGCAGAUGACAGAAAUAGUACCUUUUCCCACCUUCCUCCUCAUCUUACUUUUCUGUGCCCGUGCUUUUUUAUUCAAAAAUCUACUUGAAAAUCAUUAAGCAAAUGUUUAUUAUUCAUCCUUGAGGAAAAAAAGACAGAAAAACAUCUGCUCUGCCAUUAUCAUCCAUCUGCCACUGUCAUUUUCCCCCGUACUCCACUCUGGAUUUCUCCUCUUAGCCCACUGCAUGUUAUAAGUGUCAUCUGCCACGCCAAUGAGCCAUGUAGUAAAACCGCCGGUCUUUAUAUUUAUCUCAGCUAAUCUCAAAGCCGUCAUGGCAGCCAUUACACAGGGAAAUGAUGUUUUAUUUGGUGCGGCUGUGGAGGAGGAACAGGAAAUUGAGUGGGAGGGCACUCCUAAGGAUGUCGUUUGGAAAACCCCUCACCUCCGUGACGCAGAGUCGUUGAGGCAUAGAUAGUGGGUGGUAUCUGGUGACACAGUUUGAUGUGGGUUAGAUACUUGAUACAGCGUUGAUCCUUCCCACUCUUCACUUUGCUGGAAAGACAUAAAGAAUCACGGCUUUACAUGUCAUGUUAGAUUCCACUUGAAAAAGCCUUAAGCCAUUUUGAUCAUUUUCACUUUACUGUAACGGUUUCGAGCCUCACUUGUCUUGUUGUGGUCGUGCUGUCUGGCUCUAAGGCUGACAACUGAUGGCUAUGGUAGGAGCAAGGAAACCCAUGGGAGGAGAGAGGAUGUCUUAUAAAAUAUGAUGUGCCGUUUAGCCACAGAGUCGCUUUCACAUCCUGCUGUGCUACUUUUAAAGCCCCACGGAGCUGUUGUGAGUGGAUCCAUCAUACAGCCUCUGUGUGAAAUGCUCAGUGAGUUUGCACACAUUUACGUUGUUGCGUCAUUGUUCUGCCACAGUGGGAAUACUGAGUAAUCAACAUGUGCAUUUGUCCGCCUCUGCACCAUAAAAAUAUGCAGGCUCAACACUCACAGAUUAAUCGCAGAGGCCCUGUGUGGACGUUAUAUCUUCAAGACUGCACUUGCAAAGUUUUUGAAGUUUUAAAGCUCAUUUAUUUUCAAUGAUCUAAUUAAAAUGAGGACACAGUCUAAUGGUACAAGUUUAUUGAUGAGAACAAUUGAUUUAACUCUCACUGGUGACAAAAAAAGUGAAAUUCAACACCUCGCAGAAGACACCGGUUCUGUCUACACACUGUCCACAUAGCUCAUCCCAGCCCCAGCUGUGAAUCUCGCCCCCGCAACACUAAUAUUUACCCCGCUAAUAAAAGUCAUUGUUGUGCUGCCCGCUCUAAAUCAGAGGCCUGCUUCUGUCGAGGAUGACAGAGGAAAAUAUAAAGCAUCUCUCACAGUGAUGGAGAGCUCCAGAGGCUUUUAUUAGCCUGGAGGAAGAGACAGCUCUCAGAUGAUUCUAGUGUAUGAAUCCAAUUGUGUCUGAAGCUGUAAUGCAAUAUAUCCCCUCUAUCUUCACUGUCAAUUCGAGAUUUCAGACAUAUAAUCAAAUACAGAUUAACCCUUCAGAUGAUUAAUGAUUUUUAAUACUGACAUCUAAGAUUACUAAGGUGGAUUUAUUGCAUAAUUAGUCAUCUUUGACAAAACUGAAGUCAAAGUAACGGCAGUGUUUGACUCUGAGCUUCUGAGUAACUAUUCCUAAAGGAAGAGGUACACGCCCACAGGUUGUUAAAGCAAUAAUAAUAAUAAUAAUUCUAAUACUAAAAAUAAUAAUUCUAAUACUAAAAAUGAUAUAAUAUUAUAUUAUAUUAUAUUAUAUUAUAUUAUAUUAUGUAAUGUUAUGUAAUAUAAUAUAAAAAUACUUUUCAUGAUAAUAAUAAUUAUGAUAACAACAACUACAACUAUUAUUUGUAUUAUUUUUUGUUUUUAUUUACUUAUUUAUUUAUUAUUAUCAGGAAAAGCAGAGAAAUUUGAAGCUUAAAUGCUGUAAAGACAGUACAGUGAGACUAUUUCUAAAAUUACUUCUGAUUUACAAAUAAAUAAAUAAAAAAAUUGGUACAUCCCUUCAUCCACCACUGAACCAGAGCAGCUUAUUCUGUCUCUUGUGAACAAUUGAAGGAUUUUUUCCUCAUAUGAACAGAUAUUUCCCUGCGAGGAGUUUUGAAAUCUCUUCAGUCUGUGUUGUGUUGCAGAGGUAGCUCAGGUAUAUUGCAUACACCCACUUCUCUUUCUGACUCCAUUGCAUUUAUUCUCCUCUGAUGCACAUCAAUCUGAAGUUUUGCUGCAUUUUUUUCAAAUGUACUUUUUAGGCAUGGCUCCUUCCCCGCUGUCUCUAAAACUCAGUAAUGCCCCUUUUCCCAUACUUUCCCAGUCACACUGUGACUUUCACAAAUAGUGAUAGUUAAGAAGAUCUGUGUUGUAUCCACAACAAACGCACGCUUUGGCAGGACACACAAAUCUUUGCUGCAGGGGGUAAGUAGUGCUCAUGGGAAAAUAGUCUUCAUCCUGGAAAAAGCAAACUCAUCCAAAGGAGCCACUAGGAUCAACUCCACAUGAACCACCCCCAGAGCUUUGGAGAAAGAAAUCUGAGAUUUUCUGGGCUUUCAGGUAAAAAUAAAGAUUUUUGAGAACUUAUUUUAAUUGUAAGCAGCUCCAAAACUCAAUUUGUUGGAAAAAAACAUGCGUUAUUAUCUUUUAGCAUUGUUAGAUUUUAAUAAUAAUAGUCCGAUAGCUGCUGAUGAAUGUAGGGUAAAUAUAAGUGUUGAUAUAUUUUUUGCCCUGUUGCUUGGUUUUUACUGUUAUUGUUGUCUUGUUGUGCACUUUGAGAUUUGUUUUUAAAUGUAAAGUGCGUUACAAAUAAAAUCUAUUAUUAUUAUUAUUAUAAUUAUUGUUGUUGAGCACACAUUUGAUUAGAGAUUGUUUACCAGUGCUCUUAUCCUCUGAUCUUCUUUACUUUUUUUUACACUAACUGAUAGAGGAGCCUCAAAUUGAAACGAAUCCUGGUGAUUUAUGUUACCAUCAGGUGAAGAUGUUAUUCGAUGAAACAUUUAUGUUAUCUAUAAUGAGGCUGCCAAUGCUAGACCGUAUGUUUUGAAGCAAAUCUGUCCCCUAGAAAUGAGCAAACAAGAUCACCUGAACAUGUUCAGGCUUUUCGGAAAAACCUCAGCAAUAAAGCUUUUCCAGAGUGCAGGAGAAGAUUGAGCAAAUCUGUCUUUACAGUCCCUAAACACGAUAAUGGUGUUGUAGUUUCUUCUGUGGGUGUAUCCUGCCAGAGCUUCACCUUCCUGUUUACAGGUGUGUACUGUAGAAACAAAUGACAGGAGGUGUUAUGAUGACCCGUUAGGAUAGCAGCUGCUGUUAUUUAUUAGCUUAGCAGGUGGAUGCUGGUAAAAAUGUGUUUUUAACCCCUUUUUUUUAAUUUGGCCUUAUUCUUGGUUCAUAAUGGAAACAAGAAAAAUAAGAUUUUAUUAUCAUCUCUCUUUUGCCUGGCUGUGCUGGGAAUAAUGUAACCACCUCAACUAUUUGCUUGUGUGGUCUCAUUUUUACAGUGUGGACAGACUUCAUUGUCAUGUUGUAUUUAAAGAAAUAGCAAAAUAAUUGUUGCCUAUAUACAGCUGAAGGUUGCAUUUCAAGUGUGCUGGCAGGCCUUUAAGAUGAGACUCUCUCUCUCUCUCUCUCUCUCUCUCUCUCUCUCUCUUUCUCUCUCUGUCUCUCUCGAUCUCUCUCUCUCUCGUAUCUUCAUGUUCAAAGGUGCACCCAGACCCAGACUGAGCCUUCUUUCUUUAUAAUAGAAACCUAAAGGCACAGCUGCCACUUUUGUAUUAUGAGUCAACAGUCCUCUCCUGCGUGCUUUUUCUGAAUCUCAAUCAACAGUCAAAAGUCCUUGGUUUAGAUGUGAACGAAAGUCAUUUUGAAGUUGGUUAUUAUAAAUGAGUGGCUCCCAAAGUGGAGGUUUGGACCCUUUUGAAGGUCGCAACCAAUUAUAAGAAGUUUCAAGAUGCCCUCCAAAUUAAAACAUAUUCUCUAAAUCGCUGAAAACCGUCCACUUUAACAAUUUUGGCAACAAUUAACUCCAAAAUAUUAAUUCUGAUCAAAAUAAAGCCAUAAAAAUAAAAGAAAGUUCCUUUAUUUCCUGCUUUCUUAGACCCCUGAGUUCACUACUAUAGAUACAGAAAAGUAUCAGUUGUUAUUUUACAGCUGAAAAAAAAAAAAAACACAGGUGCACACAGACUCACCUGUUUGUUCGUGUAUUAAAUGCUGCUUCAGUCUGAAUAUGGAGAUUUCUCGUAUUCUCCCUCUGGCUAUUUUUUAAAAAUUGCUAUAGAGUAACAUUACGGUUGCUUGGCUUUAUGGUUUUUUGCUGUUUAUUUUGAGAGUGUUGUAUUAGUGCCUGUGCGUAGCAGUGAGCAGUAUAAACCAUGCUCAGUAGACAGAAGGGGUCAUCGGUCCCAGACACCAUUAUUCCAAGAGUCGAGCACAUUGUUUCCUGAAGACUUAAGUUGUGCAUGUUUCAAAAAUGCUGUCUGUGACCACGAGUAAAUACUUUUAUCUACAAAUAAAAAGGCUGAUUUGCACAACAGUCCAAAGCACAGAGGAAGACGUCUGUUCAGUGUAUCAGGAUGUGAGAGAAAAGUGAGACAGAGGUCAGAGUGUUAAUACAGAAGACUUUGUGGAGUGUGAAAAUGUGGGUUAAUCUUUCACGGCCUGUGCUAAUGCGACUGUUCAGUGAGUGAGAGAGCAGAGACAGAGAGGGAUGUACAGUAGCCAGCAGUGAAGAGUCGCUGCUGCCAAAUGCACCGAGGGCUAGACGGAGACGAGCCCUUGCCAUCUGGGCUGCUCGAGGCGAAGCUGAAAACAACUCCCAGCUCCAUCACUGGCUCUCCAACUCACAUUUACACAUGGUUUAUAUAUUCUUCCUCUUCUUUUUUUUUGCUCUUUUGGCCCGUCUUCUCAUUAAACCAUCUCAUCUUGACCUCCCAUGUCUUUCUCAAGCUGUUUUUUCCUCUCCUCGCUUACACUCGGCUCUCAACCCCCCCCCCCCCCUCUUUCUGCCCUCUCAAGGAUUUAUCACUCUUAAUUAUCUUAACUAUCCCGCUUCAUACUCGGCUUGUAUCUAGCAUAUUUAAUCUAGGAUUCAGCAGGGCUAUUAGUUACACUCAACAUGCAGAGGCUAAUUGAUUCAAGGAAGCAAGAUUUGCUUGUUGGUGCUGAUGGGUUUAACGAAAAGCUAAUAUAUGAGGAAGGAGAGCAAAAAUGGAUGGAUAGACGUGAAAAUAAAUGCCCAAGAAUAAGAGAGAGAGUUUCUGCUUUCUUUGUAAACUUUGGAUUUCUUUAACAGGCUUUGAAGCCCAAACCAGUGAAUUUCAACUUUUUCCGAGCUCAGAGAGAUGCAGUAAACUGCAUGGAAAUUAGGAUUAAAAACUAUUUUAAUGGCUUGCAGUCUUCUCUGGUACAAGAGGGACUGUUUUUUUUUCUCCCCUGAUUUACAUGGGGAAACUGUGGUUUGGAUAAAUAUUUUUGGUUGGUGGGGAAACAGAACAGCGAAACAGAUGUCUGUUUAAAUGUCAUGUUUGUCGCCGAGGCUGUGCUGACAUUUUAGUCCCAGACUUUCACCUCUUUGGAUUUGUUGGCUGUGAGUCAUUACUAGAAUCAGGUUGAGUCAGAGUUGUUGUUGUGAAUAAAUAUGAUCUAAUUGAUAGCUGACCUCUCACAUUAACAAGCAAACGCAACCAAAACCAACACACGUCAGUAAGACUUAACUAUGUUUCACUGCGUUUACAUUUUUUUUUUUGUGUGCGUGUCUUUUUUUGUCCCGUCUGGUCCCUGUGUACGACUCCUGCAUAUGCUGUUAGGGUGGCUGGUGGCCACAGAUAUUGAUAAUGGCGUUGGGGACACUCAGCUUCUUGUCUUAUUAAUCACAGCAGGCUGAGCAGUGACCUUUCUCCAAGCCCACUGCUUUGGGCCGAGCCAGAUCCCCCUGCCUCCCCGGCCCCAUGGGAGUAGCAGGCUGACAUCACUCACCCUGUGUCCGCUAAUGUCAGCCCCAAGCUUGGCCGCAGCAGCUCAGCAGCCCCUGCCUGGUGCCCCGGACACAGCCUGGGAUGACAGAGACAUUGAUCACUCAGGAAGCUCAGGUUGUCCGGGGCUGGCUAGGGGGUGUUUGUGUGCAUGUGUGUGUUUUCGUACAACACCAAUUGAGACUAGUGAGCCUAAUUACAUUGUAGACUUCACAUCUGGGCCUAAUGAGCAAAUCAAGACCCAUCAUUGAUCAAGGAUCAACUGGCCUUGAGCUGAUUGGUUAAAAGCUGCACAAGCAUAGUGGGGUGCUGGGUUAGUGAUUCCUAACAGCUAAUUACAAACAUGAAUCUACAUGAUACAGUUGAACACUGUGAGAAGUACAAUAAUCUUAGACUGGCACGUCAUAGUUACUCCUAAUGGAGCUGUUUUGAUCGAAGACUUCAGAUUGAAUAUGCAUGCAGAAAACCACUUUGCUGGAAUUGAGAAUAUACAUAUAUAUAUUCGCACUGAUGUUGAAGCAGUUUGUGAAAAAAAAGAAUAAUUUUAAUUUAUUUAUUUAGACAGGAACACAGCAUAUUAAUGAACGUAAUCAUAAUGAAACAAAUGUAAAUAUGCCAACAUCACUAAAGUGCUAAUUAACAUCUGUAGUCCCUUGGAAGGCAACGCAUAAAAAGACAAUACAUCAAUAUAUACAUGUACAAUGUGCAAAUACGCAAUGAAAGACUGCUGUUCUAAAGCUGUUCUAACAUUAAUGUUACUGUUGAAGCAGUCGAAGGAGGGUGAAUCUGUAAGUCUUCAAGGCAAACUGGAUUAACUUCAGUCUACAAUAAAGAGAGACAUUUGACUUCAGGGUUCGUGGUUCAGCAGGUUAAGAUUAAGUACUUAAUAUAUGCAGAAGACAAGCUGAGCGAUGACAGCUCUGUCCACAGGGGGCGCCAAAAGUGACAGAAACAGAAUGUUCCUGGCAGGAGCUUGCUAAAGUAGACAUAUUUAGAUGAAAAGAACUUGAAUGAAAUUAAAUUUACAUUGCAUUUAAAUAUUAAUGUUAAGGAGUUGAGAUACUCAUUACUAACAGGGCUGUGUCUAGACCUUUUUUUCCCGCAAGUAGACCAGUGGGGGGUUGACUGAGGAAGGAGUGGCGUGCGGCAUGUUGGUGCAUUAAUUGUAUUGUAGAUUAGACACACAGUGUAGGGGGUUAAAAUGUCUGCUUGUCCAUCCACAAAAGCCUUCAUUUAUUGUUUUAGAUGGUGGGGUUGGGCAACCAGAUGAAGAUAAUCAUGACAUUUUGGGGCAAAUGCUGAUGAUUAAGAACAAACCAGAGCAGUAGCAGAGCACUGUAGAGCCAUUUGUUAAUUAAGAUCAGUUUAAAAAUCAUGAAUCUGUUGGCAAAAUAGACCAACACAGACAUCAACAUUUUAUAAGCUCUAGACUUUAAAAUGAAUGUCUCUAAAUUCCUGUCUAGCUCUUUGUAGGUUUUAUGGCAGCAGUUGCAAAGAAGAAAAAAAAAAGGAGUAAAUCAUUUAUUAUGUAUUUUUAGCCUAAAACUCAAAGUGUAAAAACUAAUGCCUUCAAGUUUAAUCAACAGAUACAGAAGAAAGUCUAGGUUUUUGUGCCAGAACUGCAAUAAUUCAUGGUUUUGCUUUCUCUUUUGCAAAGAGGCACAGAGGAAUCUUGUGUGUCAUUGUCUGGUCAAUACUUUCUCUUGUAUGUCUGCUUGUUGGCAGCUUCACAAGGCAGCAGGAGACUAAGGCCUAAGGGAUUCCCAAAACAUCGAGGAACAUCCUGUCUGGAUGAUGCAGCACCUGUUGUGUGGAUUGAAAAGGCAUAUGCACAAACACGAGCCGUGGUAACAUGGGACGAAUGUUGGCUGUGGCUUCUGAUAUUUGGAUGCGCUAAGCCCGUUUAAGUAAAUUCUUGGCACAUUGCGCGCGCUCUGCCAGCGCUUUAUUUUUAGAAGGAGAGUCUUUAAAAACACUGAAAAGGAUGCCACGGCAGCACAUAUUGUUUGUAAAGUUGUCUCAGAUUGUUGAAUUACCUUAAUUGUGUUUGAAGCUUUUGGCAUUUCUCGGCACACAGAUGUCUUGCCAGACAUGGAAGUAUCAAGAUAGGAGUCAUUUUGCUGUGUUUCUCCUGCUGCAAAAGCAGAGAACUGGACUCUGAGUAAAGUAUCUUUCUUUUUUCUAUAUUUCACAACUUUUAUUUAUGCACAAGAGUCAGAUGCAGCAAUAUCGUCGAGAGGAAACAGUUCGGAUAGCUCUGCAAGAAACAAACCCAAAUCAGACACACAUUUAAAAAGACAUCAAAGUGUACGUUGAUGAGGGUGCAGCAGCACAGGGGCACCAACAUUAGGCAAAAUAAUUUAAUUCAAAUUAUUCAAGGAUAAAAGGGUAAGAAGGAGGAUUGCAAAUCAGCAGUUAUAUUUGUAGAUCCUGCUGUUCUUGGGCUUUUUCGCACAACUUUCAACAAACAUAUUUCAUAACAGCUGCAGUCGACACCUUAUUCUGAUCCUUUAAUGAGGCUGAUGUCUUUUAUUGUUGAUUUGGUCCCCAGAGGACAAAUGAGCUGUGCUUUGUAACAAUGAUUACCGAGGUUUCACCCUGAUGACUUCGCCCUGCUUUUGUAAUAAACUUUUCAGAGUGAAUUUAUGGCCAAACUCAGCAAACAAACAAUAAACAGCAAAGAUAGCUCCUCAUCAGAGGCAGAGCGGACUGUCAUCAGUGUAUAAAAGACUUCAUUACAAAAAUAAAUGUUUCUUUGUCUCACGUCACAUGUGGCCUAUGUAUACUUUAGUCUAAAAAUGGGUACUGGCGAGUUUAUUUGUUCUCUCUCUCUCUCUCUGGUAUUAUUCAGUGCUUUGACCUUUUGCUUUGUUUACUGUUUCCUCUCAUUCGUGAAGCAUCUUUAAAGCCUUCAUAAUGUGGUAUUUUUGCGUUUGUGUAUGCGUGUCAGUGCUUGUUUGCCUCUGCACCACUGCAAAGUUCUGACAGACAGAGAGCACACACAUAUAAUCCAAAUGGGGCUUGUGUGUGUGUGUGUGUGUGUGUGUGUGUGUGUGUGUGUGAGUGAGUGUAAGUGUGUGUCUGAGGUCUGUUGUCUACUGCUGAGUGUUUAGAGAACAGAUUUCUUUGACGUUGACGGCACCAAAGCAAUACAGAUUUGGCAAUUAACCUUGAUGUCACUGUAAUUACCAAGUCACUUUAGUAAAAUGAAUUAAUUUCCCAAAAGGACUCAGAAACAAAAUUACCUCCUCUCUUCCUGAAGAGAGCCAAUAUGGCGUCUGAUAAUUAGGGGAGAAAAAGUGAGCCGCUGCCAUAUUCCUGUCCCUCAUUGUGUGUAUUCUGUGUAAUCUGCCACAGGGGGAAAGCCACUGAUCUGCCUGCCGCUCCCAUAACUUCCUUGGUGUUCACGCUGCUGUGUUGCUCACUUGCUCAUUUUUCAGCUCGCCGCGUGUCGAACGGCGUAACUUUUUUUCUUUUUUUUUCCUCCGAGCUUUUCAUCUCCUGUCCUUGUCAGCUCGUUUUUCAGACAAUAGUCAUAUUGCCCCGUACGCUCCAAGGUUUCCAUGAACUGUUGCUGUCACUGAGGUAUGCUAAACAUUGUUGCUUUGCAUCUCGCAGGAUCCUGUGCAUACAUCUGUGGAAGUGUAAACAGACUUAAGACAGCUCACUUUCCCAGAUCUUGAUCUCAUAUCACCCACUAAGGGCUGCUGUGUUAGUCAGGCCCUUUAUUGUGCUUUUUAUAGUUUGUUGAAAUUAAAUGAAAUGUGCCAAGUUAGGAGGCUUUUCUACGGAGCCCUGGAGGUGACAUAAAGUUUUUUUUUUUUAAUUUGCACGUGCGAUUUAAUAUCUUGCACGUGCAUUUUAUUAUAUCGCAGGUGUGAUUUAACUGUUUGUUAAUAAAUAUAAUCACUGUCUUUAAGUCUGAAUAUCGCCGAUGUCAAAGUCGAUGUGCUUUAAGGAUCCUGAUGAGGUGUCUCCUACUCAAAACAAUACCAAAUGUGGCUAAGCUAUGAAGUAUCUUUUUGUUAGUCAUACUGAAAUGAAAGAAAAUGUUGAUAAUAUGCUCUCUGUCCAUGACACUGUCCUUCUUUUCUCACAAAUGAGGUGCAUGGAGGAUUAUUUACAAAAACACAUACGCAAGAUACAAGUAAAACGCAUGUACGAGACACAUAUAAAACGCAAGUGUGAGAUACUAAAUCACACGUGCAAAUUAAAAAAAAAAAAAAAAGUUCAUGUUGCCUUCCAGGCUCUGUACUUUGCCCAGGUUAUGCCACAUUAGCCAUAGUUGCUACUAGAAAUACAAGUAACUGAAAGUGUUGAACUUCAGUAAUGAACCUUGGUCUCCAGUAAAGCAUCCAUCAUUAAAAUCAAAGAAACAAAAACACUUAAAGAUAAGUAAUAUUUAAAGAUAAGUUAGGAAAUGUGUAGCAGAUCUAGAUUUUCAGAGUGGUAAAAACAGAGUGGCAUAUGACACACCAAUGGCACUCUAUGCCAUUGGUGUGUCAUAUUUUGUGAAUUAUUUCUUGUAGGUAUUUUGUCUUCUUUGAAUAAACAACUUGAGAACCGGAGGAAAUACUGGGUAGGAUAGAGGGAGGGUGACAUGCAGCAAAGGGUGAGGGGUCAGAGUCAAACCCUGGAUAGAGCAUUGGAUUCAUACUUGAACCAAUGGGAAAGACAGAGGCCUCUUUGUGAGUAUAAUUUUAAAAAUCCCACCAGCUUUGACAUAUGAGAUUCCCAAACAGUCAUUUCUGCUCUCGUUUUUCCUCCCCCAAGACAGACAAAGAGAUCGUGUUUUGAGAGGAUUGUCUCCCAUCUGGACUGGAAUAACUCAGCUUGCUCUCUAUCUAUCCAAACAUUUAUGAGACUCCCCCCCCCUGUGAGAUGCCUGAAAGACUUUAAAAGAGAUUUCAAAAAGUUGAUAUUUUUGCUCUUUAGCUAACGGUGUGAGCAGGUGGACAAUGAAUGUUAGGUAGCUUUCUUAAACUUUACAGUGUUUAAUGCUAAUCUAAUGGUUGUCUUUGAACUUUGACAGUUGACUAAUCUCUUUUAUCUGAUUCAACUCUAAAUGUAGAAUUAUUAUUCCAGGGUUUGGAUUUUCAGCCCUUUUAAAAAUUAGAAAUAAUUAAUCUGACUCUUUGUUCAACAAAUGAGAAUUUAACGAGUUGUUUUCUUUUUCUCUCAGGGACGAAUUUAACAAAGUCUGCAUUUUGACUUUUUAUAAAUCUGAAUCAUAAUGUUGUAAUUUCAUCAGACUUGAACACCCAUAACUUGGGUAUUUCGUCCAGUCAAUUUUGAGUUCUGUUAAGUUGACCUUGUUCUUAACAUUUAAGUUUGUAAAUUUGGUUUUCUUGAUUUGGGUGCAAUAAUCUUGUGCCCUAUUGCUUGGUACCUAACAGCAUAGGAUGACCUAGUAAAGUAUAACAUUUGUAGGAGUGGUCGACUUCUGAGCUUUCAACAUGAAUAAUGAAAUCACUCAUGCAUUGGUCUAUUGCUAAUCAUUGGGACAUCAACAGCUGUGUAGCUAUCAGCUCAUUUUGAAUGUUCAGCCACAUGUGUAUUCAAUGUGACCUUCAGUAUCCAACAUUUUGUAACUGUAGUUAAUAGAAAUAAUAAAAAAAAAAGAUGCUGCCAGCUCAGGUUUAUUUCAAGUUCAAAACAUACUUUGAUUUUCAGAGAGUCCGUUAAAGCAGCAGAGCCUUGUCUGCCUAAGCUAACAAUGGGACUGCUGUCUCUUACUCACACGGUCCAUUAAUGGUCCUCUUCUUUUACAUCUUGUUAUCAUAGGCUUACAAUAAGAUAAGAUAAGAUAUUACUUUAUUAGUCCCACAAAGGGUAAUACCAAUUUUACAGCAGCGAUAAAUACAGAAGAGAGACUGAAGAUGGAAGAAACUUAGGAUUUAAAAGAUAUGGAAAAAAAAAAGAUAUACACACGAGUGUUAAUAUGUCAUCCGUCUUGAUUAAAAACAGGGUCUGAACUUAUACUUAUAGCUUCUUUUUCAACCUGAUUCCUUAAAAGGCCCUCAGACAAAGUGACCUGCCUGCUGCUCUUCAUCCAGCUCUGUUAGGUUGUACCUCAAAAUUGUCCUUUUUUUGUCAUUAACGCAGUCAGUGACUACGUCCUGUAAUUAUCAUAAGGUCAAACCAGGAUCUUCAAAUCAGCUGUACUACCAUGACAUUUGAGGAGUUGUCUUAAGGUAACAUUUAAGUUUGCUUUUUAAACAAUGUACUCCUACAGUAUGUUUUAUAUCAACGUGUGCCUUUUUAUCUCCUCUGGAGCUGUGUGUUAUGACAAAUGGCUUCCAGUAUAAUGAGCAAAACAAAAGGCUUAACCUCCUCUACCUUACAUCGCCUGUCAUGAGACAGUGGACAAGACACAGCCAGUGGUCAAUUAGGACCACAUUCAGACCUACAGCCUGUAUUUACAUAAAAAGAGAGAGAAAGCACGUUAAGCAGGACUUGACCAAAGUCAUGGGUGACCCUGCCUCCCAGCUUCACAUCAUUAGCUAGUGUUUCUCCAGUUCACACUCAGACAUUUGGCCUAACCCUUUGGCACAGAUCGACUAAUUGCUCUUGAAAUUUUCCAAAGAAGACAAAUUGUGCGUAUGUCUAAGUGCAUGUGUGUGACCAAGUUGUAUUUCUUCAUGACCGCGGUGGAGGUGGAGCUGAUCCUGACAUGUCCAGUCACUGCUAAUAGGUUUGGUUGCCAGCAAGCAGCAUGGUGUGUGUGUGCGUAGUUGUGUGUGUGUGUGUAUAUGACGAGUUCAAAGCAUAGGGAGAGGUCAAAACAGAGACAGAUGUGAGAACAGACUCUGUGACAAGAACCCCCAUCACAACCCUCUGAUGUGGUCGCUGCCUUUGCUCCGUGGCCCAGGUCACUUCACAGUGUGGCGGUGUUCAUGUACCUGAAGGUGUGUGUCUGUCUGUGCGAGGUGUCACUCAGACACUGUGCCCUUCUGUGUUAAACAGAGAGAGGAGGGGACAGUGAAACAGCAGGAUAGAGGUCCGUAUGAAGCAGUUUACACGUGUUUACAUUGACGUGAGAGUGCAAAUGCUCGUCUCCACAGACGCCUGUGGACAUGUGAGGGAGAGGAUAUUUCGGUAGAGCGAGAAAGGUCAAAAACAUCUGUGACAUUAUCAGCUAAGUGUACUUGCUCUAUGCAAAACAGGAAGCUGCUAUCUCUUGAUGUCUGGGAGACAAGGUUGCACCAACAUUUACAUUCACAGGGUGGUUAUUUACCCCACAGGGUCAGGAUGUCAGUCAGUGCAUCAACCAUGUUUUUUAUGGACUUUUGACUUCAUUAUAAGCUUCACACUUCCGUUUGAGCCAACAUUUAAGCCAACAGGCACCACUAAGAGUAUGUCUCCAUUGAGAAAUAAACAGCUAUCACUUCUGAAAUGCUUCUGAGCCUGCAUUUACCACGGCCUUAGGUUGGCUGGUACACUAUGGUAGACUGUAAAACACUUCUUAAUUUAACACUUGGUGCACCUGCUUUUUUACAGUUAUUAGCAUCGGAUAAAAAACCAUAUAGAUUUUAUCAUUUUCAUAUCUUAAAGUGUAGUCUGCUGAGCUGGGAAAAUCUUAUUUAACACAAAAAUGUCCGUCUUGUUUUUAGGGUUCACCGUAGAUUUGCUCCCUGUCCCCGGUCCAGCUUCAUCAAAUUCAGAACAACAACAAAUGCUUAAAAGAACCACUUUUGAUCAAGACUUUAUGACUUUGUCAGGAACCUCUAUUUCAAUACAAUAAAAAAUAAUAAUAAAUUGACCAAAUUAUAGAAUUCUUUUAUUAAAAUUAUGGCACUUGUGGUGUUAGGGUCGCUGUUGACCCGGUUAGAUCAAUAUCUAAUAAUCAGAGCAAAAACUGAAAUCAUAAGUGAACUGUCAGGCAUCACACUGACAGUCAGAUCCUCUUCCAAUCAUGUGAGAUUUAAGAAAUUCUCAUUUGGCCAUGUUUUUCCCUGCACAAAAAACAGCCUCAGGCAUGUCCAGACAUGAGAUCAAUUCAGUAUAGAUGUCUGUGUGAGGGGUGUACUGACAAAGAAAGGCCCAGAGGAGCACUACAAAAACUGUUAUACGCAAUAUUUUUAUUGAUAAUGAAGCCGUACAAGGUAACCUAGAGAUGAGAACCAAAUGUAUGAUAGAGAAUUGUUUUUAGAAAGUGUUUUGGGCUUUCCACAGUAAGAGAUCCUGCUUCACAGACAAGUUUCAGGUCUCCAAUUAUCAAUAUGCUGAAAUCUUUGAGUUAACUGCAGUGUCUUUAAGAGUUCGAUGGAAUAUUUAGGGCUAACUUGUUUCAAUAUCAGCCCCACUCUGAGUUACAAGGCUGCCAAAGUUGUUGUUUGAAGAGCUCAAUUCUCCCCUCAGGAGAAGUUUUUGCAGUUACGGUGUAACUUUGCGUCCAUACAUCAAUGAUGUGGCCUUGCUGUUAAUAAAACCCUGGCAACUGGGCUGUAAAUUGGCUCAGGAUUUCACAGUGAAAUACAUACUAGGUUUCCUGCUAUCAAUUUCCUGUGUUACUCUAUCACACAAGACAUAAAUGUGUCAAACUGUGUCAAUGUUUUUAAAGCAGACUUUGUUCUAAAUUAUUAUGUAAAGAUAAGCGAUAUAAGCAGCAUGGUAUAUGAAUAUUCUGUCUGUGACAAGAUAAGAAAAAAGAAGACACAGAAAUGUUUUAAUGAGUGUGAUAACUGGGUGAAUGCACACGCUGUAUCAUCGCAGAGUGACGAUGAUAUGCUCUGUGUAACACAUUCUGCCUUUGUUCUCCAAUAACAAGAGCACAAUCAAGAAAAAAGUAUACUCAUUAUCAGCCGGUCUCAUUAAUAAUGAACACCACGCUGGUUUAAACAGCUAAAUGGGGUUUGAUGCCAUCUCACACACUGUCUUGAUUCGAUCUCACAGCAGAAAUUAUGUUCAGGCAAGGUUUUUGUGUUUGAAGGAGUGUUAAAGAUACAACUGUCUGGGGCGGGUGGGGUAGAACGGGCCUAGUAGUCAUUUUCUAAUGAGGUCACACACUGCUUCAUUCAUUGGAGGGACGAUAAGAAAUACAGUACAAACAAAAUACCUGCUACAUCAGUAGGUUUUGAGAAAUGACGGAUACAGAAGGUUAUACAGGAUUUACAUUCGCAACAGGUUCAUUUGUCAAAUUGCUUUUGGUAACAUUUUAUUUGACGCCUAUCUCUAUAACGCAUUAUAAAUAUAUGUAUAAUGCGUUAUAAUCACAUUAUAGCGCUGUAUAACUAUAGUUAUAAACACUCAUAAAUGAUCAUAAUGCUUUAUAGCAAUUAUCACAACACAUUAUAAAGCAUUUUAUCAUGACUUACAAUAGAUAAUGCAAUGCAACUUUUGUUAACAGUAAUAAAGUGUAAUAAAGUGUUACCAUGCCUUUUUAUUCAUUAAUAAUGUAAACAAACUCAAAUCCAUGCCUUUCUGUUCAAAGAGGGUGAUUAACUUGUAAGCUCAGAUAGGCUGGUUAUCACUCUUUGGUCAAUUCUUAGCAGAGCCUGAAAAGAUAGUUUUGUGUUUUUAGUCAGAGGAGCUGCUCUAGUCAUGUGGUGAGAAAGACAAACUGCUGCUGAUAAUAAGUGAAUAAUUCAAAUAUCAUCUAGUUACCAAUGAGUUCAGACAGCAGUAUACAAAGCAUGUUUAUGAAUUUAAAACCAGAAAACAUUUUAGUGGAAAAAGGAAAGUGCCAGUACACUCCUUAUUCACCUUUACUAUAUGCUGAUAAUAUGCUUUUGUGCAGCAAAAAUCAAAGGGCAUCUAGUGACUACCGCAAAUGCAAAAGAAACACCUUGCUUAAAUAUAGCUUUAUUUUUUAUGGUUCUAUCAGGUUUGCUACCAACAGACAAUUAAGGCUGGUGCCACAAACAGCUAGUAAACUUGGCAAAGAUGACUCCACAGUCAGGGAGUGAAUGAAUAAUGACUGUGAAACAGAUUUCGUAUAACUACACAAGAACAAGGAGACAAAUUAUGGUAUAUCUCUUACUGCAACACAUUUGUCAAAUAUGGUGAGUACUGGGAUAGAUGAGAAGCUCCCAUCACUCCUUGGCCUGAUCAGUCCUUCUUGUUGAUUUUAAAUCCAAUCACCUUUUCACUGCCAGGCCAAUAUUUCUCAUUUUUAUCCAAAUCUUUCAGCAAAUUAUCCCAUGAUAGGUCAUUGUCCAGAGGAAGAGGGCAGUAGGGAUUUACUGAAUGCUUAACUAUCUUGAUACUUGAAGAACAGGAAGUGUGUCUCUACAAAUGCGAGUUUGCUAAAAGUGAUAGAGGAGAUGUCAGACAAGGCAGUCAAAACAAGUAAGUGAAUCAGGAUAACUGUUAUGACUGCAAAAUGUGAGUGUUGGUUCGAGGAUUAUGGACAUCUGAGAGAUCUGGGCUGCUGGCUUUGAGACUUAGAUCCCCCAAAUGUUAAACUUUAUGAAAGUAGAGCUAAUCAAACAGGGAUGCUUUUACACAGGGAUGCUUUUACAAAUGUAUGGUGUGUGAUUACUACAUCGCUCAAGCUUUUUCUCUUCUGAGAGCUGUCAAAUUACACAACUUUUAAAACUGGGAGCAAAUCAAUGAGGACCGAUUCUUCCUUCAACCGUUGAAAUCAACAAAAACAAACCAAUUGUAACAGGUUUGAGGUUUUUGUAUUGUGUUUAAAAUUGAAUUGUGAUUGUAAAGUGAGAAAAUCUGGCUUUCCACAGUGUUAGUUCUUUAUAAAAACAGGGCAGCAUGAACAUGCAGACUCACACUUGCAUCAGUCAGAUUAACUAGGACAAAUAGCAAAUCUAAACAGUCCCCACAUGAACAAACAUUGACAGAAUGCAUUGUUUCAAAGAGAAAAGGCUCAUGCAUAAUUAAUGACUGUAAAUAAAGGCUGUGACUCCAAUUAUAUCUGUUAAAAAAUGAUCAAAAAGAAAAUUAAUAUUGUCAACCUGUCACACAUUUACAGGAAAUUUGGGUGAUAAAUGAGUUCAUAUAUUACCAACAUAAUGAAGCUUCCUAUUCAAAAAAUAAGUUAAUAAAUGAGCUACAUUUCCUCUUUUUAUGCGUGUUUGUGUGUGUUUAUACACAGUUAUGUGUGUGUGUGUGUGUGUGUGUGCUCGUUUGUUUGUGUGUACGUGCAGGCCCAUGAGGGAGACAGAUGGGACAGACCUCCACCACCUCACACUACUUUCUCUCUGCAUGAGUUCCCACCACAGUCUGUGGGUUGUCUUAGUGCCAGAGCAUUACACACAUACACACACACACACACACACACACACACACACACACACACACACACACACACACACACACACACACUAGAGCUCAUGUGACAACAACCACUGUUCAUUAAUCAUCUGUAUGUGUAAAUUAGGCAUGAAAAAAAGAGGAUUUGGAGCAUAAAACCUUGGACAUACUGUCCUUCCCUGUGUUCUGUGAUCAUAAAUUAGAUGAUGGACUGAAGUUAACGAGGUGCUGUCCUGCUACUUUUAUGAUCAACCAACCUUGGUGAAGUUUAAAUGACACCAGGGCAGGUGGGUAGGUUGUUGGUCAUAUCUGCUCUUGUGCAUCAAGCAGGCAUCAUCAAACCCAGAACAGGUUGCCCUUCAGUCCAGACCUGAUGUUGAUAUUGAUGAGCUCUUCUUUUCAUGCCUGUAUGACUCUCUGAUUCACACACGGUGCGGCUCUAUGUAAAAGCUUUGGAUCAAGAAUGGACUGACAGCUUCCCUCUGGCAUUUCUCUCUCUCAUGUUUUGAUAUCGCAGUGAAUAUUAAAGCGUCAAGAGCACAGAUCUCUUCAACGCUCUUACCGUUGAAAUCUGAGCUGAACAAAGGAAAUGAACAAAUAAGCACACAGUACCAUCAAUUCAUCCGCCUGCUGACACAAUUAUACAUUGUCCAACAACUUGUGUAUGUUCACAUUUUGUGACUAGAUAAAAAUCUUCCCACUCACGACAGGAGAGAGAGAGAUAGAGAGAGAGAGAGGUAGAUUACUUGUUAGGGGGUAAAAUGAACAAUCUGCAUGAAGUUGUCCUUUCCUGAUGGUACUGAUUGGACAUGUGUUGUUUCAGUCAUUAUCCACUGUCUCUUGGGGUUUGUUGUAUGCAAAAGACAAGAUAUUUUCAGGCUGUGAGAAAAUGUGCCCUAAAACGAUUACACAUUACUACACAUCAGGCAACAGGCAGGAUAGUUUGACCUGGAGGACAGAGUAGACAGUGUUUCUGUACAUAAAGGAACAUAUAGCAAUGUGUUAGUAUAUGUUGGAUAUGUUACAUCUUUUCAAACAAGCCUCAAAGAGAGGAGAACAUAUAGACAAAAAGACAGAAAGACAGACAGGGAAUAAGAGACAGAGAGACGGAGACAGAAAGACUAUAGAGCUGACACAUGCAGGACUUCCCAGAUCUGUGCCAGUAGGCCGAGAGCAAUUCCUUUGAAGAGGAAAGGCUUUUCCAAUAGAAGAAAAGAAACAAAAGAUAAGAAAGCAUCAGAUGCAGAAAAAAAAAAAGAUUGGCUGCUCUGAAAACAACCCCAAUUAUUCUGCUGCGAUCUGAAACCACAGCAACAGAACAGAGAACCGCCCGGAAGAUGCUGGAGCCUGUUUUUCAGCUGAGUAAUAUUUCUGGGGUGCAAAGGGACUCCCGCUGAGAGAGGCUUCAAAUCCGGCUGAGAUGUUAUGGCAGCUGAUGACAGAGAGGAUGCAAACUUAGGCUGACUCAUAUAACUGGCUAAAAAAGAAUGAAAACAACUGGAUAUCCAACAAAAUCCAAACAGUUUUGGCAUCUCAAAGCAAUUUUUGGCUCAACUACCGAUGGACCCAAAGAUAUCAGAAGCAAAAACUUACAAAGAGACGAACACAAACAAACAGAAAGACAGCUCUCUCAUACCACACGCCGUUGACAUCCAGACUGUUCAACACUUCUCUCUGAGCUCUAACAGUGUGUCUGACACUGCAGCUGAGGGUUAUUUUUGACAUAAAAAUUGUCCUUGGUCACUUUAACCUGCCAUUGAAGAAGGUACAGUUAUGAAAGAGCUGGCACAUUUCUCAGAGUUAGUGGUGCAUGCUGUAUUUAUUUCUGAAGUGGUGCAUUUCCGAGUUGUUUCUAAGGUGGUGCAUGGUUGAUUUAUUGCUAAAGUGGUGCAUUUUUUGAUUAAUUUCAAUAGUGGCGCAUUUUUAGGUUACUUCUAAGGUGGUGCAUUUCUGACUUUAUUUUAAGGUGGGGAAUUUUUUUGCCUAAGGUGGUGCAUGGUUGAUUUAUUGCUAAAGGGGUGCAUUUUUAGUUUAUUUCAAAGGUGGUGCAUUUUUGAUUAAUUUAAAGGGUGGUGUAUUAUUUUAGUUAUUCCUAAGGUGGUGCAUGCUGUAUUUAUUUCUAAAGUGGUGCAUGUAUGAAAUUUAUUGUAAGGUGGUGCAUUUUCAAUUUAUUUCUAAGUUGGUGCAUUUUUUAUUUAUUUCUGAGGUGGUGCAUUUUUUAUUUAUUUCUGAGGUGGUGCAUUUCUGAGGUGGUGCAUUUUCAAUUUAUUUCUUAGGUGGUUCCUUUUUUUAUUUUUUUAUUUCUAAGGUGGUGCAUUUCUGAGGUGGUGCAUUUCUGAGGUGGUGCAUUUCUGAGGUGGUGUAUUUUUGAUUUAUUUCUGAGGUGGUACAUAGUUGUUUAAAAAAAACAACGAAAAAUCAGCUUCCACUUCUGUAUUGUGUAAACUCCUGGAUUUAUCAUGUUGUUUUGCAAAAAGGAGAUAAAAGCAGCCAGUGAUGGCAUUUCUGGCUUGAAUUACUUUUCUUUGCAGUGUUCUGUUUUUAUUCAUGUUUUACACAAUGCCCCAUCUUCAUUGGAAUUGGAGUUUGUUGAACAGUCUCAAUGACUAAGAACCUACAUGGGCAUCCUUAAACCAUUUCAUAAUUUUCAUCACUUUAUUAACCACGUAGGAUAAAUAUUUUUUUAUAAAUCGUAGAAAGGCUUUAUCAGUUUUGUUGCGAAUAUCUUAUCUUUUUACUGUUAUCAGGACUGUGUGCCACAGCAAACACUGUCAGUUCUGAAUAGGUCCCUAGCUUCUCCCAGAUAAGUACCUUGGAAAGAGCUGUGUGAAAUACUCCUGACAAAUACAAGUGAGGCUGCAGGGUCUGAGUAAAUGGCUUCAAGAAUAAAUGACAAUAAAUGAAUACAGUCGAUUUAAUUAAAAACCAGAGACUCAGAAUAAACAUAUUCAACCCCCACAGAAGACCUUCCUUGGCUGGGUCAUUCAAUGAACUCAUGAUAUAUACAGACUUUGUGAUCUGGGGGUACUCAAAAAACUGAGUGAAGUAAAAACUGAUUUGAUAAUUGCAAAAAGUUUACAGAUGCAAACCAAACCUCAAGAUGCCCCCCUGAGGUUAAGAGCAAGGAAUUGGCCGUUUUACUUUAUCCUGAGUUGCAGCUACUAAUGGACUCAAAUAAACUCUUACCAGUCCUGUAUGAUGUGACCUUUACAUACAUUCACAGUUCAAUCACUGCUAUUGUCAGCACCACUGGUUUAAUCAUGGACUUCUAUAUUAGGCUGACAGGUUCACAGCUGGUCAGCUCAGUGUCUAGAUGAGGACUCUCAUGAAACACUGUAUAAUUACAUUUAUAGUAGUAGAGUCAGAACGGCUCUGUCUUUUUAUACAUCGGAAUAAUGACUCCGGUUGGAAAUGUUGAGUAUAUCAGUGACUAACUACAUAAAUUAUACAUGUAAAAAAUGUCAGUAAUCUUUCCACAACAGCUUAUCAGGAGCACAUUUGUAUCAGUUGUCCCAUCGUCAUUUAAUGUGUUGAAGAAAAAAAAAAAUUCUUUUUGUCUCAAAAAUAAAUCCACAUUCUGCACCCCGUCAAUGAAACAUUCAGCAGUUUUCUUAUCUGACUAAUAUUGCCUCAAAUCAUUUAAAUGUGGCAGAAUGCACUGAAUGCAGAAAAAAUAUGUGUGUUUACGGUUUAUGCUUUAAUGAUCAGAGAGAAAAAUUUACACCAUGCAAAUCUUGCUCAAAAUGCAACAGUUUAAUCAUUUCAGCCUAAUUUAAAUAUAUUUGUUCUUUAUGUAAUAUUGAUUAUUCUUUGUGAGCUUUGUUAGUAUUUCUCUGUUGGUCAUGUCUGUGUCCAUUCUGCUUUCAUUUGUUUUGGUAAUUAUUGUAAAUUGAUCAAAAAAUUACAAAAGUGAGGGGUUCUUCUUUUCUUACAAGGAUACUCAAAUCAAACCAUGCAGGAAUUUGUCAAAUGUGACGAACGCCAUCCGACGAGGUGGGAUUCUGUCACCUCACCUCUUUAAUUUGCAUUUCCUUCUUUCUUUAUAUCUGAUCAAGUCCUAAGUGUGGUGGAGAAAGUUGAAUAUCUGGGGCAUAUUAUCAGGAACCAUGUAAGAGAUGAUGAUGAUGAACUACAGCGCAGUGCAGCAAACUGCCAACAUGAGCCAUCAUAUUGGCUCGUAAAUUUGCAAUAUGCACAAAUGUUGAGAUGGAGCUCUUUAGAGCUAACUGAAGUCCAUUUAACACAGCUCGUCUGUGGUGCAGUCUCAGUUAGGAUAAACUGGAGAAAAUUCAACGAACAUACGAUGAUGCAUAUAGAAUCUUAGGUUUCCAAGAUGGAUGAGAGUAAGUUUUAUGUUUGUUUCGAAUUACACCUUUAAACUCAAUGCUGUACUGAGAAUUUUUUCCAUAAAUAAGUGUGUUGAUUCAUUGAUUGAUUUAAAUUUCUGUUGUUUUGGAGACAUUGGAAAUAAUGUCUUUUUGGUUUUUGAUCACUGACUCCAUGUGAGGUGUUGCUCUUUUAAUUUUUUUGCUCUUCUUGUAUUGUAUUUAAACAUUUUCUAUUUUAUAUGCUUUUUAUGCUGAUAUGGACCUAUGGGUCUACAUUGCAGUAUUAUUAUUAUUAUUUUUAUUAUUAUUAUUAUUAUUAUUAUUAUUAUUAUUAUUAUUGUUAUUACUUUUAUUGCUCUUAAGUUUUUAUCUAGUUUAGCUUUGCACUCGUUUGGGGAAAAAGUCUGAAAUUGCUAUAUACAGUAUUUCUACAUAAAAGUUUCACUGUCGCUUUCCGUCAUAAUUAACUUGCGGCUUCUUUUUUCCGUAUGUCCUCUUUACUUUAGAUUCAAAUAAUUAUUUAUAUGUGUUGGCAGGACUAAAGACUUUUUUAACCCUCUGUCUUUCCCCGGAGAUGAACAAUCCACCAAGUGGCUUAUUAGAGCAAUUCAUCAAAUCAGCAGGCAGUGCUGAUUAAAUCAACUUGGUAAUAAAUGGAAUGAUCUAAAGCCUUCUGAAGCCCAGAGUCCUCGCAGCCCACCUGUCCGAUUAGGAGGCAAUUUAUCCGCAAGCUUUCCACAGAAGCGUACUUUAAUUGGGGAAAAAUGCGAAUGUCAUUCUGUUUGCCUGUUGGCAGAAACAGCAUGUUCUUGAUUUAGUAUUGCUGGGAAAAACUUUGGCUUCAUGAUGAAACAAUCUUCAUUUCACACCAUCUCAGGGCCUAUGGGAGGGGACUGUGCAAUGUUGACUGUACGGUGACGUUGACUUUCUCUUCUGUGAUAGAUUUAUAAUGCCAGACCACAAAAUGGACCUGUGAAUUUCUGCACGCAUGUGAUAAGUACAUGUGAACCCAGCGCAUAGUGGCAUAAAGCAAAAUGAAUGAUCACAGGGGAAAAUGGCAGGUGUUCGUCUUUGUGUACAUUUGUUUACCAAAGCUGUGGAUGAAUAAAUGAUUGAGAACCACAAACAGAACCUGCUCUUUCAGUGCCACACCAUCACAACAACAACUACAUCAACACCAAAAUAUCUUCUUUAUUUAAACAUAACGUAAAAAGAAAUGAUACCAUCGCAAAAUCUUAGAUGAAUACUGAACAGUCCACAAACUGAAGUAUCUGAUCAACAGACUCAUCAUUUAAAAAUUUUAUAUGUUUAAUUCAUUAACAACAAUGUUGAGUAAUUUAAGGCUGAUAUUCAACAAACCCAGCCAAUAAACUCAAGCACUCUUAAAAACCAACAUUAUUCAACCAUAGAAACUAGCACAGGGCCACCAGAAAGGGUUUUCAAUCCACUCCACUUUAUUUAUAUAGUACAUUUCAACAAGCAUGUUUACCAGAGAUCUGCACAGUAAGAUAAGGAUGCACUUAUGUUGCUCUUUUUACUAGGAGUCCAGGGUUCUCGGAUUGAACGGAAAAAAGAAAAGAGCCAAAGAUGGAAGUAAAACAGAAAACUAUCCAUCUUGAUUACACAUAGUGGACUCAACAGAGAAACCCACAGCUUACCAAAGACACAGUAAUCCAUGAACAUCAACAUGGGGCUAGUAUGGUUUCCUUACCGUGAUAAAAGAGAGCCAGCUUUAAGACCUCUGAAGAUUCAGAGAAACCAUGAGGAAAUUUUUUAAUGUUUAUGAAAAAUACAUAAAUUCAUACUAAUGCCUUUUUAUAAUACCUAAAAGUAAACAAGAGCAUCUGGGACUGUAUAUCUUCACUUUUAGUGCCUGAACCUGGUGUGUGGGGGGAAUAGAUGUCAGCCCAGCAGCUGAAGAAAAAGUCCUGUUUUUACCAUCCCCACACUAAGUAUUCAUCUAAAUAAUACAUUUGACCCUCACAAUUCAGCAGGAUGAGAUUUUUGUGCUCAACUUGGUAGCGGCAAAGUCUGGUCUCUAAAAUUUUUGCAAUUUUUUCUAUAUUUUUCAUGUUUUUGUUGUGUUUUGUGAACUGCUGAUGGAUGUUUCUGCUGGGAGGAGAGUUUCUUCAAGAGAGGAGCUUCUUUCAUGGAGACGGAGCAAAUCUGAACAACAACAUCCAAUUUUAGCAGACAUCUGGAGGUGUUUUUGUGGUUGCCAUGCAGGUGCACAGGUGAAGGCAAAGUUGAAGGCUUGGAAACGGAGACAUAAACCCUUCCUUUCAUCGGUCAUCAUGGGACAUGUCAACUCUCUGCCCAACAAAAGCGAGCAGCUGGAGAUAUUGAAGACUGAGAAAGCCUAUCGUGAGUGCAGUCUCCUGUGUUUUACGAAAACAUGUUAGGAUCGAGACAACUCAGACUCUUCCUGGUUUCACUCUUACAAGGUCAGACAGAGAUGCUCAAGCUAGUGGCAAGAAGAAAGGAGGAGGUCUGGCUCUAUUUGUUAACCAGAGAUGGUGUAACUCUUUACAGAUAAACUAACUUCACCAACACAAAACUUACAAGGUGACUACGUAAAACUGAACAUUUUAAGUCAGUCACGUGACGCUGAUGGAACAUGCCCAUCGGUGUCAAUGGAAGAGGAACAACUCAAGCACUGUACCUGGAGGAGAGUCUCUUUAGUUCACAGCUGGGCAGCAACAACUGCUCCCUCUCAUGGGAUUAAAAUAAUCUACUCGCUUCAUUCACGCAAAUCUAGACACGUGAAUGAAUAGUAUUUACUCACUUCAUUCGCAUGCCAACGGUAAUUUCAUUGGUAAUCCCUGCCAAUUAAACUGGCGGGAUCAAGUGAUAGACAAAGGUUUUCUCCAAUUUACCAGGUAAUCCGACCUCCUCACUGACUUGCCUCCAGGAGAGCUUCUUUUAAUUCCGGUUUCAGUAAUUGAAAGAAAAGGUAUCAUAUAAUUCGGGGCACCCACACACUGACACGAUCAGUUUGUCCUCCAUUUAUGAUAACAGUGAACAAUCGAUCGUUUUCAUACGUCACCUGGCAACCUUAAUGCUGAUUAGUUAUUGCGGCAUGAAUAUCCACUCAAGUUGAGACAUUUUCAGCCUCGCCCAAUUCACGUCAUUGGCGCCGCCAGAUUAGUAGGAGCAUCUAAUUGUGUCUUUGCAUUGACUAAACGUAAUUCAUUCUUUUAAUGAUUUUACUCACACUUGGUGAGUGGAGACAGUCACAGAGGUCCACUAAUGUCUGCUGUUUGGAUGAUGAAACAUUUGGAGGUUAAGUUCAGUAGGUAGACCAACUCCAAUUAUUUAUGAACAGUCAAAACUGAAGCUUGGGUACUGUUCUCUUACGCUACAGAGUACGGUUUCAUUACCCCUGACAGUUUUAUGAGUUUCACUUCAUGUCUUAGAUAAAGGUCACAUACCGGCCUUGUUUUAGAGUAUUUUCACAUUGUUUACCACAUAAUCAAGCUCCAAACUGACUAAAUGAGUACCCCCGGUGUGAAUGUAGAUGAGCUGGUGUAUAGGGAAUACUUAUGCUAAUGCACAGAAGUGUCAGUUUAUGUGUUUGUACUUGUGUGUGACAUUCUAAGCAUACUUGCUAAUUCCCAGCUUUUUGUGACUGUAUCUGUAUGCAGGGAAGAAGCGGAGAACGUUAGCUUUUGCCAGCAUUCAGCAAGCAUCAGAUGGCUUGUGAUGAAUAGUCAAUUAACUAUAAACUUGUUCCAGGAAUGACCAGUGAACAAGGGAGGAGAGGAUGGCUGGUGGAAAAAAAAAAAAAAAAAGGCAUCCAUUAUCUAGCAGCUAAUUAUCUAGCCACUGCCAUUUCCAUCCUGGAGAUAGCUGUGUGAUUAAAGGGUUUGGUCAAUCAAAUAGAUAACAGGGAUUAGAACUGGAGAAAGGGAGAGGAAAGAAAGGGGAAAAGACACGAAAUGAGUCAGAGGAGAGGUGGCUGCCUGAGGCUCAACUUUAUGUGCUGAAGCUUUAAAAACAAGCGCGAUGCCAUUAGAAACCGCUCCAAUCUUUCGCUUUUUAAUCUCAUUACUUUGAUUCUUUAAACUCUUCUUAGGGAUGUCAAAUACGGUGAGUUGUUUGACAGUUUUUCAAAGUAAUGUCAGAGUUAUACGACACUUUUUUAAUACCCUAUCUGAGGAUAAAUCAAGAAUAAUUCAAUUCUUUUUUUUUUUAAUAUCACAAUUUUCAGCGAUUUUUAGGACAAAAUCUUGAUAAUUUAUUAAAACUGAAACUCAACCAUCCAGAAAGUAAUCCUCAUUCAUGCUUUUUUUGUCCUGGGCCACUAAAAACAAACCUUGAAUAGACGUAGGUGUUCAGUUUUUGCUUGCAGGAACCCUCAUGAAAACUGUAUUGCCCUGAUGAAGAACGAUUGCAACAAGGUUUCACAGUAUUUCACGGUACUGACGAAAAAAACGUGAUUCUGACAGCGACAUAUAUAGAGAAAGAAAAAGACUCAACAGAUUCACAGGAAGAGAAAAAGCUCUUUUUUAUUUUACCCCAGUGCCAAAUUAGCUUAGCAGAUAAAUUAUGUGCCCCCUGCACAGAGGCUAUAAUCCUCUAAUAGGGCAGCCCAGGCUCAAAUCUGACCCUCACCCCUUUUGCUGGCGGGACACUAAAGUUUUCUCAUAAUAAUAUGGCACCAGCUGUUCUCAGAACUUUACUAUAGUCCGAGGGCCCAUUUGUUUUGGCACUUUUCAAACAUGAAACACAUUUCUUAUCAGCUAACUGCGCCUGUGAUGUGUGAGCAGCACUAUGACGCAAAUCAUUCUUAUUGAAGAGGUAAUGACUUCAUCAGCACAGCAGCAUCCUGGGGAAAGAAAACCAAGCAUAGUAGACACACACGGUCAGAAUUUAUACAUGCCCAGUUAAUUUAAGCUGUGUCAUGGCUCUGUUUAAAGACCCACUCCAAGGAAAAUCAUGUUUUUCUUGUUUUUUACAUGUUCAUAUGACAUUUUUUCUGAUGCUACAGAACACACUAUGAGAAAGUAAGUGUGAAAUUUCAUUUCUGAGUAUUUCUUAAUUCGACCCAAAUUGCAGGUUCAGACACAGUGAGAUUUCCUACGUAGCAAAUCCAAGCUCCGCCCCCGGAGCCCGCAGGCCACACUCAGAGAAAUACAGAGGAUGAUUGCAGAAGAAACAUGUGCAUUAGCAGAUUGCAAUGCUCGUAAGCUUUCAUCACGUCCCUCUAGAUGUUAGUGUCUGAGAGCUAAACAGCUCUUAUGUUACUUGGCACUUCUCCUACACCAGCAAUAUUAGCCUACAAGCUAAUGUGAGGAGAAGUGCGCAGAGCAGCGCUGUCUACAUCCAUGACUAAUGAAGUGCUAAUGAUCUACUUGAGCUCUGCAGAGGAAAAGUUCUUGAAAAUUACACAAGCAUUGUGAUUCAGGCUAAAAACUAAAUAAUCACAACUUAGAGACCACUGCUAACACUUUAAAGUAGUAAAAAAAAUCGAUCGGAGUUCGACUUUAACUAGACUGUUGUCCUGGUCCCAGUUUGCAUGCACUGAAUGCAAGAAAUGAAUUAUUUCCGUUAGUUACCAGCACUGGUGAGUAAUUUCUAACAUUUCAGUCCAAUACUGUAUCUAAGUCAAUUAUUGCCUUUACUUUGAUUUAUUGUGAACGUAAUAUUUAGCAUUUCAGUUUGAGAUGACUGCGAGCAAAAACCGACACAAAGCAUGUACCCCUGUUUAAGACAAAAGGACCCCAAAAUAUAACUGCAUCAGGUCCAAACACAAAUCUGUUGCACGGCUGUCUCCAAGCCUGCAGAUCCAAUAGGCUGAUCCAUGCACUGCAGCUGGAGAAACAUGGAGCAUGAGCUGUGUCUACAAAUAUUAGUGCAAACUUGAAUGGCCUUAUUGACAGCGAAGUAAGUCCACUAGCAUUUACAGCUUAGGGUAGAGAGGGGGAAAAAAAAAACUCAUACAUGCUGCUUUUCACUCAGUGCCAUGCCCUCCCUGCUGGGGAUCUGCGAGAACCGCUGAUUCCUUCACCACAGAGCCUAACGGAGGACACUUGACGGCACUCAUGCAGCACAUGAGUACCACCCCAUCUGUAUAAGGGUAAAUGUCAUAAAAAGCUUAGGUGCUGGACUUUUACAGUUUUUAAGCACUGACCUGGAUAAUGGGUUCACUUGUUGAAUUUGGAACCUUCUUUGAGAGCAUUAAGAUCCUGUUUUUCAGUGGUAUCUUUGAAAAGUCUGUGCGCAGUUUGCUGUCAGUUUGUCACCGUUAUAAAGAGCUGUAAAGAUUAUGAGUUGGGUGGCCUUGGAUUAUCUUUACUCUUAAAAAAAUAAGUGUACAGUACACUAAAUGCCAUCUGGACAGUGUUAUUUGUAUGUGUAAUGAGUCAAGGCUUGAAGGAGUUUGACGGUAUUUGAAUCACUAAAGUGCUCUAACGUGUUUUUAUGUGGCUAAGUUACACGGGUAUGAACCACAUUGUUAUUCAACGGCAGACAUUUUUUAACAGUAUUUUUAUGAGCACCAUUAUCCAGAAUUGUUGACAAGUAAAGAAGAUAAGAUAAGAGAGAUAAACCUUUCUUCGUCUCAUGGUGGGGAAAUUCACGGUGUUACCGCAGCAAAGGAUCAGCAUAAGUACACUCAUCAUGCAAUCAUACAACUCCUCACACACACACACAAUGUCUUCUUUAAAACAACAGCUUUGGAGGAUCUGAAUUAGCAUCCGUCAUGUAUGUCCUGAUUCCUAAUUUAGUCAGUUCAUUGAACUUUUUAGUGCUUACUUUUUAUGAAUACAUUAACUUUUCCAUCUCAUCCAGGAAUAAAAACCAUUUGAUAUUCAACCUUUUAAGAGUUUUAGGCCUUUCAAGUCACAUUUCUUUUUAUGCCAAACAAACGGGCGAAUGGAAAUGCACUUGCAUGCAAUGAUUACAGAAACGUUGAACAGAGGGGGAUAGACAAUGGUUUUAAAUAAACAGACAUCAACAAGCAACACUGUUAGGGGCACAUUUAUGCCUUUAUUUCCUAUUUUCUACACGUUCACAUGCACAGGCAUGCCGUGCCUUUGGAAGUGAUCACAGUUUGUAUGUUUGUUUGAUUGUGAGAUAUAUUUUCUGUGAUCACUGGGCAGCUCAGUGAGGCUGAUUAAAUCUCAGCUCAGUGGGAGCUUUGUGAUUGGUUAAUUCCCCAGAGGGUCUUGUCCAAUAGAGACAUGCAAGGUCAGGUUGGAACUCAAACAAUGUGACUACCAACUAAAGCUUCAGGUUUGCACCACAAACACAGUGCCUCCACAUGUGUAUACAUGCUCAAAUAUACACUAAAGCUUUUGUGUACAUAAAGAGGAAACCCCCCGGACAGACACAGUGUAAUAUGAAUGACCAAUAUCCGACUUAAUAUGACACAAACAAUAGAAUGGUAUUUGCUUUAUGGAGAAGGAAAACAGAGAGAGGGAUGUAAAUAAACUGCAGGACCGUCAUAUACAUCAACCUAUUCCUUUAAAACACCCCUUUACUCCUCCUAACAGACAUCAUAGUGGACCUAUAGGGACAAUAAUAUUUGUCUUAUGUAUAAUUAUAUCAUGACUUAAAGAAGGAGAGUCUGUGGCACCUGUUGGUAGAGUUUGACUGAGCAAAACCCCAUACAUCACCCUAAAAUAUGUUAUUUAUUGCAGAUGCUUGGAUUUUUCUGCUAUGUCCAUUUUUUGUGACCUGGACUAAGGCAAUUUUUACGUUAAGUUUCAAUUUUUGCAGCAUCCAUCUUCUUUUAUUUGAGUUUUGACUUAUUGCCUUUUGGAGGUAUACUUCUGUCAGAGGCUCACACAAAGAUUUAUGUAGCUAAGGAAGCUGACUCUAAAAACUUGUUCUGGUCAGUAGACUUGAUAUGUGUGAUUUUUUUAGACCCAAGAGUGGCAUCAACACACAUCAACACACCAAAACCUGAAAGAUGCUUAAAUACAUAAUAGAGCAUGGAUAAUACUGCUUAAACCUGCUUACAUAUAUGGAUUUUAUUUAUCGCUAAUUAAACGAGGAUGAAUAAGAAAUUAGGUAAUGGAUAUACAAUAAUUAAUUUGCUGUAUUAAGUCUUCAUAAAGGCACACUGUAGUUCCAGGCCAGAUUAGUUACACCAUGAAAGAGGAGCAAUAACACUGAAGCCCAAUUAAACGCUGCAGCUGUCAGCUUCAUGUAAAAGAAAAAAACUGAGUCUCUCUAUAAAGAAACAGGGAGCAGUACACUCUGAUGUUUAAGCAUCAUUGUACACCCAAGGGACUGAUAUUAUGAAUUUGAGAGGAGUGAGUUAUUCUUUUAAAACUGUGCCUUUUUGUCCCUCGUGGGUCACCAUAGCUGAAUUUUUCCGCUGCUGCCAUGAUGAAACACAAAACAACGCCAUUGCACCUUUGAAUUGAUCAUUUUUCUCAUGGUGAAAUAAACUGGCUCAAACUUAAAAGGUAGUUUCACACUUUCCCCAAGAGUGAUGGAGGUCUGGCACUCCCAUGCUUCAGGCACUGAUGUCGGGCCUUUAAUUAAUGUGCAGAAACUCAAGGAUUGGACAAACCAGAACAGGGAUUUCCUAUCUGCACAAGGUUUUCUGGUUCCCCUCCCUUUUAACACUUGUUGGAGCAAAUUCAAUUAAAUCAGUCUCAUGUGACCCAAAUAUGGAGCCAACUCCAGUAAAAGGUUGGCGUACGAGGUUCCUUCAUUCUGACCACUCUGUAUUAAAACCAUCUCUCAAACUCUUGAGUGAAAACCUGACAUUCAAAUCCUGGUGCAGCAACUGUCUGAUAAACAAAGAUGACAUCUUCCCAUCCUUUGCAGAGCUUUUGUCUAAAUAUCACCCACCAAUUUCUCACCCACUCUGCUUUUUUAAGGUGAGCAAUUUCAUCAUAACUGUUUCUGAACUGUCCACUCUAUAAAGUUCUUCAGGAGGGUCCACCUUAAAACCUUGAGCCUUCAUCAGAACUUGAUGAGAAAACAACCUGGACAUUAACUUGGAGGAAGUAAACAGUCAUGUAACAGAUGUCACCAUGUUGACAAUGACAUUUUGUACAUCCAUUCUUGUGUGUUUCUUAUCCGCGAUGACCUUGAAAAAAACAGCAUCUCUAAGAACAAGCCUUUCUUUCCUCCCUGGAAUUCAAGGUUUCAGACCACAUGGGUGCAGCCAUGCAGAAUUCAUUUGAAUAAUAAAUCUAAUAGGCAAGCACACAGUGUACAUAUUAUAAUGGUUGACAUGUCUGUAAAAACACAUAUUCCAAACACUAAUUUUAAGGUAUGUCUAAUAACCAUUAACCAUUGGAAUUCUGCACAUCAUUGGGAUUUGUUUUAACUCUGGUCCCAGCUCUGGCGUUCUGAGAAAUAUUUUCACAUCUGCUAUAAAGGGUCGUAAAGAUGCAUAGGUGUUGUUUUUGUGCCGGUGUCCAACUCCCUUUACGGGCAAGGUUACAGUUUUUGUGUGCAUGCGUGUGCCUGCAUCAAACCUUGAUGAAGUAAUGCAGGGUGAUCAGUAUGAGCUGGUCACUGGGAUAUGAAGGACAACAGUUGACCACCCAGCUGCUCCUGCUUCUGUUUUUCAUUAUAGAGAAAAAGAGCAAGAGCGAAAGAGAGAGGUAGAGAGAGAGAACGAGCAGCUGAAUAUUUUCUGUGACUUCUCAAACCAGCAAUUUCAAACCAUCACCAACAGGCCCAUGAUAAAUCUUAUUUGAAAAAUAAAAAAUAAAGAUCUGGAUUAGGAGAGUAACUCACUCAUUGUGUUUAGUGGUUACUGCGUGCACCACAGCUGCAGUUAUUCUGUGCUCCACACAGCACAGAUCUACCAUUACUUUUUUACUGUUACAGUUCACAAUGAAAUGCAAAUGUCAGAGGAACAUUAAAUGCUGCAUCCUUCUACACUUUAUGCGAGGACUCGUUACCCUGGCUUAGCAAGAGUCCCUUUGUAGAGAACUGUAUCAAUAUGUUUUCUCAUCAAUGUCACCAAGUCAGAUUGCUGUGUUUAUUGCACUUGAAGAUAGAGGUGCUUCUCAUUUUAGCUGCAGAGAGCUGCAGACUGUCGGCUCUUCAUUUCAUUCCCCCACAGCGCAGAGAAAUCUGAUAUUCCUCCUUCUACAACUUUAGCAUUAAAAUUGUCGGAUUAUGCAGAUGUUCGGACUUUGAUAUGUAAUCCCAUUCCUCUUUUCUGUGAUUAUGCCAGAAGGUCUUUUCAGAGAUUUGUCAGCCUAAAAAUUUUAAACUAAAUAAAUGAAAAAAAGAGAAAAGGAAAGGGGGAAAAAAAGGCGAAGCAGCUGAUGAAUCUGUGAGAUAAAUUUUCAUCAGUACAACCUGAAUAGAUGCUAACUUAUUGUAACAAAUGAUGAACAGCAGAGAUGUGUAAAAGGUCGACUGAAUAAAUUCAUGUAGGCCAUUGCUUGCUCUUUUACCUUCCUAUUUUCCUUUUCAGUCUAUUUCAGAUUCUGCUUUGUGCUUGCGUAAGUAUUCUAGUCUGCCAUCUUCUUAUUCUAAUGCAUUUACAAUCUAUAAAUCACGUUUGGUGCACCUCAUUGUUAAAUGAGGUUAUACAAUAGGAUUCAUUGUGAAUUUCAUGCAUCUUCCAUUUAUUCUACAUGUCACACACUAAUUCCAUGGGGAAUUUAUAAAGUGUAAUACAGUGGAAACAAAAUUAGUUCAUUCCAGUACAAAAAUCUGUGUAUCCAACCCAAGUCAUUACAAAGUCAUGCCCUGUGAUUUCUGACAGUCUGAUAAAUGCAGAAAUCGAUUCUGUCCUAAACACUGACUCUUGUGGAGAGUGCCAAAAUGCUGCAACAGAGAUUUUUUUUUUCUUUUAUGAAUUGAAAAAACACCAAACUGGUCUGGCAUGGUCGACUGAGAAAAACAUUAAUUAUCUUUUGCAACAGAUAUUCAGGCUAGAUGGUCGAAAUAGGCAAAAAGUGCCAAUAGCAAAAUAAAAACUUAAAUAUGCUUGGGUCAAAUAAAUAUUGGCCAUUUUUGAGAAAACAUCAAAUUAAAUCAAAAAUAAAUAAAUGUACAAAAACUUCACUCCAGUGCUCCAGUCAGUAUGUAGAGAGAAGUUCUUGCAUUUGUAACUCUACUUGCUUGAUGUUCACUUUUACUCAUGUUUCCAUGCGUUAAACGGUACAUGGAUUAUGUUUGUAGCACUUUUUAGUCCUCUGAUGUCUCAUUCAUGUUCUCCCCUUUAGAUGCACGGCAGAUUUACCCAGGACCUGUGGUUUCUAUUCACACAUCAAAGCCAAUCCUGAUAGCAAUGAGGUACUUUGCAAUGAUGCAAAAAGAAGAAAUCAAACAAAUGUAUUCAAAUGUAUUAAAGCUAACCUAUAAUUUGAAGUGGAGAGGUACAAAAUAAAUGCACUAGCAAAUAAACCUGAAAAAUAACCCUUGAUUUUCUCAUCAGACUCCGCCACAUGAUGAGUGCUGUUUGCUAAACUUUCAAUUCCACGAGUCUUUUAAUUUCAUUGUUUUUUUUAAAGCUAAUCUUUGACCUUCUGCCAUAACCUCCAGCCCCCUCUGCAGCAUUCAUACAUGAAUUUGUUCUUUAUUUCUCGUAACUGUAAAUCCUGGCCUUUCUAAAUGCGUCUGAAGAAACUCUUACCCUUUUGCCUUUUUCACUUGCUGUUCCUGCUCACGACUCCCUUACCUCCUUCCUCCUCUCACUGCUACCUCGGCUCUGCUAAUUUCUUACUGACUGGAGUAACUAACUUGUCAAUGAACUUCACCCGACUGAUUUGAUUGACUCCUUAAGAAGCGUAGAUCAAUUCUACAUUACCUACCUCUACACUCCUCAUCUGCUUCCAAGCAUCAUUACUCCCUCCCAGGUGUGAAAGUAUUGGACAAACAGUUAAAAGGCUUAAAGUGCUGGAUGAAUGGUUGAAACCAUUGACUGUAGCACUGCUGAUUUAUUUUCAAGAGUUAAUCUCACUGAAGAGUUUAGUUCUCACUUGUCAUUUAAUGUUGUAUGAAGGAGUAAACUCAUUAUUGAUAGCUGUGCUGUCCAGAGCGGCUCUCGUGGUGCUGUGUGCACCGGAUUAGCAGAGAAAAGGGGGAGAGGAUGAGAAACAAACACAAACACAAGAGUCACUUCACUUUCCAUAACUGCAAGUGUUGGUAACAAACUGAUCUGUGAACUGCUCUGUGAUGAACCUGAGGGAUCUUUGCUGUUUUUUUGUUCGUUUGUUUUGUUUUUUUACUACUGGAAGUGUGCUCAGUGGUCUUUAAACUGUGAUGAUGAAGUUUUUAGCCAAAAUCACGUUACCUGUGUCAUUUUCAAGGACUCUCCUUCUGCAGAGCUCCAGUAGCUCAUCAGAAAUUUGCCUCUAAGUCACCGGCAGAGACAGCGCUGCUCUGCACACUCCUCUUCACGCUAGCUUGCAGCCUAACAUUGCUGGCGUAGUAGAAGUGGCAGGUAAAAUAGGCGCUUUUCAGCUCCCAGACACUAAUGUCUUUGGGGGCAUGAUGAAAGUUAACAUCGUUAUUAGCUUUCUUACGAGCAUUGCAAUCGGCUAACGCGCACGCUUGUUCCGGGAUCGUCCUCUCUACGGAUUUGCUACGAAGGAAAUCUCACUGAAUCUGAUCCUGCUGUUUGGGUCUGCCAGAGAUUCACAGUGGUUUGAAUGCAGAAAUACUCAGAAAUGCAAUUUCGCACUUACUUUUCUCAUGAUAUGUUGUGCAGCUUCAGAAAAAUGCCAUAUGAACACAUAAACAAUGAGAAAAACAUGAUUUUCAUCGGAGUGGAUCUUUAAGUCACCACCAUUGCCUGUCACAGGUGCAAUUUUGGCUUCGCUCUGAAACAACGAGAUGAGGUGGAGAAACAUUGUCUAUUUCUGUACAGUCAAUGGCAGAGAUGUCUUUUUUUCUUGCACUCUCCGCAGUGGUGAUAUAACCUCACGCUUGACCAACCAUUGUUUGACAGCAGAAAGUAUGGUAACUGUUGCGAAGUUGUAGAAAAGUUAUUCUUAGAGAGUUAUCAGUCAAAAGGUCAAAAUAAAGAAAUAAAAUCAAUAAACAUUCAGCUACUUUUCGCUGUAGACCAUAUUAAACAAGUGAAGACAGAAAAUUUGUAGCUCCUCCAGUUGACCGGCCUUAAAUCUCCUGCGUUAUAACCAAUGGAAAAUGGGUCAAACUAAAACAUUAAAUACAACUUCUGUUCCCCCCAUAAAAUCUUUCUGUCAGGACAUUUGAAGAUUUAUGUACAAGUGUUCAUUUUCAGACAAAGUUUUUUGAUGUAAAGAUGAAGAAAAAGAUUGAUCGGCAGCUCUUUGAACAAUAACAGUCUUUUGUGGAUGGAUCAAACUGAGAGGAACUGCUGAGAGAAAACGUACAUGAACACAAGAGUCGUUAAAUGUUUCAUUAGUAUGAGUGUUUGCUUCAAAUCCUCUCUGCUGUGGACUGGACCAACCUCAGGCAUCUGUGACGUCUGUCAGUGAGUAUUUUAGUUUCAUCUCACAGUGGGUGCAGAAGUUGUCCAUAUCAGUACAUUACACUUAAUAUUUUUGUGCAUCAAUUUAUACUAUUGUGUUCCUGCAUUUUUAUAUGAAAGCAUCAUGGGUUAUGCUACAAAAUGUGUAUUAAUUUCCUAAUUUAUUAAAUCAAAGACUUUGUGUAGAAAAAAAAGAGAAUACAUCAGAGCAUUUCAGCCUCCCUUUCAUUAACACCACCGAUCACGACCUGUAACAGAUGAAUGCGUCCUCCUCUUCAUUUCUUCUGCUCCCCUACAGUCCCCCAUGCUCAGUAUGUGGAGCAUGCUGGUUCACUGCAGCGAUGCUCAGACUCUGAAGCCUUGAUCCCUGCUCCUUGCCUCUGAAAUAAUUCCGUGCAGUGACCUUGUCAGUCUCACGGUACAUGUUUGUAAAACGCCCUGUGGCUGUGUGAAUGUGAGAGAACUACUGAUCUGGGGUCAAAUGCUGCUGACAUGAGUCUUAAAUUACUGUGGUGACAAUGUGCCCUGGGGUUCUCUUAUAGAGCCACAGAAUCAAGCCGCUACUGAAACAUCACAUACACAUGGUCUCACGCUCCAAUUUAUGCUAUGACAUCCCAAGCACCCUGCAGCUCAAAAUAAAAAACAUUGGACUGCAUUGUCUUUUUGUUACACUAGGAUGUGAUUUUGUACUUGAACCUUUGUGAUUUUUGACUCAAAGUAGCUCAUGCAGAAAGAGCAUUAUUCAUUUUAGUUGCUUUUUCUCCUUUGCAGAGUUAAUCAAGAAUAUUUCAUGAUUUUAAGUCAUAAAGCUGAGAUUCGUCACUAGGGACCUUGAGAUGCUCAAACUGCAGUUCAGAAACUACGAUCCAAAAAAUAAAAAUACUCCGAUUCGUCUUUUUUCUCAGAAUAAAGCUGGAAGUACUUUUGUAGAUGCUCUUUUGCAGAAAUUUCUCCCUGACCAUGACUCUUUGGUUCUCAAAAGGUUUGGAGCUUUUGUGGUUGAUUUUCCUUUUUUAUGUCAAAAUGACUUUGCUUUCAAAACAUCUUGUCUUUUUUUCCCUUUGUUAACUAUUCCCACUUGACUUUAGUGCGGCGCACAGAAAUGAGAGCAAGUGCUCUCCAAGUAAUGCAGUGCUACUUCUCGCAUGCUCGGUAAUUCCUCCCUGUUGUUUGGAGAUGUGCACAUGCCUCUGGCUGUUGCUGAUGUUGGUCCUGCUCUAUCGCGUGAUUUGAUUUUUGAUCUGCAUUGACAGACAAUUAUUCUGCACUCUGAGAUGAGUGCUGAACUGUUUACCAAGAAGCAUUGUGAUUGGUUAAUGAGUCGGAAAGGGAAAGCUUCUUGAUCUCAUUUCCAGUGCUUAAUUAACCUUGGAGUUGGAGAUUUCCCCUGGUGCUGGGGACAAGGCAGGGUUACCUCACUCUUCUCUCCAUCUUUGUCUCUGUCUUGCCUCUUUUGCUCUCUCAGAUGUAUAAGUGUCCCCCAUGCAAUGACAAAAGGAUGCUAAGCUCUCUCCACAUGUGCCCUUCUGGAGGCAGCAACCCUUUAUUGACUGAUUUAUGAGGGCAAAUGUGGAUAAACAGUCCUUCCACCUACACAGAUGGUCAAAUUUGGGCGCACAUACUCACAUCCUGAGCUCACAUCUAUCUAAUUUUACAAAAAUGAAAGUCUAGAAUAAAAAGGUAAAAAUAGCACCAAUGCUCUUCCCCCCCACUCAUAUGACUCUCUCCCUGGGCCGGCCCCCACCCGUGGCCCCAGGGGUGUGAACCCAGUUCUGACAGAAUUAAGCUCUGUUUCUCUACCCUCCUCUGUCUGUCUGCACCCCUGGGCCUGCAGAGACCAACCUGACACCCAGCCUCCACAGUCAGCCCCAUACCAGACCAGUAUGCCUCGUCUCUUGCCAACCCCCCCCCCGAUGUCCUCUCUGAUAUUCUCCUGUCUCUCCUUUGUCUCUCCCUCCCUCUCCUCUUCAGUUCAGCCCUCUGUACUCUAUAUGUAUCCUUUCCUCUCCACAUUUUCCACCCAUUCAUCUUUCAGUUUCUAUUGUCUUUCUGCAGAAAAUUGCUUUUUCCACUUUUUCUCCUGGCUGUCCGUUCCAAUCCGCCACUGACCCUAAUGUUUGAGCCCCCUAUCUCUUUGCCCCUCCUCAGACACAGUGUGUUCUAUAUACAUUGUGUGAAUCAAAAUCCACACUGCUUUUUUAUUAUUAUUAUUUCUGUCGGGUAAAAAGAAUUGUUUAAAUGUUUGUAAGUGCUAUAUCAUAUCUGGAUAAAUAAAAUAUUUAUAAAUAGCAGCAGCUCUUUGGGUGUCCACUUGAGGCUACUAGCUACACGAGUAAUACUACAAAUUCUUACUUCUGCAUCAAAAUUUCACAUUUACAGUUUUUUUUUAUUUUUAAACUAUAGCUUUUGUCUUUUUCAUGAUAACUGUACAGGGAUUACUCAUCCAUACUGAUUAUAUCGUGGCGAAUGAUUCAGCAUAUAGGGGCGUGAGUGAUUUAACCAAUGGUGGGCUGUAGCUGUUGCUGUAGCUUUGGCCUCAACUCCCACUCUUUCAUUCCUAUCCAACAGUUAGCAUUUUAAAAAUGUGGCAACCAUCAAAUCUCAGAGUUAUAACACCUCACCAGAAACCUGAGAUUAAGUGCGUAUUUCAUACCUUCUAUAGAGGAUCAAUAUUAAAAACUCUUGCAGGGACUACCUUAAACUUACAGUAAGUCUUCAGGUUUGUAAAGAUUUGCGAAAAAUAUAUAACGUACAUUAUUCAAUAUCUGUACACACAGAUACCAACUAUUCUGUGUAUUCCUGCAUGAAUGUUGACAUUAAUGGACAUAAAUUUGUAUCCAACAUACUAUUUUGUCAUUCUAUUCUUAUCAUGAUUGGAAAUGAGUGUAAUCAUGCUGUGAGGGAUAUGAAUACAGCUGGUGACUUUCUGAAAGUGUCAAGUGAAUGAAGUGAAAUUAGACUAAACUUUAAAUUGCCCUUGUUCAAUAAACUGGGUCCUGCAAGUUUAAAGUAAAUGAUGUGUUUGAGGAUAAAUGGAGAUUUUGGCAAGUUUGAUUUCAAAUUUUCACCAAAUUGCUGAAGGACUUUUUAUUUUACACUUUUUAAAGGGAUUAAUAAUAUGUUUAUUUGUUUUCACCAAAACUGAGAAGGUCGCUGCCUGCAUAUGCAUGGCAGAGGAGAAGAAAUGGUAUUUUCGAGUAAAAAGACUGUAAUGACAAAUCCAUUACAAUGGUUUCAAUCCAACACUUUGACAGGACUUAGCAUUCUCGUAGUUUUUUAGGGGUUUAAUCUAUCCACCUAUACUAUCAAAUAUUCGACUUUCUGUUUGAUGAAUGAAAUAAUGUGCAUUUUAGCUAUGUUUCUCUCUGCAAAUUAAAUUUUCAUUUUUCUGUGCCAAGGUUAAAGAGUUUUCAGCCAACACUUUCUGCUCUCCUUCUUCUCUGCAUUAACGCCAGAUGUUAGUCAAGAUUGCUCUCUGUGCCUUUCUGUUUCCUCCACCUCCGUCUCUCUGAGUGAACUGGCAUCGAUCCCUCUCUCUUCCUCUCUCCUUUCUUCUUGUUCUGUUGAGCCUCACUCUUCUGCCAGGUGAGCCAGUGCCUCAUCUGCACCUGCGACCGACCAUCCCUCCCUCUCCCCCCUACUCUCCAUCCUCCUCGCUGUUAGCUCAGAUUAAUGCCCGGUAAUUUGCACUUCACAGUGCACCUCCCUGUCUCUCUCUUACUCCCUCAUCCAGGUGAGCGAGGGCCACAUUUACUUUUCUCUUUCCUCUUGUUCUUUUUCAUUCUGCCUGGUAAGCUUUCUGUUGUACCUCUUCAUCCUUGCCCUCACCCUCUGUUUCUCCAUCCUACCCCCUCAUCCUUUUAUCAGAGACACUGCCAUAUGGCCGGGUGCGGGCUGGGCCUGCCCGAUUCUCAGCCUCGUUUAAAUUCACAGCCUGCGGGUCAUUCUGGCUCUGUGGUGGGACAGCAGACACCUCCAUGGAGGAAGGACAAGUUAAAGCUUUGGUGUGGAGAAAAAAACAAGCGGGAGAAAGGAAGAGAGUAGGACAAAAUGCAACAAAAAAUAUAAAUGGUUUCCUUUUGUUGUAGACAAGCAAAUUAAAAUAGAAACAGCAGGUCGAGUCACACAGCUAAAGCAGGUGGUAGUGUGACAUUGAACUAAUGACGUGGGCUGUGAAUGAGGUUGGAAACAUUUGUUUUAAUUUAAAUGACCCAGAUUCAGCUGCUUGUGUAAGACAGGGUUUAGGAUGUGUGAUUAAGAUUUUUAGAAACAUUUUAACCUUAACACAAUAUUUUACAUUAUAAAUCUUUUAUCUUACAAACAGUGUUGGGGGUACAAAGUAACAGAUUACGGUAACAAUUGAGGGGUAACGAAGUAAAGUAAUGCACUUCACUAAAAAAAUUGGUGACUUAAUUACUUAACUAAACAAUAGGAAGUUACAUGUUACAUGCUCAUGAGGAUCAAUUUAAUCUUUUUAAUUUUUUCUUGAUAUCAAGUCUUUGGACCAUUGGCCAGUUUGUUUCUGUACGCUCUGACAGUCUUUUCUUUUGCGGGAUUCAUUUUUCUUGGGUGUUUUUUUUUCUCACUGUGUCGCUAUCUCGCAGCCUCCCUGUUGAAUGUUAACAAAAAGUUGCCAGCGAAGAUGGCGCUUUCCAACCCAACUUGUAUUGCGCAAUCAUGUGGCCUUUGAAAGUCCUAUGGAGAGAUCGAUUUGAGUGAUGUUGCUGCUGAUGCAAAAGAGAAAUGGAAAUGUAGAGUAUACAUUCAUACAAUAAAUAAAAUGAUGCAGACUAUGCUCAGUGAUGAUUGGGCUAUGAAGUUUGUCCAUGUACCUCUGCACGGUAAAUCAAGAAAUGGGAAAGUAAAGUAAUAAGUAGUGAAGUUACCUUUCAAAUGCACUAACUAGUGAGGAAUAUCAUUACAAUUUACAGAAGUAACUAGUUACUAGCAACAAAUAACUUUUUAUGAGUAUCUACUCCAACACUGCUUACAACAAUGCCUGAAUAUUCUAAGAGUUGCAGAGCUGCCAAGCAUCAUGCUUUGAGAGUGACAGUCACGCAAUUUGACCCAUUCUCACGCCACACGCCACACUUGACAUUUCUCACUCUUAUUUUUCCCUUUAUUUAUUUAUUUUUUUUCAUGAUAAUAAACUUGGCUUGCUAUAGUUUGAGUAACUCUGCUUGACUGAACAAGAUAAUGCUGCAUUCGGGUAACCUCAGAAGUCAGAUGUCAGAGCUGAAAAUGACGUCACACCCGAGUUACCAGCAUUUCAGUUACCAAAUCGGAAAAAAACAAAAUCAGAGGCUUGAAACAAGAUGAUUAUGUCUACGGAAGUUAUUUUAGUGCUUGCCUUAUAUUUGGACAAGGCAAGCGCUAAAAUAACUUUCGUAGAUGUAGCCAUCUAGUUUCCACCUCUGAUUUUGUUUUUUUCCAACUUGGUAACUGAAACGCUGAUAACUCGGGUGUGACGUCAUUUUCAGCUCCGACAUCUGACUUCCGAGGUAACUCGAACAGCAUUAAAACCCACUCGACGUAAUGCAAUAUUGACAGAUAAAUGUAUUUUGUCAAUUUUCUUGUUACAAUUUUCAUUUCUAAUUUCUGGUUAAUUAAGACUAGCAUUAGGGAGAGCAGCUAGUGUGGAGGUGAGGACAUCAGUCUUAUGGUAUAAAUCGAUGUUAAAAAAGGCAAAAAAAAAAAUUUGCUAAAUAAACGCUAAAGUCUCACUCUUGUAAUUUUCUGAAACUUGGCAGCCCUGGAGUUGUAAAUAUUUAUAUUGCAUUGUGAUAGCACAGAUGGAGACUGAGUCUCAGGCACUCCCUGACCUCAACCAGAGCAGUUACUGAGUUAAUGUACAGUAGUGCAUUGCAAAAAAAUGGUCUGAGAAUUCUUGUGAAAUAUUACAUGAGUUUAAGCAAAAGGUCUCUGGUGAGAGAGGGAAGGAAAAUAGAGCCAGGGAGAUCACUAAAUAUGAAACAUGGAAAAAAAAGAUGAGAAAUUGGCACUAAAGCGCACGCGAACAGUAAUGAGACCAAUCAGGGGGGUGAAAAUGAAGGGGAAAACAGCAGGAAUUAGAGGAGGAGAGCAGAAAAGGAGCUGAGCAGCAGGUUGUGGAGGAGAGGACAGGAGAGGAGAGGAGAAGCCGGGAGGAACAGGCACAGGAGAGGAGCGGAGCGAAACAGCGGGCAUUAAAAGAGAAGAGGUGUGAAAUUGAAACCAAUAAAUCCAGAACAGAUUCCUACAGUUGCGGGAGCCACGGUGGCCGUAACACGUGGCCUCACUUGUGUUGGCUUUUUAAUUUGAGCCGUGCCUUUUGUUGUCAGAGCGGAUUUCAACUUGUGAACAUUCUUGUUCAAUGACACAGGGCACAGCACCUGAACAGAGGAGCACAAACUGACACCAAAAGAAGGUUUCACCAUACUUUUGAAAAUAAAGAGGGCAAACACAUGCUGUGGUGUGGAUUAUUAAAAUACAACCACCAAAUACACAGUCCCUACAAUCAUCAACUGAUGCUCUUUGUAUUCCCAAGUCCUAUUUUCUGAACUUGUGCUUUAUGUUGGAUCUUUUUACUGUCAUUUUUAGGAAAAUGGAUAAGUGGAUGUUUUUAUUUCAUUCUCAAAGACGGUAAAUGCCAUUGGACAUUUGUUUAAAGUUAAAUGGACUAGAUAAAAGCUGUAUAGUUUUUGUCUAUUUUUUCAUUAUUUACCUGAAAAAGUUCAAUAAUUAAUGACUGAAAUCUCUCUCCCUUGCCUUGUUUGAGAGGUUUAGCUGUAUCUUUCCCUGCAGUGACACUAAUCUGUGUCCGAUCUCUAUCAUUUGGAUGUACUCAACAAACUGUAGUAGUCAUGUUUUGCAAGUAUCAUGAAGCCAGUUACAGACAAAAAUCGCUAACAAAGCAUCUGUUGACUGCAGGUCUAGUUUUUAGCAAAAUGAACAGUGAAAAACUGCUGUGAAACAAUUAGGAAAUAACAUGUAUUUUCUUUGACUUCUUUCUUUGGUUUCACUGACUCUGCUUCCUUUUGUUGACUUCAGCACUCCCUCUCGCUCAUCCAGCGGAGAAAAAGAGGCAGUCUGCUGCUUUUCAAAAAACAGAGGGCAGAGCUCUAAUCUAUCAUUCAUUUUUUUUAAGAGUGGCCUAUACAGAAAUCUUUUCCCGGGGGCCUGUCAUUACAGCUUGACACCAGUGGUUAUUAUGUCUACUAUUAUUCAAGCUAUCAAUCAUUUUUAUGAGAAAGGACACACAUUUUGCUAUUCUGGGUAUAGCUCUGAUAGAAAUGUUUGAUUUUCAUACACUUGUAAACUUUGAAAGUGUCUGUUCUCUCACAAAGUGUUUAGCUGAGACUCUCCACUGGUGAUUGGUGUUAAUUGUCUACAUAUUGUUUUUUAGGUUGUGUUCACACCGGCGGUGUUUAGUCUAGUUUAACUGAACCCUGGAGCGUUUACCUCCUUGGUGCGGUUUGUUUUGGUUGGUGUGAACACUGGCCUCGAAGUCUUAUGCGGACCAGUCGACUGCUCUCUGGUCCCUCUGGUAGGAGUGGUCUCGGACCACUAUCAAGUGAACUCUAUAGUGGAUAACUUCUGGUGUGAACCCCAUCCGCACCAAUCACAGGAUGCGCACCUCGAAAAAACAUUUAGGUAGGCUUUCAUUAUUGCCUGUCGUCUUCUGUGAUAUGACCGUCCGUUUGCAGAGUGUCUCCUGCGAUGUUUGUGUUUCAAUACAUUAUUUAAUUGCUGCAGUCUUCCCAGCCGUUCAUAUGCAUGGUCCAUUAAAGUCUGCUGAUAUGCAGUCCAGAUCAGCACCAACAUAAAAAUGAGCAGACGAUGCUCCUUGAUGUAUUUAAUGUUUGGUACUCUUAAUGAAGAAGUCCAUGUUGGAGAUUGAAGAUCAUCUUUUAUCGCAGUUCCCAUGUGUAGCCAUCACUUUUGUGUCAUACUAUAUUUGCUACCACACCCAUAAUGCAACAGUACACACACUACGGUAAGUGGUAAGGGACAUAAGCCUUGUUAUGCUUAUAUAACAAUGUACAGUAAAAAUUGUAAGGGAUUUGUCAUCUACCCACCUAAAUUGUAUUAGACGAUGACAUUUUUCGGGAAUUCCUGUGGGUCACGUGAUUCCCUCGGGAUGGGAGUAAUUUUUUUAUUAAUGCCGUGAUCGGGACGGGGAAAAAAAGCAACGAGAACGGGCAGGAGUGGGAACAACAUUAAUAGAUGAUCAUUUUCAGCUGUGUUAAACAACCAGAUGAACAGAUGCGUCCAUUUUUGUAGUCAUCUCUCAUUGAGAGCCAACACUCUUGACUGUGCUAGCAACACAAAAGAACUACAACAGUGGUUUGACCUCCUGUCACCACUGGAAGUGAAAUGCGAGUCUGAGUGGCUGCCAGUGUCGCCAGGAGCGACUGCCGCUCAGACUCGGCUGCCACUUUUACCUAAUUUUUAAAAUUUAUUUAUGCUUGUUAUGCACUGCUCUUUUACCUAAAAUAAAAAUAAUGCAACUUUUUUUUAACAUGUUUGGUAUUAUUCAAACGGAAGCGGGACAGGAGUGGGAGUAAUUUUGAGUGGGAACCGGAACAGUUGAGAAAUUGCAACAGCGAAUCAUCAAUGUAUCAUCCUGGUUCGUAUCAGAAAACAGACCUUUUGGUGUGAACAUGACCUCAGACUAAAACAGGGAGGAUGAGGAACAUAAAAGCAGAUGGCUGCAUAUGUUAGAAUAAGACAUUAAUGGGAUUCCUGUCUAUCUUGACCAUGCAGGGAAUGUUUGGGGAGGAGAUUGUGAGUGGGAAUGCAUUUUUAACUGCAUGGAAAUGUCAACCCGUUGGUAACGUCACUUUUUCGAUUUAAACCCUCUCAGAUGAUGUAUGAAUGCAGCGCAGCUACGUGUCACAUGCUAAUUGACUGAGGCAUAUGGUGUGGAUGUUUUCUCCACUCAUCCACUCAAGAUCUUGAAUACCAAUCCACUGCUCAACCCCCACUUUGCUACUGUUAAGAUGGAGGUUGAGCCCCACAUACAAACACCCUCCAACCUCCUUGUCUUGCCUCUCUAGAAAGUACAGUUCUAGGAUCCUUAUAGUCGUUAGCUUAGUCAAAUGUGCUCAUUAAUAUUCCCCAUCUGUAGAUGUGUUAGAAAAUCUGAUAAAUGAUAGCCAGCCCCACCACUGACAGUGGGCUCUGGCCAGCAUACAUCAGAGUCCAAAGCCCCCCUCCUGCUUUAUGACCGGCUAUUAGAAGAAGCUCCCAGGCAACAAACCAUACAUAGCAAAUGUGCCUCUUUAGUAAUAUGAUAAUUUAUAAAAGGCACAGAGUGAAGCUCAGUGAAUAUUCUGCAGAAUUCCCCCACAUACUUUGGGAUUAAUAGAUGGUGUGUGUUACGUCUACUCUCUUCAGGACUGCACCAAAUGUGGGAACUCCUGGGGAUGAUGGAGUGAAGGCCAAGCUCGGUCUGACAGCUUUUAAUAACUAAUGAAAAUACCGCAGAGUAAAUUUGCUAAGAGAAGAUUAAGGAGCUUCUAGAGUAAGGGGGGGCAAAAAGAGGAAGACACCAACUUUGAACCAAUUGGGAGCAAAAGAAAAAGUGAUGGAAAUGUUUUUGUUCCUUUUGAAUUUUGCUGAAAAACAAGAAUAUGCCACAUGUGAGCACAACACUUUGUUCCUGGCAUGCAUCAGCUCGACUGAUCAGUGCGACAUGGGUUGCAUCACGCCGUGUUCCUUUCAUAUAAACACCAAUCUUUGUCUCCAUCUCCCUUGCUAUCUCCUUAUCUUGCUCUAUUAACACAGUGUCCCUGCUGAGCUUCUUAUCUGAACAGAACAGGAAUACCAUCAGGAUCAAACACUGGGAAAACAUUGAUUAUGCUAAAAUAGUAGAAAAAGACAUGGUGGGAAUUUACCUUCUGCCAUCUUUGAUGUUGCACUUCAUUCAUCAGAGGCCACUGUUGGAAACAAUCUGCACGCUACUGUUUGUGUCUGUCUAUGAAGACAUGCACCCUUUGUAAUCUCACAGGUGUAGUCAGUUUAGAGUGUUUUGGCUAAUGUGCAGAAAAUCUGUUUAUGCCGAGGGAAUCAUUCUACUCCACAGAACUUGUCAUCAGCUCUUGGACAGCUCAUCGACUAGUUUUUUCGUUUGUUUGCCCCUGGUCCAAAUCACAAGGCAUAGUGUAACAGAUUUGCUGCUCAAUGCAGUUUGCUCUUGUGUUAUGUCGAAUAGACAGGAUGAGCUGUCAGCGUCUCCAUUCUUACAUACAGAAGAACUCCUUUGACCAGUGUGUUGUUAAAUAAAUCAAUAAGAGAUGUCAUACAUAUCUCAUACUAAAUACAAUGUGUCCUCCCCGGAGCAAGCUAAUGAAAGCAGCUCGUCCAGCGAAGUCAACCCAUAUUCCUUGUUGUGUGUAGCGGUCCAGGCUGUCUCUGCUGUCUGUGUAUGCAUGCAAGUACAGUGUCCUCAUGCCUAUGUGCCACAACUUGAAUCCCUGAUAAUACAAUAUGAGAGCUGUCAAAUGUUGAAGUUUUGGUAAACUGCAGAUCUUCGAUCCGUAAUUUGAAAGUGCAUGUUUAGAAUUCAAUUAUUUGGAAUUUUCGAAACCUUGUCUAACAAUGCAGGGGUUACUGUCUCCACACACCAAGCGUGAGUGAAAUCAAUCAUGUGACUGAAUAAUAUGUUAAGUCAAUGUAAAGAUGAGAUUAGACGCUCCAACUACUCUGGCGGCGUGAAUGAUGCGAAUUGGGCGGGAGCUGAAAAUGUCUCCACUUGAGCAAAUAUCCACGUCGAGAUAACUAAUCAGCACAAAGGUUGCCGUCUGACGUAUGAAAACGGACGGCUGUGCACUGGUAUCUAAAAUGGAAGACAUACUGAUUGUGUCGGUGUGUGGGUGCCCUGAAUUAUAUGAUACCUUUUCUUGUAAUUACCAAAACCUGAAUAAAAAGGAGAUCACCUGGAGGCAAGUGAGUGAGGAGGUCGGAUUACCUGGUAAAUUGUAAAAACCCUUUGUAUAUCACUUGAUCCCACCAUUUGUAUUGGCAGGGAUCACCGUUGAAAUUACCGUUAACGUGCAAAUGAAGCAAGUAAACACUACUUAUUCACACGUCUGGAUUUAAGCAAAUUAAGGGAGGAGAUGAUUUUAGUUGCACUUAGUGGGAGUGCCCCAUAAGAAAAGGUGUCUUGAUUUAGGAAUUGAAUGAAUGCCAUACAAUAAUCUUUAUUAUUUCACUUUUACCUGACUGAUUUGAGGUAAGAGAGGCCUUAAAGAGCUGUGAAAUUUCUGUGAAAAACAUUGUAUUUUUUUAAUUUUUAAGGAUUACUGUGUAGAUCAUAAAAAGAUAAAGUGGAGUGUAUGCACAAACUGCAUCAGUGUACAGCUAUUUUAAGAUGGUUUUGAUUACUUACUGACAUCCCCUGAUCCCCAUUCACGUGACAGCAUUUGCAUUUUUCAGGAGUUACAGUUUGGUCACAUUCUCUGUUCCUCCAAUUUACUUUAUUUACAUAUCGACUGAUUUGCACACACCAAAAUAGUGCUGUGCUUAUUUUCCUGAUGUUGUUGCCUGCUGACAUUAAGUAUACGUCCUUGAGUGUUGGUCACCUUCAUACACUCAUUUUUCUUUCACAGGGAAAUGUCCUGUUUUAUCCUGAAUAGAUUCCAAUCCUGUGUGCUGGAUGCUGCAACAUCAUCAUAACAGGGUGUGAAGUCAGCAAAGUAGGUGAGUAGCCUAUUUUCUCUGCAGAAGGAAGGUGGCCUUUAAACAGUCAUAAUUUUGCAGGCAAUACAUUUUCACUGUUGUUGCAAUGAGCGUGUUUGGACGAGACAGAAAUCAAUCCACUUUGCAGCUGCAGGAAAAUGUCGAACUUCUGACUUCUUGAUGAAACUGAAAUUAAGACAAAAAAACAAAAAUUAAAACUUAAAAAGGUGAAAAAUAUCUGGAAUGAUUUGAUGAUAUCCUACUGUAAAAAAUCACAGUUUAUCUGAAGCACACAAUCACAUGUACCUAAGCUACAGUGCUUUGAAGACAGAUUUCAAACUUAAAUAAUGAUUUCUGAAACACUAGCACUUAAAAAUUAUUUAAAUCCGCUCCUUCAAUGAGGAAAAUUAUUAUAUCUAUUAUCUACACUUACGUUCUUAGCAUCAUGAAAGCACUUAAAUCUUGGUCGUUUUGAUUAUUCAGAUCAUCAGCUCUAUUAAAUUAUUUCUCAGUUCUUCAUGAAUAACUUGCAUAUCCCAAUAUCAACAUGUGUAUCACCAUCUUCUUAAAAUCAUGUUUUUGCUCACAGGCCUCAGGGUUACAUGGGUAUGAAGACAUAUUUGUAAGUGUAUUUACUGUUUUUCAUGCAUAUCAAGAGGUUAUGUAAACUUCCUUCACAUGCCGUUGCUUGAUACUCUCAACAUGGGGCUGCAUUGUUCCUGAGGGAUGAGACAGACCCAGAAAGGCAUUAUCACCUUUCUGCCAAAGCAUGGGAAUUCAAUGAAUUAUUUACGUUACACCAGCCGGGCCCAUAGACAGCUCUGAGACUGGAGAACACAGGAAUCAGUUAGGGAACCUUGGGGCCAGGGGCCAGCCGGGGAACCGGGGGGAAUCAGCAGGAAUCCCGAGGUAACGAGCAGGGGGAAAUUAAAUGACAUAAAAACGGAAGGAGGUGUAGGAUCAGGGGAAUUAAGCACACAAUGUCUAUAUGUUCAUGCAAGAAUUGACCGUGAAUAUUACAUACAUGCACACGCACAGAUAAACCCACAUAGGAAUACAUGUUUGCAAGACCCUGAUCACACAUUUCCUGUAAACAUGCACACCUAACACACACUCACACAUAAACAGAUAUCUAAGAAUACAUAUAAUAAGUUGUUGGAUUCCACACUCUCAUACACACUCACAUUCACACACACACUCACACACACACCAACUAUCAUCAAUCUCAGCCUUCAGAGCUGCUCCCCCCCUUGAGUCUGUGGCUCUGUUUUUGGCUCUGUCUCCAUGCAGGUAGGAGGUCUCCUGAUACUUACCACUGUGUUAGCUCACUACCCAUUAAUGCAACAUACUCCCCCAUUAAGAACCCUAUAGGUGCCUCUGUUCUUUUUCCGCUGCACCUCUGAGUCCUUAUAUAUUACAUAAAUGUGAACCCAUUCUUCGCACAUAUAACUCAGACAGAUGGUGAAUCACGGUUUGAGCUGUGUAUCGUUCCCUUUUUGAAUAAGAAACCAGAUGUAUUGUUUGUGACGGAGCUGUGUUUUCAUCUAAAUUCAGACUGACUCAGAAGCCAGUGGAAAGCAUAUUUCAUGUUCCAGGACCUCACUUCAUAUCCCUGUGGGACUUUUCAAGGGGUUUCUUUUUCUCUCUCUGUGCCGGGUUGUACUCUGCUGGCCUAUCUUCAAAGCUCUCACAGCCCAAACAAACAUCAGGAAUUCAAAUAUGUGGGAGUGGACUUUGCUUGCACUACUUCCUAUCAAAGCAAAAAAGGGAGAAACAUGUGAUAACCUAUUUGGGUUUCAACCAAAAGCCCCCCCUUUUUUCAAUCUCUCAAAAACAAGGUGACUUGCAUUGUUUAUUUGCGGUUGUGAAUGGGAUCGGGACAUGCUGCUGCAUCCAAACAUUUGCAAGAGACACACACUGAGAUCUACAUUGUGCCAAAUUAAUUAAGUUAUUAAAUGUAGCAAAAAAACUAUUUAGAAAUUGACUUGGUGCCAAGUUCAUCAGGCGGCUAGAACAAGAAACAUUUCAGCACCCUGAGAUUCAGAUUACAGUCUUCAACACGUCUACAGUCUUGAUAGUGAGGCCUGUGAAAACACUCAACAGGGUAUGUACUGGAAGAUGGUUAUGUAUAUAUAAACAUAUAUGUGUGUGUGUGUUUGUGUGUGUGCGUGUGUGUGUCUGUGUGUGUAUUAGGGAUGGGAAUCACUAGUGCCCUCACGAAACUUGGGCCAUGAAAUGAUAUUAUUGCGAUUUUUAACAUUUUGCAAUACAGCGAGUAUUGUGAUAUAAUGUAUUGUGAUUUAUAUAAUGUUUUCAACUGUUUAGCUCAUUUAGCAUUUGUCUUUCCUUUAUGUUUUUCUUAUUUACACAGUUUUAUUUUCAUAUAGCACAUCUUGCAAACCUUAUAUAUAUUUGUUGUACUAAUUUUCUUCUGUUCUUUGAUAUCACCUCUGCCAACCUCAGUGGACAAACAGUUUAUUUUUUCCGUUAUCAUAGAUUUGACUUCAUAUUAGAAAUUUAUUUGAAAAACUGAUACUUGGUAAAUGAGACGAUGUGAUCUAUCACCAGACAAAAUAUUGCGAUACUAUGCUGUAUUGAUUUUUUCUCCAACCUCUUACAUAUAUAUAUAUAUAUAUAUAUAUAUAUAUAUAUAUAUAUAUAUAUAUAUAUAUGUAUCCCCGUCUGUAUUUUCCCUGGCUUACUAUCAUAUAUAAACCCCCAAAAUAUAAAUAGUUAUGAAUCCUGUAACACAAGACUGAGGCAGGCAUUUGUACAGUCCAGUUAGUGCAUAUCCUCAGAUAAAAAGCCAAGGCCAUGCCAGAGAGAAUUCAAUUUAUAUUUCCAUUGCAAUUAUAUAAUAAUGCAAAUUAGUUCCACUUCAAUCAGCCACAUUACUGUUAAAUGCUCCUUACUUUUGACUACAUCAAUAAUAAUAACAAUGAGCCACUUGUCACUGAGUGUUUAAUACGGAUCGUCAGAAGUAUUUGACAGCAUUCUUGUCGUAUUUACAUGGUGUGUGGUGUGUCUAGAUUUAGUUCUUAUGUUGUACAUGAUACAGGCUAAUGUGCCUAGUGUAUGAAAAUAAUAACAGUUUCUCUGCUUUGACAUUCUGAUUAAAUUUGUCUAAUUGAUCUAAUUCUGGAAGACAUGAUAGUAAGAUAUGCAAAAAUUACAAAUAACAAGCCUGUCAAACAAAAGAACUUUUAAGUAUUUGCUUCAUUUAUUCACCACACCUGCUUCCAGCACUGGGCAGCUGAGGGUACACAUUAUAAUCUUUCGUUGAAAAUCCCAGGGAGUUUGAUUUUAUUGCCAUUUUUCUAAUAAACAAAAGACAUCGGUUGAGGAUUUUUCCCCAGUGAAUCCUGUGAGUGAAAGUGUGACCACUAAACUUGUACAGCUUUAUUUCCCACUUUUUAAAAAAAAUAAGACAAGAUGUCAAAAGGAAACAGAGUCUCUUUUGUGUUUUUGGCAACAUUUAGGAGAUGUUUAAAUCGACCAAAAUUUAAUUAAUACCCUUGGUAAAUCUUUGAGAUCCUCCACAGAAAGGUCAGGGAUGAUGUGAACGCUCAGGUAAAGCAAGUGUUUGCUCAGCUGAACCUCUGAACCUUUUAUUCUCCUACUUUUAGCCAGACUGUGAUUUCUUCUUCUCUUUCCUCACCUUCAGAAUAAAACAGUGAAAAAAUGGGGCAGGCGAGUGGUAAAGGCUGUAUUACAAGCUUGGCACUUUGUUCUGCACAGCUGAGGCUUCGUCCUGCUUUCAAGAGACUAUUCCCAGAUCAGGUCCGCCUUCCCUGCUGCACUUUACUGUCCAACAAAGGACAGAUGGAAACUUUUCCUUUCUGGCAACUUUUAAGAAGUUGAAGUGAUACUGCUGGAGAAAAGAUAUUGUCAAAGUUGGAGGAUUAGGAUUAAACUCUUGUCAUUAAGUCUGCAAUAACCGCGACUACAAUUGCCCGGUCCAAGUGCAAAGAUCUUUACAUUUAUGUCAUGAAUAGAUGAAGUUGUGGGAGACAAGUUAAACCUACAUUUCGCAGUGUAUUGUAAAGCCUUUAUAUUUGUUAAACAGAAUCCAUUUAAUGUGGCUUUAUCCAUUUAUUUAAUAUGUUUACUCUUUUCAUGUAUAGUACACUUACUUUACUAUUUAUAAAAGUUUGACCCCUGCUGCAGGCCAAACCAUUCUAGAGAUUUCAUUAUGAUGGCAGGUUAGGAAAGCCAGGUAGGCCUCUUGAUGAUAAUGCUGCUCUUUUAUCCUAUAAAUAGUUACAUAAAUAAAAAAUAAAGUCUUUCAAUGACUGUUUACUGCAUUUUCAGCCGUGUUGAUUAUGUGUAGCGAGUUAUUUACUACUAUUAAAAAAUGUUAAUUGCUUAUUCACAAAAAGAAACAAAAUAAGUGAGUGUGUUUGAUCUAACGAUUUUGAGUCCUUCAGUUUUACUCACAGAGAAAGAGACUUUAUGAGUUCUGGAUACAUCUAAACUGUGUCUGCAUGUUAUUUAUGAGUGAAAUAAAAGGCAGGCUGUACAGCCACAUGUUAAUGUCAUUAAUCAGUGUUGUGCAUGCAUUUAUUACAGCUUAUGUAGAAGAUAACUCAGCUACUUUCAUCAGGAAGAAUCUCUAUGGACAGAGCUAUGCCAUUUUAAGUACAAGCUCUUGUUUACUUUUGGUGAUUUUUCAGUGUUUCACUCAACAUCUACAUCCUUUCGCUUUAGGGGAUGUCAACACCAUCUUCAUUAAAGACACAGAGUUUCUCUGUGUACUUGGCUGUUGUAGUCAGAGCCUAAAGCCUGGAGUUAUGUAUGUGUACCUGAGUUUUCAGAGCUGAGGCAGCCAACAGGAGACAGAAACCACAACGAAUGAGAAAAAAACAUGUUUACUGUUAGUUCUUUUAAGGCUUCCAGAGUUUUCAACAUGAUCAACACUCUUUAUAACAAACAUGACAGAUACAAAUAUGGCUGUUUUGAAAGAUCCUUCUUUAUGGCACAUGGAGUGGUAAAACAUAGACUCACCUGGGGUUUUCUUGGCUUUUCUUGGUGAUUUAUUUAGUUUACGAAAUGUUGCUGACUUUUGGAGAGGUGAGAAAUCUGCCAAAAAGAGAGAGAGAGAGAGAAAGGGCAAAAAAAAGUAAAAUAAAAUGAACAUUAGCUACUACUAUUUAUGCAUCUCUUGUUUGAGCAUUAUCAAGAGAUGUAUGUUCAUCGUUACUGUGACUCAUAAUUGAUUUUUUUAAUUCAGUAUGCCAGUGAAUUUACACUAAAAGCAUACUAUUAUAGGGUUUGACACAACCAACAAUUACAUUUGAUCACAUAAAUUUGACAAAUUUCUAGUUUAAAAAAUUUUAUCUCAAAAACAUCUUAUCUUUUUACAAGUAAGGACCCAAAUGUUGACUUUAUCUGUAUAUUAGACAUGUAGACUGGAACAGCUGAUAGAAAAAAAAAUGCUUUUUCCGGAUAAAUUGACACAGGUCAGGAGAGUUAGAGUAAUUAAAACUGUUAAAAAUAUAUAUAAUAUAUAUUCAAGAAUAUUUCUCUUUAUGUACUCUUUGUGCUGAAUAAUAAAUUUACAUCUGUCACCCUGAACAUCAAUUUCCGUGUGUGACCAGUGAAACUGGGGCUGGUAAGCAGGCAGAGACACGAGUAGUUACAAGCUCGGCAUUUUGUUCACUUACAGCUGAGUCUUCGUCCUGCUUUCAGGCUAUUCCCAGGCCAGGCCUGCCUGCUGCGCUGCUCUCCCCUGCCUGCCUAUGAUUUGUGGAGCCCACUGGGGAAGAAGCUAGCUCUCCCAUAGGUUAAAAUCUGCAAACAAUGAGUCCUGUGUCCAUGACGGAUGGCCUACAUCCCUCCCCAUUUGUCUGCGCUUUAUCCCUAUCUCAGAAUCAAUUGUUAAACCCCAAAGUUUGCUUAACAUGCACUACCUGCUACGCCCGAGAAAAGAAGUGGGAGGGUGCAGGAAAUAGAGGUGAGAGGGAGAAAGGGGAAGAGAAAGAGAUCAAUGUUGUCCCAAAGUAGAAGAGUGGAUGAACGGGACUUUCAGUAUGACUUUCAGGGUCCUAAUUAGGAACAGGACAGCGAGCUACCUCUCUGUGACAUUUAGCUGGACAUACUUGAUAAAUGUCACACUGCUGGAUAUAGCCACGACAAAUGGAUGCAUCAACAACGGCUUAAUAACCUUUACUGAUAGUCCUGCCAGGAAUUCAAAUUCUUUAUCUGCUCUCUCUUGCAUCUCUAAAACACUGGGCCCUAAUAACCAACACUGUGUGUGCGGACUGAGAGGGUGGAUGUGGGUGUAUUCGCUCGUGUGUGUGUGUGUUAAGCCAAAUUAAGUGUACCAGGAGGCUGUCGCCGUGUACCCUUGCGCUGCAUCAGUGUGUACAGCUACGUGCUCCUACUCAGCUGUGUGAGUGCCAAAUUAUCUUGGCCGGAUAUCUUGGCCAGCAAGAGGGAGACCUUUGUAAGCAAUCAGAGAAAAUGGAGAGCUGCGGACCUCCCUCGUAUCUCUCUAAACUUGUAUCUCUAUGAGACGUGGAGAGGCCGACUGAAUUAAUCAGCUCCCAAGACAGUAACAAUCGGAAAAGGAAAGGCAGAAGAUUGAGCCAUUUCUUCGUAAUAAGAUCAUUGAGGAAAUAAAUGUCAUGAUUGUCAUGUGUAAAAUAUUAAAUAAAUGAAUUAUUUUACAGCUUAAGUGGGACAAAUAAUGAUUCUUGGGACCGAUGGAGUCUCCAAGAGCAAAUCCUCUGAGGUGUUCUCAAAAACUUGUUAUCAACUAGCCUGUCAGAGCUUUCUCUCUACUUGUUAGAUUUUUAAUGACGAACAUAAUCAAAGUUCGGCUGUCAGUUUUCACUGGGUGUGUUUUGGUCCCAUUUGGAGCUCGUAACUGGUAUCUGAUUAGAAGUGACACAUCAGCAGUAGCAGGGAGAUUUGAUAAGUGCUGAGUGUUUUUGCGUAUAGCCAACGCCAGGAGUGAGUCAGCUGGCAAUGAUAUGACAUAUUUAGGGCAAAACACAAAUAAGGUGCUGUUGGUGUUGUGGUCCAUUAUCUCCGAGAGCAACUCAUUUGGCCUCAGAAACUUUCACAGUGAAAAGUGGGCGGCUUUACACUCUUGUGAUUUUUUUUUUCUCUCUCUUUUCCUUUGUGAUGCUUUUGCUUAGACAGUGAUUAUUUAAAAAGAUUUCUCCCAAAUGGACAAUGUAAGGGUGUCGAAGGCACAGCACUUGUUUUCUUUUGAAGUUUUGCUUUGAUAUGGAGAACAAGCGCAGUUUUAUAUUUAUGGUUGUUUCUGCAUAUACAAAAAUUAUCUGAUUAGACUAUCUAAAAAUAAACGCCUUGUCUUUUUUUUUUUUUUUUUUGGCAGAGACUCUUUUAUCUGAGAAGAACAGUUUGCUCUCCCCGGACUGAUGCUCCUGAGUGAUUAUGCCUGUGGGUGCAUGUGUGCAAUAUGUUUGAAUCCAAUAUUAGCAUGCAUUUCUAUAUACUUGAGUGUGUGUACCUGUGUUUGCAUUUGUGUGUAUAUAUGUGUGUGUGUUUGUAAGCCAUGUUUCAAAUCCUUAGCUGCUGCGUGGUGGCUAAUUGCCUCUCCUGAGGAAUAAUUAGGUGACAAAAGCAAACGUAAUGGUGCCUCGGUAAGAGAGAAAGAUAUAUGUUGUGUCCUGUGUGUGGUGCAGCCAGCGUUGCCAUUUGUUUGCUGGUGGUAAGGAUGGGAGGAGAGGACAAAGCAAAGGCCCUACAUUUGGAGGCCAAAGCCCGGAAAAGCAAAGAUGGUGCAACAAUUAAUUACGGCUAAUUAGAUGUAUCCGUUAUAUUUACUGGGCCAACAAUAAAUCAAGUGGUGCAGCUAUUUUUAUCCUAAAAGACUUGUAAGUAAAGCCCAGCAUGCAUGUAUGCGAGUGUGUGUGUGCACAUGUGUGUGAAUAUGCUGAUGAGGGUGUGUUUGUGUUUACGAGCUGUGUUUUCAUACCUGUGUGUGUGUUUGUGCGCAUAAAACGCUCUUUACUGUUUGCUUUCCAGGUGUUCAGAGCUGGGUCGCCUUAGACUCCCUCCUCUUAGAUUAAUAAUCCAUUAGUAAUCCAUUUCACUAAUGAGCACUCAGCGGAGAGUCAGGACCGAAGGGGGAUACAGAGACGGUCAAGGGAAGCCAAGUGUAUAAUUAAUGUCUCAGCCAAUCAGAUGUGCUAUAAAAGUCGCUUCCCAAUUGAGCCGGGUGUCAACUGUCCGAUGACAUGUGCCUGUUUGUAAUAUUUUCUGUUUAGUAAAUCCUAAAUUAACAGAUAGGGAGAUUGUGGUUUUUUAUUACUGAAAUGAUGAUGAAAUGAAUUCCCCGCUUUAUGUGUUGAACUAGAAAAUAAAAAUGACACUGUAGCCACUUUUCAAAUAAAAAAAUAGAAAAAAACACGACAGCAUCGAAGAGAGUGGCAGUUUAACAGCUCAAGUUGUUGCUGUUAGAGAUCCAUGUGGGUGAGUAUUUGACAUGACAACAUCAUCAGCCUUUGGCAAUCAAACAUGGAUAAAAGCAAAGUUAACUCAUUAUCAUACUCUGACACAAUCACUCACUACUCUCUUCUCAUAAGGAAACAGUGCUAUCAGAGUACAUGGUUAAAACAGUCAGUGCUUUCAGAACGUGUAUUUUAACAUCGCACUAUGUCCAUGCAAACCAAAGAGUAAUUAAAGGGAUAUUCCAGCGUAAAGUUAAUUUAGGGUCAAACACACCGUAACACUGAGUUAGACACCCCCUCGAGAGAUGAAUGUUGCCGACUGCUUGCUUCUCAAGUUAUACCAACUUUAGCAACGACCGCACGAUAGCAAUACACAGCAGUCUAAGGAGCCACACAAAAACUUCAGACUUUACAACUCUUCUUUAAAUAGUAGAUGACUUUUAGAGACAUGACAAAUGAGAUGACAGACAAUUGAAUUUCCCUUGCUGAAUCAAUUAAGUUCUUCUUAUUCUUCUUAAACACCAACUAAAAAGCCACUCUAUAGCCACAAAUAAUGCUCAGAACAGCACCUAACUUCAUCAACAGUACAUAUAGGGUCCCAGCCAUAGUACUUGCCACCAAACAUCUUUUGAACUUAUAAUCAUAAAUGUUCCUCCUUGAGCUGCAUCACCCCGCAACAGUCCAUAAUGGAUUGGCCCGAGGUCUCGCUACAAUCAAGCGGCUGCUGGAAGAGAGUAGGUAAUUGUGUUUAGUCUCUUUGCUAAAGAAAUCAGGCAAAGCUAAAAAGAUGUUUGGUGGUUAGUACUACGGCUGGGACCCUAUAUGUACUGUUGAUGAAGUUAGGUGCUGUUCUGAGCAUUAUUUGUGGCUAUAGAGUGGCGUUUUGGUUGAAGUUUGCGUGUGGUUCCAUAGAUUGCUGCGUAUUGCUAUCAUGCGGUCGUUGCUAAAGUUGGUAUAACUAGAGAAGCAAGCAGUCGGCAACAUUCAUCUCUUGAGGUGUUUAACUUGGUGUUAUGGUGUGUUAGACCCCAAAUUGAUUUUGCUCUGGAAUAUCCUUUGUGUAAGUGUAUGUGCAAACAUAAUUAACACAGACAAGCUGAAUCCAAAUGAUACUGAAAGAAAAAAACAACCACUAUGUUACAUGCAUUACGGUUUUAUUUCACACAAGAAGAUAACCAGCUGGACAAACUCUUCCCAUGAAAGAAGCUAGACAACACACACACACACACACACACACACACACACACACACACACACACACACACACACACACACACACACAACAGAAAGCUUUCUAGCCUCAACCUUAAAACUCCCGAGAGAAACUUUUUUAGCCUUAUGAAAUAGACUGAAAUUCACAUUGAUGCCUUUUUUCAAUAUCUAAAAGCAAACAAGACUGGUGAUUUUCAAACUGCAAUUUUUAAUGCCUGAAACUGGAGCUGAGGAUGUCAGCCCAGCAGCUGCAGAAACAGCCCUAUAUUACAAUUCCACAUAAAAAAUUCACAUUUAAUGAUGUAUUUGACUGUCAAAAGUCAGCAGGAUUUUUUUUUCUUUAGAAACACUAUUUAAAUACAGCCUUGUCCACGGGUGUGCCAAAAGUUUCUUGCUGGAGUGUUUAGAUCAUAGUCCUGUAGUCUACAAACAUGAGCACAAGACAGUUUUCUUCCUCUGAAGAACCACGCUGAUGGUAUAUACUGUAAAUGUAUUGAGCAUUAUAAAGCUAUUGUUUGAAAUGCUUGAUCGUUCUUGGCCUACACAUGUCCUCUGUUAACUUGCUGUAGGAAGGUAUCUUGAGUAAAUAAAUAAAAACAGACAUCGAAAAACAUGGAUGUUCUUGUAAUGCAAUUUACAUUUUAAUAUUUUAGGUAAAUAGUGGAAGUUAGGUACAAGACUGCUUUCCACUGAGAAGCCCUGAGAGCCAGUGUUCUUGAACAUCCACAGCCAGAGUAGCUUUUGUCACUUUUAAGGUUAAAAUGAAGAAAUUGAGCCAAAAAUUUUAACUAAAGUGAAAGAUUCAUCUAACAAAAUUCCAAAAGUUAAAUACUGAGGGUUUCUUGAGGAAAGUCCAAACAAAAAUCCAAAUCAAUAAACACUAGAAAACAGAGAAGCAACGUACUUGAGUGCUGGGAAGACAUGAAGCAGACAUACACGGACAAAGGAGGCAGAUAGAGACGAUACACUGUGAAACGAGCAACAGGUGAAAACAAGAAAACGAAUGACAAGGUGAAACUAAUAACUUUUUGAAAAAGAGGGGAAACCAAGGGAGUAAAACUGGGCUUCACACUCUGGGAGAUAGGACUACAAAACAAAAAAAGGAAACAUCACACAGACCAGACCGAAAUAAAAGACCAACAAUACACGCAGGGAACAGGAACACAAGGGGAAAUAAACAAAAAAUAUUAAGAUAUGACACAAGCACACAGCUAAACAGACAAGAACGCCUCACGACGGCUAUAAGUCGUAGCCUACAAAUGUGGACACCCGAUUAUCUGUGCAUUGUAAACACAUACACACACACACUUGGCAUUGAUUCUGUAUUUUCCCUCAACAACAAAAAUGAUUUAGAUGUGCUUUGUUUGCAUUACACCUGCUUUUAACGGGGUGUGCUAACUGCCUUUACAUUGAGAGAGUCCUCAGUCCAACAGGUAGUCUGAGUACUUUCUUUAAACUCACUGGUUGAGUUCAGAUUAUUUUACCUGCUGAGUUAUUUACGCUUUCACAUCACAGGUACUGUGUUUGUUGGGCUGGUAAAACUGUUUUUUUUUUUUUUUCUUUUUUCUUUUAAUUCAAUACCAAAAACACCCUCACAAAAUAGAAUAAUAUAGAGGGAUACCUUUUCGUUCUCAAAUGUAUUAUUUUUGAUAAUUACAUGUCUUUCUCAAUUACUCUUGAAGUCAAAACAAUCACCUUGAAUGUGCUAAUUCCUUUGGGAGAAAAAUGAACUAAAACUUCCAAUAAAAGAAAAGUUAGAGGUGACUUUUUAAUGAUUCCCCAGCUCCUUCACUCAAGCUAUGCAGACUUGAUAAGUAUGUGGCUGUCACGCUGUGAUGGGCAAAGCGCUGUUGUGUGCUUUUUAAUAUAGUUCCGGUGGGGUUUGUGGCAACUAAAAGCUGUUACAAGGUCUGGCACAUCAAAAUGAGCUGGUAAACACAGAAGAUUCCUCACAGCCACCCCCAAUCCAAGACGACUACACCAAUCUAGAUCCUGUGUUUCAAGCCUAAACAGAAGAUUUCCCCAGUGCUUCACCUGGCUUCCCCACGGAUCCUCUCUCUCCUGUUUAGCAGUCAGACCAUGAUGAAGCCUGACAAAAGAGGCCGUUAAAAAUUGAACACCGUAAGUGGGAAAAUGUGGUAGGCGGGACUAUUGUUACCUCCACCCACAUGCAUGGGUGAAAUCUGACACUCUCUUCUCCUCUCACUCCCUCUGCAUCUCCUCUCUCCUUUUCUCCCCAGCCUCCCUCGGGAAAGCCCUGUAUCCCAUUCAUUCGAUUGCCCCACAUGAUGGAUGUGCAGCGUGAGGAAUGGGCCAUCCCGGGGGCCAUGGCGUCGUUUCUGGGUUAAACAGCAUCCUAUAUCAAACCCUUCUAUACCUUCACAAGCAGGAAGCCUGUUUACUGGGGCGGGAAAGCACCACAAUCCAUUUCAUGUCACGGUGUCUGCUGGAUGCAACAAAAACUUGGACAGCAACAGCUUAGGGAUUGCUGUUUGAGGAAGGCAGCAAUAACUAUGUACAGAUGCUUCAUGAUCUUCAAGCUGAAGAGAAUAUUACCGAUCGGCAAAAUCAUA